RNAcentral lists this long non-coding RNA (135665 nucleotides) under Hordeum vulgare. Its description in RNAcentral is "long non-coding RNA (HVUL_LNC009934)". Lineage: Eukaryota; Viridiplantae; Streptophyta; Magnoliopsida; Poales; Poaceae. The record is from RNAcentral.
GUCUGCUUGGGCGUGGGUGGCAGACGGCUGGUCGGCUGCCGCAGCCCCCAACUCGGGCGGGAGGGACCCUAAGGAAGGGUCCGCAGCCCCCGGGCUGGCUGGAGCAGGCGGCGGGGUGUUGGCAACCCCCGUGUCGGUGUUGGCAGUCUCCGGGACUAGCGGCGCAGGCGGCGGACCUGCUGGAUCAUGCGACGGGCCGGUCGGAGCAUGCGGCUGGCCGGCUGUAGUUCCAGCCGGCAGGCUGCCGGCAGCCCCUGAGUCGGCAUCGGUAGUCCCCAGGACCGGUGGCGCAGCCCCUGAUGGAGGGCUUGCGCAGGUGCUCGAGGGACACGCCGACUGGGAUGGGCUGCCUGGUGGAGCCGAUCUUUGCUAGCGUGUCGGCACCCUCAUUGCCGACUCGCAGGAUGUGGUGGAACUCACAACCCUCGAGGCCAUCGGUCAGGUAUUGGACCAGGAAGCGGUAGCUGGCCAUGUUCGAGUCUCUAGCGUCCUAUUCGCAAGUGACUUGCUCCACCACCAGGUUGGAGUCGCCAAAGCAGAGGAUGCGUCGGAAGCCGAUCUCCCUGGCCAGCAGGAGGCCGCGGGUGAGCGCUUCGUACUCCGCUAUGUUCGCGUCAUUAGCGUCCCAUUCACCAGUGACUUGCUCCACCACCAGGUUGGAGUCGCCGAAGCAGAGGAUGCAUCAGAAGCCGAUCUCCCUGGCCACUCGAAGUGGAUCUGCAUGGCGUACUGCAACCGGUCUCUCUUGGGGAGGAGAGAACGAUGCCGGCUUCGAGGCCGGUGCGCAUCUUCGAGCCAUUGAAGUGCAUGCGCCAAUGGGUGGAGUCGGGUGGUCGCAGCAGGUAUUCCGUUUGCGCCCAGUCGACGAGGAAGUCUGCCAAUGCUUGUGACUUGAUGGCAGUGCAGGACUCGUACCUGAUUUCAUGGUCGACCAGCUAGAGAGCACACUUGGCGAUGCGGCCGGCCGCGCCCCUGUUUCCCAUGAUCUCCCCAAGGGGAGCGGUGCUCACCACCGUGACCGGGUGCUCUUGGAAGUAGGGCUUGAGCUUCCGGGCCACCAGGAACACACCUAGCACAUAUUUUGGUAGUGCGGGUAGUUUUGCUUCGAGGCAGACAACACCUCGCUCAAGUAGUAGACCGCUCGCUGGACCGGAUGGGCUCGACCCGACUCCGAGCGCUCGACUGCCAUGAUGAUGCUGACGACGCGGCUGGUUGCUGCAAUGUAGAGCAGCAUCUGCUCUCUGUCCGUCGAUCCGGCCAGCACCAACGCUGUGGUCAGCACACGCUUGAGGCCGCGCACGGCCUUAUCUGCUUCGUCGCCGCAGACGAAGUCGUCUGCCUUCUUGAGCACGUGGUAUAGUGGGAGGGUGAUAUGUCUCCGUCGAAUCUAUAAUUUUUGAUUGUUUCAUGCCAAUAUUAUACAACUUUCACAUACUUUUGGCAACUUUUUAUAUGAUUUAUGCGACUAACCUAUUGAUCUAGUGCCAAGUGCCAGUUCGUGUUUUUUGCAUGUUUUUUUAUCACAGAAAAUCCAUAUCAAACGAAGUCCAAACGUGAUAAAAAUUUACGGAGAAUUAUUUUGGAAUUUAUGUGAUUUUUGGGAGGUGGAAUCAACCCAAACGGGCCCCACAGAGCUCACAACCCACGAGGGCGCACCCGAUGCCCUAGGCGUGCCUUGGUGUCUUGUGCCCUCCUCGAACGUUGGUUGGAGCCCUUCUUCUGGUGCAAGAAAUAUAAUUUAUGGAAAAAAAUCAUGUAAAUAUUUCAGCGCAAUCGGAGAUACGGAUCUCCAGGAAUUUUAGAAACCGUGAAGGGCCAGAUCUGAGAAGUGCGAAACAUAAGAGAACAGAGAGGGAGAUCCAAUCUCGGAGGGGAUCCUGCCCCUCCGCUGCCAUGGAGGCCAUGGACCAGAGAGGGAACACUCCUCCCAUCUAGGGGGAGGCCAAGGAAGGAUAAGAAGGAGGAGGGCUCUCUCCCCCCUCUCCCGGUGGCGCCGGAGUGCCGCCGGGGCUAGGAUCGUGAAGACGAUCUACAUCAACAACCUUGCUACCGUCAACACCAGCUUUCUCCCCCUCUAUGCAGCGGUGUAACACCCCUUCUCCCCGUUGUAAUAUCUACUUAAACAUGGUGCUCAACUCCAUAUAUUAUUUCCCAAUGAUAUUUGGCUAUCCUAUGAUGUUUGAGUAGAUCCGUUUUGUCCUAUGGAUUAAUCGUGAUCUUGAUUGGUAUGGUUGUAUAUUUUAUUUAUGGUGCUGUCCUACGUUGCCCUCUGUGUCGCACAAACGUGAGGGGACCCCGCUGUAGGGUGUUACAAUAUGUUCAUGGUUUGCUUAUUGUCGGUGUUGCGGGGGUGACAGAAGCCUAAACGUGGAUAAGUGGGUUAUGGCGUAUGGGAGUAAAGAGGACUUGAUACUUAAUGCUAUGGUUGGGUUUCACGACCUUAAUGAUCUUUAGUAGUUGCAGAUGCUUGCUAGAGUUCCAAUAAUUAGUGCAUAUGAUCCAAGCAGAGAAAGUAUGUUAGCUCAUGCCUCUCCCUCAUAUAAAAUUGCAAGAAUGAUUACAGGUACUUGUUAUCAAUUGCGUAGAGAUAAAUGACUUUCUUGUUGACAAAAGCUAUCCACUUUUCUUACCUUGCAAUUUAUUCGUAGUUUUAUUCUCGCAAAGUACUCAUAGUUUUAUUCUUGCAAAAUAGUUUCAGACUUGUUUUAGGUAAAGAAAAUGUCAAGCGUGAGUAGAGUUGUAUCAGCGGUCGAUAGAGCUUGAGGGAAUAUUUGUUCUCCAUUUAGAUCCUCAUUGGGUUCGACACUCUUAUUUAUCGAAGAAGNNNNNNNNNNNNNNNNNNNNNNNNNNNNNNNNNNNNNNNNNNNNNNNNNNNNNNNNNNNNNNNNNNNNNNNNNNNNNNNNNNNNNNNNNNNNNNNNNNNNNNNNNNNNNNNNNNNNNNNNNNNNNNNNNNNNNNNNNNNNNNNNNNNNNNNNNNNNNNNNNNNNNNNNNNNNNNNNNNNNNNNNNNNNNNNNNNNNNNNNNNNNNNNNNNNNNNNNNNNNNNNNNNNNNNNNNNNNNNNNNNNNNNNNNNNNNNNNNNNNNNNNNNNNNNNNNNNNNNNNNNNNNNNNNNNNNNNNNNNNNNNNNNNNNNNNNNNNNNNNNNAAGACCUUUUUCUGGCGCCAUUGUCGGCGAGCAAUAGCGUGGGGUGAAUAUUCUCGUGUGUGCUUGUUUGCUUUAUCACUAAGUAGUUUUUAUUUCCCGUUCUAAGUUGUUCCCUAUCUUUAGUUACGGAUAUGGAACACGAAACACCAAAAAAAUUAGUGGUACUUGCUACUCAUGGAGAUGGGGAACCUCCUAAAACCAUCGAUGCUCGUUAUGUGAAAAAUAUUAUUGUCACGCCCAAGAUGCGACCCUAUCCUCAAUUUGGCAUGGGGGCCUCGUCAGGGAUAGAAGCGCAUCUCGUUGUGUCGCAAGAAUGGAUAUUGUUACAAGUACAUGUACUGAAAAGAAGAUAUAUAUAUAUAUAUAUAGAAUUGGCUUACACCCGCCACAAGCUACAUCAGAGUCACUGCAGUACAAUACAUAAUCAUCAUGAAGAAGAACAGGGUCCGACUACAGACAAAAACAAACGAUAAAAGAAGAACGACGUCCAUCCUUGCUAUCCUAGGCUGCCGGCCUGGAACCCAUCCUAGAUCGAUGAUGUUGAAGAAGAAGAAGCAACUCCAAAUGAACAAUCAACGCGCUCGCGUCAAAUAAUCUUAAUUGUAGUAAUCUGUACUUCAAGUUACCUGCGCUCGCGUCACAGAUUACUUCAAGUUAUCUAGAACCAGUGUUAAACAAAGUUUCCACGUUGCCACAUAACCUCGGGCACGACUUUCCGAAAGAUUUAACCCUGCAGGGGUGCUCCAACUAGUCCAUCACAAAUUACCACAAGCCGCAUAGAAAUCCUCGAUCACGAAGCUCGCGAUCUCGUCGGAUUCCUUAGUGGAAAACCUCAACUCUGAGAUUACCCAAAGCAUCACCGGAAUCCCGAUGCACAAGAUAUCUCGUCAAAGGUAAAACUAAUCCAGCAAGGCCAUCCGACGUGUCGAUGACCCCGAUAGAAGCCGCGUAUCUCGUUCUCAGGACACGACGGAUAAGCGAAGCAUACGGUGGCUUGAUAGACAUCACCCGAGUUGCCACGGGUUGGCCCCGCACGGUGCUCUGUUUUGGACCAGCACCAUCAGCACUGACCCUCCCUGUAUUAUGUAGAAUUACUCCUCGGGUAGCGCUAACUCCUUAUGCAUUCAGAUUAACAGAAUUAUUAUGUUGGGCAAAUGUAGAACCAAUAUUGGGCCUUGCCAGACCAACUUUAAUCUAAAACGAAUUAUCAAGGGGGUCCCCAUAACAACCCUGAUCGUGUUAGGAGCGCUCAAUUAUGGAACAUAACACCGGUAGCCGAAAGUAAGUGGGCAAAGUUGGAACAAAACACCAGGCUAGAAAGGCAGAGCCUUCCACCUUUUACCAAGUAUAUAGGUCCAUUAAAUUAAAUAGCAUUUAAUAGGGUGAUAUAACAAGGACCCAUGUUAUCACAUGGAAGAAACUGCACCUGCAACUAGCAACGCUAACACAGGGUUAAGUAAGCGGUAACAUAGCCAAUCAGUGGUUUGCUAGGUUGAACAGGUUGAAGGUUUUCAUGGCAUUGUUGAGAGGCUGAUAUUUAACAUGUGGUAGGCAACGAGACAUAAUCGAUAGAAGCGAUAAAACUAGCAUGGCAAUGAUAGUAAUGGUAUCUGGAGAAAUGGUCAUCUUGCCUGAGAUCCCGCUUGGAAGAAGAACAACUCCAUGAAGUCGGCGAACCAACGUAGUCGAACGGGUCCUCACAUUCCGACACGCUUGCGGAACUCUAUCGAGACGGAGCAACCGGAAACAAGCAUCAACACAGAUAUUCACCACACGAUGCACAAUAUGAUGCACAACCUACUAUGAUGCAUGAUCAGUUCACUGAUGCAAGGCAUGGCAUGGCAAUUCGCCUCACGCAAACACUACACAUUAAGUAAAGCUCGAUAUGCAACGAGUUGCAUAUCGACGAAACUCCACGUUUAAUUAUUUAGUUCACUCCCGGUUAUUUACACGGCAAUAUUAAAUGUUGUUAACAUGGCAAGGGGUGAAGCGGUGAUUCUACAAGUCAUCCUAGUCGCUUAACACACGGGACUUGAAAGUCGCUACGUCUCAAGAAACAUGCAACACAAGAUAUCAUGCCAUGAAUGCGUCAUGCAUGCAAGUUCAUAACAACACGGGCAAGAAGAGAAAGAAGCAUGUGUCGCCACGGCGAGCGAAAGGGAACCAUGGCGGCAAAACGGAAACGAUGCCACGGCAAUGUUCCUAUCACGUUAACUCAAGAGAUCUCGGUGCCAAAGAAUAGGGAGCACGUGCGGGUCAUGCCAAAUAAAGAUGGGGUGAUCCCGGUUACCGGGUUCCCAUGUGUCGGGGGCACAACCAAAGAGGGACAACGUGCAACGGGCAACAUAUAUGACGCUAGCAUACGGUUACAUCUCAUACAUCACAUGCAUUCGGUUCACGACAACAUUCCAACGGAUACCUUCGAAGCGUGCAUAUCGGAGCGGUUCGGAUCGUUGCGGUGUGAACAUAGGUCGUCGUGGUCGUCGUGGAAGUAGUGGAAGUCGUGGUACUCGGGUCUCGUCGACGGUAGUCGUACACUUGGCGUCGGUACACGGGUCUUCGCAUCUAUAGACGUACACGCUUUGUAGAUGUUCGGGGUCGUCGAGGACGUCGUGGUACUCGGCGAACUUCUCGGAUCCACGUUGGCGGGGAUGGUGCAUGCGGCGACGGCAGGCGACACAACAACAACAUCGACGGCAGCAAGCUAGCAGGCAGCUAGCAACAAGCACAACAACGGGCAGCAGACAACAAGCAAGCACAACAACAUCUACAAGCAGCAACCGACAGCACAAGCAAUAACAGCUAGCAGGAGCCGGCAGGCAGGCAAGCUACAACAACAACAACAACCUAGCAGCAGCUACUACAACACCAAGCGGCAGCAACGGCAUCGACAAGCAACAACAACAUCAGCUACCUGCAGGCGGCGGCAAGCUACAAGCAGCAGCUUCAGGCAACGCUACAGGUAACAGCAGCAAGCUGCAUAGCGGCGAGCAGGCCACAGCAACAGCAACAGCAGGCCACAACAUCAACAAGCAACCACAUCGCGGCAACAGCAAGCAGGCACGACAGCAGGCAAGCGGCAGCAUCAGUAGCAGCUUCGGUGAGCAUCCGGCGGCAGCCAGCAGCGGCAACAACGAGGACAGAGGAGGUCGGGGCCCUAGAGGGCUUGGCACGGGGUUGGUGAGCACGGCGGGGUGGCGCGGGGAGGCGACCACGGCGGGGCGGCGCCGGCGGAGGGCCUCGGGCCGGCCGGGAGCGAGACGGGCAGCGAGCUCCGGCCGGUCCUGGCACGGGCACAGGGCGCUUGGGGCGGCGGCAGAGGGCGCAGGUGGUGGGGCUGGCGAGCAGCGAGGCCAAGCCGACGCGUGCUCUGGACGAGGCCGCGGGAGGCGACCACGGCGGGGCGCGCGGGAUCGAGGGAAGGGCUGAGCGCGGGCUCUCUAUUUUUGGGCAGGAGGCGGCGCUAUCGGGACGAGGGGAGAGGAUCGGGGCGAGGGGCUGUGUACGCUAGGGCUAGGUCUAGGUUGACUAUAUAUAGUAAUUGGGUUAGACUAAAUGGCGUCUGGACCCUCCGAUUAAACUGGACGAUCGGAAAUAGCUGGGUUAGGGAGUCCAAUGGACAAACCGAUGACGGUUUGCGGUAAAACGGGGUUGAUUCAGACCCAACGGUCACGAGCACCCGGUUUGGGUUUUGGGAGGUUUUUCGGACUAGGCUGCACGCAGGACGGUGCACUGUGCAGAGGGGCUAGGCAUAGAAGAGGGGUAAAACGACACCCGACAAUGAAAUUUUAAAACAUCAAAAAACGUCCGACGGUAGACCGAAUACAGUGUCGCUACGGUCGACCGUUCGGGUACCAGACGGACUCCGAUGGCGACGAAAUUUGACAGGCGGCCUAGCUAUAUAAAAAUAAGACCGCAUGUCAAAUCUCAACCCAAUCAGAGAAAGUUUUACGCAUACUUUUAAAAACAUGGAUUUGACGAUGCCGUGGGUGCGUGCGUGUGUGGUCGGGCUCAGAACAGACAACGACGUGAACUGGCAACUAACAACGUAUGCAAGUUUUGAAAACUAGCGGCAACGGAGUGCCGAUGCAAUGCUGAUGAUGCGCAUGACGCGAUGAAGAUGCGACAAAAGAAAAUAGACACAGGACAGAAACGGAAUAGAAGGGGAAUCUUCUGGAACGUCGGCAUCGGGCUGUCACAACUCUCCUACACUACAAGAGGAUCUCGCCCCGAGAUCCAAGAAUGAAAGGGGGAGAGGAUGAGAAAGCAAGAGGUAAAACUUAAUCGCUUCUUUGACAAACGAGUGAAACCAACGAUCCUUGAAGGUUGCAAAGAGAUGAAGAAUGAUAUGAGAAACAAGCAAGAAUUCACGGAAAAUUUCGGCAGCACUUCGUUUGGAAAAUGGGACAAAAAAUUCGACAAGGUGGGAGAAUUAGACAGUAUUCAUAACAAACAACUAAAUAGAACAAGGGAACACCAUGAUCUUGAUAGAACAACAUAAUAGACCCAAAAGAGCAACAUCACCAUGCCUCCGGAACAAUAGAAUAGGGACUAGCUCAUACGGAGGAAGAGAAUUAAGAAAAGAAUGACAACUACUAUCUCAAACGAACUUGGCAAGCAUCCUUGCGAGAAGAAUUGAACGGAGUUGUUAGAAAAACAACAACGAAAAGAACAAGAUAGUAGUGGGCUUAUGGAAACCUUUCCAAACUAAUGAAGUGACAACCAGCCACUAACAGAAACUAGGAUUGUUUGGGAGAAACAAGAUAUGAACAAUUUCUUACACCAAGAGGAUACAUUGAGAACUUGGAUUAAUGACAAGCACCAUAAUAGCAACAAUCCAUAGGAAAAGCUUUAGGUGAAAUCCAACCAAGAUAGCCGAAUGAAGAAAUCAUGGGUUGAAAAUAUCUCAUGAUCAUAUAAUUGGUGGGUUUAAUUAUUUCAUUCUUGAAAGGAAAUCUCUUCGAGGCUCCUACACUAACAAGAAUGCUAUAAUACCACCUCAAAGGAUAAAGGAAGAAACAAAUGCACUUGGAAAUGCAAGAGAAGAAAACUUGAGGUUCUCCAAUACGAAUCUUGAAGAACACUUUGAGAAUGAAUUGACAUCAUGAGCCGCUCCGGAAGAAGAAUUCAGAUUACUAUGAACAAGAAUAAGAAUUAUGUUAUGCUUAUCCUUCAUCAAGUUUAAUUGAUGACAAGCAACGGAUUUAGCGUAGCACUUAUUCUUCUAGAAAUGAAUCUUGAAGUGGUAGAGAGAUAAGCACCACUUGAGGCAUAAUUGAAGGAAGCACCGGUAAGAAUUCACAAUUGAAUGGGAACACCACGAAUUAAUGGAGAUACAUGAGAAUGAAGAGAUCAUGAGCCACCUGAGAGAAAACUAGAACAAGGCACCGGAUAAUCGAGAAACGAACAAAGAGAUAACAAUGGAGAAGAAUUUGAGAAUGAAAGCUGAAAGCUGAGAACGAAGAAGUCUUCUGAAGUGCUGGCCUUCGGAGGAUCAAGAAUGAAAACUCAAAAAUGCACCAGAUAGCAAGAAAGGGAUUACUUAUGAACGAAAACAACUGAGAAGACAACACGAAGCUGAAAUGAUAUCUUCAAGAGAAUGGACCAAGAUUGAGAGAAACACUCCUUCGAAUUGCAAGCUGAGAAUGAUGACGAGAACAACACCAAGAAUUACUGAGACACUCCGGAAUAGUGAAGAAUGAAAGGUUGAGCCAAAUAAGAGAAUUAAUUCAAAUUGAUCCUGAAGAAGGAAUAUGACUGAUGAAAUCCAUACUUACGUCAUAGCUGAAAAGAAUUAAUGUUCUCCGGGAAAAAGAUUAAAAGAGCUAGGAAAGAUCCUGGGAAAUAACCUGUGGGUUAUGGGCCCACUCGAAGAAACCACCGUUGAAACAAUUACUAACAAAGAAAGAUACUGCACCGGUAGAAAUGAAAACUUGAUGAGGUUGAGCACCUCAAAAUAAUGAAAGAUCUGAAAACAAGAAACUUCUGGGAUAACUUCAACGCUCCGGAUAGAAUAGAGAUAACUGAAUAAACAAGAUAUGUUGAUAAGAAUCUCCAACAGGGGAAAGAACUACAAGGAAGAAUAGUAUUUGAUGAACACGAAUAACUGAAUUGAAUUCACCGGUAAAGAUAACACGAUUGAAUAAAGAUGAACACGAAGCUCCUGAGAAUCUUCACAACGAAUCACCGGUUGCGAAAGGAAGAAGAGAUAGCGGAAGCCUCACUCAAAAUAAAGGCACUUGGAUGAGAAUUGAAUCACUGAAGAAAAGGGCGGGAGGGCGGGGAAAAACAANNNNNNNNNNNNNNNNNNNNNNNNNNNNNNNNNNNNNNNNNNNNNNNNNNNNNNNNNNNNNNNNNNNNNNNNNNNNNNNNNNNNNNNNNNNNNNNNNNNNNNNNNNNNNNNNNNNNNNNNNNNNNNNNNNNNNNNNNNNNNNNNNNNNNNNNNNNNNNNNNNNNNNNNNNNNNNNNNNNNNNNNNNNNNNNNNNNNNNNNNNNNNNNNNNNNNNNNNNNNNNNNNNNNNNNNNNNNNNNNNNNNNNNNNNNNNNNNNNNNNGGAGGGCGGGGAAAAACAAAGACAACUAGGGACAUAUGAGACAAACUCCGGUAAGAAUUGAGAGAAUGAUAUGCAAUAUUGGAGAGGAUUGAAUUCACUUGAAGAGAAGCACACCGGUUGAAAAGAAUUUACAAGACAAUUCCGGUUGACAAGAAUUGAAAAGACACUGAGCAAAAGAAUUAAUUAGCAUUCCCAUAGAAAUAUGAGAACCGCUCUUGGAAAGAUAUGAAAUCACCAUCUGACAUCGAAGCAACUCGAAUUACCAUAUUCCAACAAAACAAAGGAUGAGGCUUACGAAACAAGCUAGAACAAACUCAUGAGAGAGAUUUCCGUUCGAUAUUUUCGUGGACAGGAUCGCACGGGCUCGAACCUUACAGUAGACCGAAUACAGUGUCNNNNNNNNNNNNNNNNNNNNNNNNNNNNNNNNNNNNNNNNNNNNNNNNNNNNNNNNNNNNNNNNNNNNNNNNNNNNNNNNNNNNNNNNNNNNNNNNNNNNNNNNNNNNNNNNNNNNNNNNNNNNNNNNNNNNNNNNNNNNNNNNNNNNNNNNNNNNNNNNNNNNNNNNNNNNNNNNNNNNNNNNNNNNNNNNNNNNNNNNNNNNNNNNNNNNNNNNNNNNNNNNNNNNNNNNNNNNNNNNNNNNNNNNNNNNNNNNNNNNNNNNNNNNNNNNNNNNNNNNNNNNNNNNNNNNNNNNNNNNNNNNNNNNNNNNNNNNNNNNNNNNNNNNNNNNNNNNNNNNNNNNNNNNNNNNNNNNNNNNNNNNNNNNNNNNNNNNNNNNNNNNNNNNNNNNNNNNNNNNNNNNNNNNNGCGGCAACGGAGUGCCGAUGCAAUGCUGAUGAUGCGCAUGACGCGGUGAAGAUGCGACAAAAGAAAAUAGACACACGACGAAAACGGAAUAGAAGGGGAAUCUUCUGGAACGUCGGCAUCGGGUUGUCACAAUUAUGCACUACUUUGAUAAUCCUGAGAAAACCCCAUUCAACAUGAUAAUGGGAAAUCUCGUUGUAUCAACGUGAAUACUUUAGGGAUUAUCGCUUGACACAAAAAGGGAAACUGUUAUGGGAUCAAAUUGAUAUGUUGCAUUGGUAUGCUUGGAAUUUAUGCCAGAGACAUGAUUUUACUUAUUGCUCUUGGAUUAAUGAUCCACACCUUCCCUUUUAAUGGAAAUUUAAUGAUAAUGAAUCCUUGGCUUCUUAUGCUAAUGGUAUAUAUGAUUACUAUGAUGUGGAACGAAUAGAAGAAUUUGUUGCUUUUAGGGGUGCUUAUGAAAUUGAAUCUUUGUUUGAAAAGUUUGAAGAUAUUGAUGAUUCAGUUAUAGACCUGAAAAUUUUGUUAUCCUUAAAUAUUGCUAUGAUAAUUAUAGAUAAAGUUAAGAUAUUGAUGCAUUUAUUGAGAAAGUCUCCACUGUGCAAGAAUAGACUAAUAUUUUGCAGGAGUCUAUGGAAGAAGGAAUUGAUGAAACUGUGAGCUCAUUGGAUGAAAAAGAUGACGAGGAGAGCGAAGAACAAAAGGAGGAAGAGCGGAUUGAUCACCCGUGCCCACCUUUAAUGAGAGUAACUCUUCAACUCAUACAUUGUUUAACGUCCCUUCGUUCUUACCGAAGGAUGAAUGCUAUGAUAAUUGCUACGAUCCCGUUGACUCGUUUGAAAUAUCCCUUUUUGAUGAUGCUUGCUAUGCUUGUGGCCAAGAUGCCAAUAUGAAUUAUGCUAUUGGAGAUGAACUUGCUAUUGUUCCUUAUAUUAAGAAUGAAAUUUUUGCUAUUGCACCCACACAUGAUAGUCCUAUUAUCUUUUUGAAUUCUCCAAACUACACUAUAUCGGAGAAGUUUGCACUUGUUAAGGAUUAUAUUGAUGGGUUGCCUUUUACCACUACACAUGAUGAUUUUUAUGAAUAUAAUAUGCAUGUGCUUGCUGCUCCUACUUGCAAUUAUUAUGAGAGAAGAACUACAUCUCCGCCUCUCUAUGUUUCCAACACGAUAAAGUUGCUGUUUAUGCUAUGUAUUGGCCUUUACUUGAUGUGCAUGAAUUGUUCUUGUAUGACAUGCCGAUGCAUAAGAAGAGAGUUAGACUUCUUCAUUGCUUGAUAUAUGUUGCUUUGUGCUCACUACUAAACGCCAAAUCGCUGCUAAUUAAAAUUGGCUUUGAUAUACCUUGGGAUUCGGGUGGAUCCAUUACUUGAGCACUUUAUGUCUAUCUUAAUGGCUUUAAGGAAACCGCUGCGAGGGAGACAACUCGAAAGUUUUAUAGAGUCAUUUCAUUUUGUUGAGUGCUUUUAUGAAGUUUAAAAACAAAAAAAAAAUAUAGAGGGCAAUUUAAAACUUCACAAAAAUUGAAUCGAUUGAAAGGUGAUGCAUUGGUGAAGUGAGGAUCGACCUUGAACACUUGUCUUCAUGCUCAUGGAAACAAUGUAGAAUGUUUCAUGAAUAUUCUCACAAAAAUAAUUAUCCCAUUGUAUUAUAAAAAUAAUGUGCCAAGAUUUUCCUUUAGGAUGGGUAGAUUGCUUGUUGGUAUGCGCGGUGUAGAAACAUAAACUUUGGCUGUAGCGCGUGAAUUUUCAUUUUUUACUAGAAUGUAAAAAGGUUCUGAAACUUUUUGCAUAGUCUUUCUAUAAAUUUUUUUAUUUCUUCCUAAUUGUUCAGAAUUGUUGGAGUACCAAAGUAUGGUAGACGCAAAGAUUGCUACAGACUGUCCUGUUUAAGACAGAUUCUGUUUUUGAUGCAUUGUUUUGCUUGUUUUGAUGAAACUAUCGAUUUUUAUCGGUGGUAUGAGCCAUUGAAAAGUUAUAUUAUAGUAGCUACAAUGCAAAAAAAAAAUAUGAAUUGGUUUGCAACAGUACUUAGUGUUGGGUAACGUAGCAUAAAUUCAAAAAUUUCCUACGCCAUAUUCAGAUCUUCCUAUGGAGAGACCAGCAACGAGAGAGGGGUGAGUGCAUCUUCAUACCUUUGAAGAUCGCUAAGCGGAAGCGUUGCUAGAACGCGGUUGAUGGAGUCGUACUCGCGGAGAUUCAGAUCGCGGUGUGAUUCCGAUCUAGUGCCGAACCACGGCACCUCCACGUUCAACACACGUGCAACCCGGUGACGUGUCCCGCACCUUGAUCCAGCAAGGAGGAGGGAGAGGUUGGGGAAGAUCUCCGGCAGCACGAUGGCGUGAUGUCGAUGGAGAGAGGAGGUCUCCCGGUAGGGCUUCGCCAAGCACCGUGGGAGAGGAGGAAGAAGAAAAGCAGGGCUGCGUCGAGAGAGAGAGAUGUCAAACCGUAUCUCCAAAGGCCAAAUGCCCCACUAUAUAUAGGGGGAAGGGAGGGGUGGCUCCCCUUUAGGGUUUCCCCUUUGAGGGGGGGGGGGCAGCCCUAGANCCUAGGUGGGCCUUAGGCCGACGAGCACCUAGGGUUUCCCCUCCCUCCCUCUCUGGUGCGCUUUGGCUGAGUGUGGGGGGCGCACCAGCCCACAUAGGGGCUGGUUCCCUCCCGUACUUGGCACAUGUAGCCUUCCGGGGCUUGUGGGCCCUCCCGGUGGGCCUCCGGAACCCUUCCGGUGGUCCCGACACUUUGCCGGUGGUGCCCGAAACAUUUCCGGCGACAAAACCCAUCCAUCUUAUAUAUCAAUCUUUACCUCCGGACCAUUCCGGAGCUCCUCGUGAUGUCCGGGAUCUCAUCCGGGAGUUCGAACAACUUUCAGUAACCUCGUUUAACAAUUCCCUAUAACCAUAGCGUCAUCAAACCUUAAGUGUGUAGACCCUACGGGUUCGGGAAUCAUGCAGACAUGACCGAGACACUCUCCAGCCAAUAACCAUCAGCGGGAUCUGGAUACCCAUGGUGUCUCCCACAUGUUCCACGAUGAUCUCACCGAAUGAACCACGAUGUCAAGGAUUCGAUCAAUCCCUUAUACAAUUCCCUUUGCCUGUCGGUAUAGUACUUGCCCGAGAUUCCAUCGUCGGUAUACCUAUACCUUGUUCAAUCUCGUUACCGGUAAGUAUCUUUACUCGUUCCGUAGCAUAUCAUCUCGUAACUAACUCCUUAGUCACACUGAGCUCAUCAUGAUGAUGUUCUACCGAGUGGGCCCAGAGAUACCUCUCCGUCACACGGAGUGACAAAUCCCGAUCUCGAUUCGUACCAACCCAACAGACACUUUCGGAGAUACCCGUAGUGCACCUUUAUAGUCACCCAGUUACGUUGUGACGUUUGAUACACCCAAAGCACCCCUACAGUAUCCGGGAGUUGCACAAUCUCAUGGUCGAAGGAAAAGACACUUGACAUUAGAAAAGCUUUAGCAUACGAACAAUACGAUCUAGUGCUAUGCUUAGGAAUGGGUCUUGUGCAUCACAUCAUUCUCCCAAUGAUGUGAUCCCGUUAUCAAUGACAUCCAAUGUCCAUGAUCAGGAAACCAUGAUCAUCUAUUGAUCAACGAGCUAGCCAACUAGAGGCUUGCUAGGGACACAUUGUGAUCUAUUUAUUCACACAUGUAUUACUGUUUCCUGUUAAUACAAUUAUAGCAUGAACAAUAGACGAUUAUCAUGAACAAGGAAAUAUGAUAAUAACCAUUUUAUUAUUGCCUCUAGGGCAUAUUUCCAACAGUCUCCCACUAGUUACAUUGUGAUGUAUUGAACACCCAUAGCAUUGUGGUGUUGACCAUGUUUUUCUCGAGGAAGAGGUUUAGUCAACGGGUCUGCAAUAUUCAAAUCCGUGUGCACUUUACAAAUAUCUAUUACUCCGCUCUGGACAUGGUCUUAGAUGGAGUUGUAGCGGCGUUUGAUGUGCUUGGUCUUCCAGUGAAACCUGGGCUCCUUGGCUAUGGCAAUGGCCCCAAUGUUAUCACAGAAGAGUUUCAUUGGACCCGACGCGCUUGGGACCACUCCAAGGUCGGUGAUGAGCUCCUUCAUCCAAAUCCCUUCAUGAGUCGCUUCUGAAGCAUCUAUGUACUCCGCUUCACAUGUAGAUGCUGCCACGACUUCUUGCUUGCUGCUGCACCAGCUCACUGCCCCGCCAUUCAAAACAUACACGUAUCCGGUCUGUGACGUAGAGUCAUCCGGAUCUGUGUCGAAGCUAGCAUCGACGUAACCAUUUACGAUGAGCUCUUCAUCACCUCCAUAAACAAGAAACAUCUCCUUAGUCCUCUUCAGGUACUUAAGGAUAUUUUUGACCGCUGUCCAGUGUUCCAUACCGGGAUCACUUUGGUACCUCCCUACCAAACUUAUGGCAAGGUUUAUAUCAGGUCUGGUACACAGCAUGGCAUGCAUUAGAGAGCCUACGGCUGAAGCGUAGGGGACAAUACUCAUCUUCCCUCUAUCUGCUGCCGUGGUCGGUGACUGAGUCUUACUCAAUCUCAUACCUUGCAAAACUGGCAAGAACCCCUUCUUUGAGUUUUCCAUAUUGAACUUCUUCAAUAUCUUUUCAAGGUAUGUACUUUGCGAAAGUCCUAUGAGGCGUCUCGAUCUAUCUCUAUAGAUCUUGAUGCCUAAUAUGUAUGCAGCUUCUCCAAGGUCAUUCUUUGAAAAACUCUUGUUCAAUUAGGACUUUAUGCUCUCCAACAACUCUAUAUUAUUCCCCAUCAAUAAUAUGUCAUCCACAUAUAGUAUGUGGAAAGCUACAGAGCUCCCACUCACUUUCUUGUAGAGACAGGCUUCUCCAUAAACCUGUAUGAACCCAAACGCUUUAAUCACCUCAUUAAAGCGAAUGUUCCAACUCCGAGAUGCUUGCACCAGCCCAUAGAUGGAGAGCUGGAGGUUGCAUACCUUGUUAGCACUCUUAGGGUCGACAAAACCUUCUGGUUGCAUCAUAUACAACUCUUCCUUAAGAUACCCGUUAAGGAAUGCUGUUUUGACGCCCAUUUGUUAAAUUUUAUAAUCAUGAAAAGCGACAAUUGCUAACAUGAUUCGGACUGACUUCAGCUUCGCUACGGGAGAGAAAGUCUGAUCAUAGUCAACUCCUUGAAUUUGUCGAAAACCCUUUGCGACAAGUCGAGCUUUGUAAACGGUAAUAUUACCGGUUGCAUCAGUCUUCUUCUUGAAAAUCCAUUUAUUUUCUAUGGCUUGCCGAUCAUCGGGCAAGUCCACCAAAGCCCAUACUUUGUUCUCAUACAUGGAUCCUAUCUCGGAUUUCAUAGCCUCAAGCCAUUUGUUGGAAUCCGGGCCCGCCAUUGCUUCUUCAUAGUUCGAAGGUUCACCAUUGUAUAACAACAUGAUUUCCAUGACACGGUUGCCGUACCACUCUCGUGCGGAUCGUACCCUUGUGGACCUUCGUGGUUCAGUAGUAACUUGAUCCGAAGCUUCAUGAUCAUCAUCAUUAACUUCCUCUUCAGUUGGCGUAGGCGCCACAAGAACAAUUUCCCGCGCUGCUGUACUCUCCGGUUCGAGAGGGGGUGUAAUUACCUCAUCAAGUUCUACUUUCCUCCCACUUACUUCUUUCGAGAGAAACUCUUUCUCUAGAAAGGAUCCGUUCUUGGCAACAAAGGUUUUACCUUCGGAUCUAAGAUAGAAGGUAUACCCAAUAGUUUCGUUAGGGCACCUAUGAAUACGCAUUUCUCCGCUUUGGGUUCGAGCUUUUCUGGUUGAAGUUUCUUCACAUAAGCAUCGCAGCCCCAAACUUUAAGAAACGACAGCUUAGGUUUCUUGCCAAACCAUACUUCAUACGGUGUCGUCUCAACGGAUUUAGACGGUGCCCUAUUUAAAGUGAAUGUUACAGUUUCUAAUGCGUAUCCCCAAAAUGAUAGCGCUAAGUCGGUAAGAGACAUCAUAGAUCGUACCAUAUCUAAUAAAGUGCGAUUACGACGUUCACACACUCCGUUACGUUGCGGUGUGUCAGAAGGCGUUAGUUGUGAAACAAUUCCACACUUCCUUAGGUGUGUGCCAAACUCGUGACUCAAAUAUUCUCCUCCACGAUCAGAUCGUAGGCACUUAAUUUUUCUGUCACGUUGAUUCUCAACCUCACUCUGAAAUUCCUUGAACUUUUCAAACGUCUCAGGUUUGUGCUUCAUCAUGUAGAUAUACCCAUACCUACUCAAAUCAUCGGUGAGAGUGAGAACAUAACGGUAGCCACCGCGAGCUUCAACGUUUAUUGGACCACACACAUUAGUAUGUAGUAUUUCCAAUAAGUCGGUCGCUCUCUCUAUUAUUCCUGAUAAUGAAGUCUUAGUCAUCUUGCCCAUGAGGCAUGGUUCGCAUGUGUCAAAUGAUUCAAAGUCAAGAGACUCUAAUAGUCCAUCAGUAUGGAGCUUCUUCAUGCGCUUAACACCGAUAUGACCAAGGCGGCAGUGCCAUAAGUAUGUGGGACUAUAAUUAUCAACUUUACAUCUUUUGGUACUCACACUAUGAAUAUGUGUAGCAUCACGAUCGAGAUUCAUCAAGAAUAAACCAUUCACCAGCAGAGCAUGACCAUAAAACAUAUCACUCAUAUAAAUAGAACAACCAUUAUUCUCUGACUUAAAUGAGUAGCCGUCUCGCAUUAAGCAGGACCCUAAUACAAUAUUCGUGCUCAAAGCUGGUACUAAAUAACAAUUAUUAAGGUUUAAAACUAACCCCGACGGUAGAUGUAGAUGCAGCGUGCCGACGGCGAUCACAUCGACCUUGGAGCCAUUCCCGACGCGCAUUGUCACCUCGUCCUUGGCCAGUCUCCGCUUAUUAUGUAGUUCCUGCUUUGAGUUGCAAAUGUGAGCAACAACACCGGUAUCAAAUACCCAGGAGCUACUACGAGCGCUGGUAAGGUACACAUCAAUAACAUGUAUAUCAUAUAUACCUUUAACGUUGCCGGCCUUCUCGUCCGCUAAGUACUUGGGGCAGUUCCGCUUCCAGUGACCUUUUCCCUUGCAAUAGAAGCACUCAGUCUCAGGCUUGGGUCCAUUCUUUUUCUUAUUCCCAGUAUCUGGCUUACCGGGCGCAGCAACGGCUUUGCCGUCUUUCUUGAAGUUCUUCUUACCCUUGCCCUUCUUAAAACUGGUGGUCUUAUUGACCAUCAACACUCGAUGCUCUUUCUUGAUUUCUACUUCUGCCGAUUUCAGCAUCGAGUACAACUCGGGAAUGGUAUUUUCCAUCCCUUGCAUGUUGUAGUUCAACACAAAACCCUUGUAGCUUGGUGGGAGAGACUGGAGGAUUCUGUCAAUUACAGCGUCAUCCGGAAGUUCGACUCCAAGCGAAGUGAGACGACCGUGUAACCUAGACAUUCUGAGUAUAUACUCACUAACAGAACUGUUCUCCUCCAUCUUACACCUAAAGAACUUGUCGCAGACUUCAUAUCUCUUGACACGGGCAUGAGCUUGAAAAACUAGUUUCAGCUCCUGGAACAUCUCAUAUGCUCCGUAUUGCUCAAAACGCCUUUGGAGCCCCGUUUCCAAACUGUAUAACAUGCCACACCUAACCAGAGAGUAGUCAUCACUCCGCGUCUGCCAGACGUUCUGAAUGUCCUGGGCCGCUGCGGGAGCAGGAGGGUCACCUAGCGGUGCAUUAAGGACAUAAGCCUUUUUAGAUGCUUCGAGGAUGAGCUUCAAGUUGCGGACCCAAUGCGCAUAGUUGCUACCAUCAUCUUUCAGCUUGUUUUUCUCUAGGAAUGCGUUGAAAUUGAGGUUGACACGUGCGUUGGCCAUUGGAUCUGUAAUAUUUGUAAAGACAACUUUUAGACUAAGUUCAUGACAGUUAAGUUCAUUUAAUCAAAUUAACUAUGAACUCCCACUUAAAUCGACAUCCCUCUAGUCAUUUAAGUGAUACAUGAUCAAUAUUGACUAACCCGUGUCCGAUCAUCACGUGAGACGGACUAGUCAUCAUGGUGAGCAACUUCAUGCUGAUCGUAUUCAACCAUACGACUCAUGUUCGACCUUUCGGUCUCUUGUAUUCGAGGUCAUGUCUGUAGAUGCUAAGCUCGUCGAGUCAACCUAAGUGUUUCGUGUGUGUAAAUCUGGCUUACACCCGUUGUAUGCGAACUUUAGAAUCUAUCACACCCGAUCAUCAUGUGGUGCUUCGAGACAACGAUCCUUCGCAACGGUGCACACUUAGGGGAAUACGUUCUCGAAGUUUUAUGAGGGAUCAUAUUAUUAUGCUACCGUCGUUCUAAGCAAUAAGAUGAAAAACAUGAUAAACAUCACAUGCAGUCAUAUAGUGACAUGAUAUGGCCAUUAUCAUCUUUUCUCCUUCGAUCUCCAUCUUCAGGCAUCGCAUGAUCAUCAUUGUCACCGGCGUGCCACCAUGAUCUUCAUCAUCAUGAUCUCCAUCAUCGUGUCUCCGUGAAGUCGUCACACCAACUACUACUACCACUACUACUAUAGCUAACAGUUAGCAAUGAAGUAAAAGUAGUAAACACAUGGCGUUGCAUCUCAUACAAUAAAUUAAGACAACUUCUAUGGCUCCUGCCGGUUGUCAUACUCAUCGACAUGCAAGUCGUGAAUCCUAUUACAAUAACAUGAUCAUCUCAUACAUCACACAUGUAACAUCACAACUUUGGCCAUAUCACAUCACAUGUCAAACCCUGCAAAAAUAAGCUAGACGCCCUCUAAUUGUUGUUGCAAGUUUUACGUGGCUGAUUUGGGUUUCUAGCACGAACGCCUUCUUACCAACGUGACGGCCACAACGAUGAUAUGCCAAAGCUAUUUACCCUUCAUAAGGACCCUUUUCAUCAAAUCCAAUCCGACUAGAGUGGGAGAGACAGACACCCGCUAGCCACCUUUAUGCACGGUGUGCAUGUUGGCCGGUAGAACCUGUCUCACAUAAGCGUACGUGUAAGGUCGGUAUGGGCCGCUUCAUCCCACAAUACCGCCGGAAAAUAUACAGAUUAGUAGCGUCAAGAAAUUGACAAAUCAGCGCCCACAACCUUUUGUGUUCUACUCGUGCAUAGAAUCCACGCAUACAAAACCUGGGUCUGAUACCACUGUUGGGUAAUGUAGCAUAAAUUCAAAAUUUUCCUACGCCAUAUUAUGAUCUUCCAAUGGAGAGACCAGCAACAAGAGAGGGAUGUGUGCAUCUUCAUACCUUUGAAGAUUGCUAAGCGGAAGCGUUGCUAGAACGCGGUUGAUGGAGUCGUACUCACGGCGAUUCAGAUCGCGGUGUGAUUCCGAUCUAGUGCCGAACCAUGGCACCUCCGCGUUCAACACACGUGCAGCCCGGUGACGCCUCCCGCACCUUGAUCCAGCAAGGAGGAGGGAGAGGUUGGGGAAGAUCUUCGGCAGCACGACGGCGUGGUGUCGAUGGAGAGACGAGGUCUCCCGACAGGGCUUCGCCAAGCACUGUGGGAGAGGAGGAAGAAGAAGAGCAGGGUUGCGUCGAGAGAGAGAUGUCAAGCCGUAUCUCCAAAGGCCAAAACCCCCACUAUAUAUAGGGGGCAGGGAGGGGUGGCGCCCCCUUUAGGGUUUCCCCUUUGAGGGGGGGGGCAGCCCUAGAUGGGAGAGGGGGGGGGGUGGCCAGGGAGGAGAGGGGGGUGGCGCACCCCUAGGUGGGCCUUAGGCCCAGCACCAGCGCCUGAGCUGAGUGUGGGGGGCGCACCAGCCCACCUAGGAGCUGGUUCCCUCCCGCAUUUGGCCCAUGUAGCCUUCCGGGGCUUGUGGCCCCUCCCGGUGGGCCUCCGGAACCCUUCCGGUGGGCCCGUCACUUUGCGGGUGGUGCCCGAAACAUUUCCGGCGUCCAAACCCAUCCAGCCUAUAUAUCAAUCUUUACCUUCGGACCAUUCUGGAGCUCCUCGUGAUGUCCGGGAUCUCAUCCAGAACUCCGAACAACCUUCGGUAACCUCAUAUAACAAUUCCCUAUAACCCUAGCGUCAUCGAACCUUAAGUGUGUAGACCCUACGGGUUCGGGAAUCAUGCAGACAUGACCUAGACACUCUACGGCCAAUAACCAUCAGCGGGAUCUGGAUACCCAUGGUGGCUCCCACAUGUUCCACGAUGAUCUCAUCGGAUGAACCACGAUGUCAAGGAUUCAAUCAAUCCCGUAUACAAUUCCCUUUGCCUGUCAGUAUAGAACUUGCCCGAGAUUCGAUCGUCGGUAUACCUAUACCUUGUUCAAUCUCGUUACCGGUAAGUCUCUUUACUCGUUCCGUAGCACAUCAUCCCGUGACUAACUCCUUAGUCACACUAAGCUCAUUAUGAUGAUGUUCUACCGAGUGGGCCCAGAGAUACCUCUCCGGCACACGGAGUGACAAAUCCCGAUCUCGAUUCGUACCAACCCAACAGACACUUUCGAAGAUACCCGUAGUGCACCUUUGUAGUCACCUAGUUAUGUUGUGAUGUUUGAUACACCCAAAGCACGCCUACAGUAUCUGGGAGUUGCACAAUCUCAUGGUCGAAGGAAAAGACACUUGACAUUAGAAAAGCUUUAGCAUACGAACAAUAUGAUCUAUUGCUAUGCUUAGGAAUGGGUCUUGUCCAUCACAUCAUUAUCCCAAUGAUGUGAUCCCAUUAUUAAUGACAUCCAAUGUCCAUNNNNNNNNNNNNNNNNNNNNNNNNNNNNNNNNNNNNNNNNNNNNNNNNNNNNNNNNNNNNNNNNNNNNNNNNNNNNNNNNNNNNNNNNNNNNNNNNNNNNNNNNNNNNNNNNNNNNNNNNNNNNNNNNNNNNNNNNNNNNNNNNNNNNNNNNNNNNNNNNNNNNNNNNNNNNNNNNNNNNNNNNNNNNNNNNNNNNNNNNNNNNNNNNNNNNNNNNNNNNNNNNNNNNNNNNNNNNNNNNNNNNNNNNNNNNNNNNNNNNNNNNNNNNNNNNNNNNNNNNNNNNNNNNNNNNNNNNNNNNNNNNNNNNNNNNNNNNNNNNNNNNNNNNNNNNNNNNNNNNNNNNNNNNNNNNNNNNNNNNNNNNNNNNNNNNNNNNNNNNNNNNCUAGGGCAUAUUUCCAACACUUAGAGCAGUGAUUUGCUUUAUUAUACUAACAGAUCUUAUCGAGCUUUCUGUUGAGUUUUGUGUGGAUGAAGUGAUCAAAGAUCGAGGAAAUCUCGAUAUGAGGAGAAGGAGGAGAGGCAAGAGCUCAAGAUUGGGUAUGCCCAAGGCACCCCAAGUAAAUAUUCAAGGAGACUCAAGCGUCUAAGCUUGGCGAUGCCCCAGAAGGCAUCCCAUCUUUCUUUACAAAGUAUUGGUAUGUUUUCGUGUUUGCUUCGUUCAUGUGUUAUAUGCAAAUCUUGGAGCAUCUUUUGCAUUUAGUUUUUAUUUUUUCUUUUAUGCACCAUGCUGGUAUGAGAUAGUCCAUGGUUGAUUUAUAGAAUGCUUCAUGUGCCUCACUUGUAUCAUUUGAAGUUUGGAUUGCCUGUUUCUCUUCACAUAAAAAAUUGUUGUUUGUAGAAUGCUCUAUUGCUUCACUUCUACUUAUUAGAGCAUGAUCUUUUGUAGAAAGAAUUAAACUCUCAUGCUUCACUUAUAUCUAUUUAGAGAGUCAACAUGAAUUGGUCAUUUGCAUGGUUAGUCAUAAAAUCCUACAUAAAACUUAUGGAUCACUGAAUAUGAUAUGUUUGAUUCCUUGCAAUAGUUUUACGAUAUAGAGAUGGAAUAUGUGGGAGGUACUAGUAAACGGUUGUGGUUAGUAAGAAUAUUGAUCUUAAGGUUUGUAAUUCCUGAAGCAUGCACGUAUAGUCUCUUGUUAUGCCGGGAAGUUGGAGCACCAUUUAUCCUUGAUUGUCCAUCUUUGUGUGAAGGUCGGGGGCGCACGAUGGUUAACUCCUACCAACCUCCCCCUAGGGGCAUGCGUAGUAGUACUUUGCUUCGAGGGCUAAUAAAUUUUGCAAUAAGUAUAUGAGUUCUUUAUGACUAAUGUGAGUCCAUGGAUUAUACGCACUCUUACCUUUCCGCAAUUUGCUAGCCUCUACGGCACCGUGCAUUGCCCUGUCUCACCUUGAGACGUGGUGCAAACCUCGCCUGUGCAUUCAAACCCCGUGAUAUGAUACACUCUAUCAACAUAAGCCUUAUUAUAUCUUCCUCAAAACAACCACCAUACCUACCUAUUAUGGCCUUUCCAUAGCCAUUCCAAGAUAUAUUGCCAUGCGAUUUACACCGCCUCCGUUUGACUUGAGCAUUCAUUGUCGUAUUGCUUUGCAUGAUCAUAUAGCUGACAUAGUAGUUGUGGCUCAGCCACCGUGUAUCAUUUUUUAUACAUGUUACGCUAGAUCAUUGCACAUCCUGGUACACUGCCAGAGGCAUUCAUGUAUAGUCAUAUUUUUUUCUAGGUAUCGAGUUUUAAUUUUUAUUUCUUUUGAGUUAUAAGUAAAUAGAAGUGUGAUUCUCAUCAUUAUUCAUGAUUAGAGCAUGUCCGAGUGAGGAAAGGAUGAUGGAGACUAUGAUUCCCCCACAAGUCGGGAUGAGACUCCGGACAAAAAAAGGAAAAAAAAUAAAAAAAAUAGGAAAGAAAGAAAGAAUAGAAAGACAAAAGAAUAAAAAAGAAAAAAAGAAAAAGAGAGAAGGGGCAUGCUAGUAUCACACUUGUGCUUCAAAGUAGCACCAUGUUUUUCAUAUGGAGAGUCUCCUAUGUUGCCACUUUCAUAUACCGGUGGGAAUGUUUCAUUAUAGGAUUAGAUGCACACCCACUUACUUUUCAUAUGGGGCUUUCAUACACUUAUAGCUCGUAGUGCAUUCGUUGCAUGGCAAUCCCUACUUCUCACAUUGAUAUCAAUUGAUGGGUAUCUCCAUAGCCCGUUGGUUAGUCGCGUCGAUGUGAGACUUUCUUACUUUUUUGUCUUCUCUAUAUUUACCCCUAUCAUCAUACUCUAUUCCACCCGUAGUGUUAUAUCCAUGGCUUGCACUCAUGUAUUGCGUGAGGGUUGAAAAAGCUGAAGCGCGUUAAAAAGUAUGAACCAAUUGCUUGGCUGACACCGGGAUAGUACAUGGUUUAUACUUUGUGUUAAGAAGACAGAGCAUGACAAGAUUAUAUGACUUUGUAGGGAUAGCUUUCUUUAGUGUUGAUAUUUUGAAAGACAUGAUUGUUUAUUGGGAUGCCUAAGUAUUUAUAUCUUUAUGUCAAAUGAUAUACUAUUGCUUUGAAUCACUUAUGUCUUAAUAUUCAUGCCAUGAUUAGAUGUAUGAUCAAGUUUAUGCUAGGUAGCAUUCCACAUCAAUUUUUUUUACCAUUUACCUACUCGAGCACGAGCAGGAACUAAGCUUGGGGAUGCUGAUACGUCUCCGUUGUAUCUAUAAUUUUUUAUUGUUUCAUGCCAAUAUAAUACAACUUUCACAUACUUUUGGCAGCUUUUAUAUGAUUUAUGUAACUAACCUAUUGAUCUAGUGCCCAGUGCCAGUUCCUGUUUUUUGCAUGUUUUUUGUAUCUUAUAAAAUCCAUAUCAAAUGAAGUCCAAACAUGAUAAAAAUUUACGAAGAAUUAUUUUGGAAUUUAUGUGAUUUUUGGGAGGUGGAAACAUUGCAAACGGGGGCCCACAGAGCCCACAACCCACCAGGGCACGCCACAGGCCUCAGGCGCGCCCUGGUGUCUUGUGCCCUCCUCAAACGUCAGUUGGAGCCCUUCUUCUGGCGCAAGAAAGAUAAUUUAUUGAAAAAAUCGUGUAAAAAUUUCAGCGCAAUCAUAGUUACGGAUCUCCAGGAAUUUAAGAAACCGUGAAGGACCACAUCUGAGAAGCGCGAAACAGAAGAGAACAGAGGGAGGUCCAAUCUCGGAGGGGCUCCCACCCCUCCGCUGCCAUGGAGGCCAUGGACCAGAGGGGUAAAUCUCCUCCCAUCUAGGGGGGAGGCCAAGGAAGGAGAAGGAGGGGGGCUCUCUCCCCCUCUCUACCGGUGGCGUCGGAGUGCCGCGGGGGCUAGGAUCAUGACGGCGAUCUACAUCAACAACCUUGCUACCAUCAACACCAACUUUCUCCCCCUCUAUGCAGCGGUGUAACACCCCUUCUACCCGUAGUAAUCUCUACUUAAACAUGGUUCUCAACUCCAUAUAUUAUUUCCCAAUGAUAUUUGGCUAUCCUAUGAUGUUUGAGUAGAUUCAUUUUGUCCUAUGGGUUAAUCGUGAUCUUGGUUGGUAUGAUUGUAUAUUUUAUUUAUGGCGCCGUCCUACGGUGCCCUCCAUUUCACGCAAAUGUGACAGCCCCCCCUGUAGGGUGUUGCAAUAUGUUCAUGGUUUGCUUAUGUCGGUGUUGCGGGGGAGACACAACCUAAACGCGGAUAAGUGGGUUAUGGCAUAUGGGAGUAAAUAGGACUUGAUACUUAAUGCUAUGGUUGGGUUUCACGACCUUAAUGAUCUUUAGUAGCUGGGGAUGCUUGCUAGAGUUCCAAUCAUAAGUGCGUAUGAUCCAAGCAGAGAAAGUAUGUUAGCUCAUGCCUCUCCCUCAUAUAAAAUUAGAAGAAUGAUUACCGGUACUUGUUAUCGAUUGCCUAGGGGCAAAUGACUUUCUUGUUGACAAAAGCUAUGCACUUCUAUUACCUUGCAAUUUAUUCGUAGUUCUAUUCUCGCAAAGUACUCGUAGUUUUGUUCUUGCAAAAUAGUUUCAUAAUUGUUUUAGGUAAAGCAAACGUCAAGCGUGCGUAGAGUUGUAUCGGCGGUUGAUAAAACUUGAGGGAAUAUUUGUUCUGCCUUUAGCUCCUCGUUGGGUUCGACACUCUUAUUUAUCGAAGAAGGCUACAAACGAUCCCCUAAAGUUGUGGGUUAUCAGAGGGCCUUCUCUCCCAGCCGACUGAUGAAGCGGCUGAGGGAAGCGAGGCAGCCGGUGACCUUCUGGACUCCAACCAGGUCGGUCGGUCGGGCCAUUCGCUCGAUGGCCCGAAUCUUCUCCGGGUUUGCCUUGACUCGUUGUUCGAAAAUGAGGAAGCCGAGGAGCUGGCCGGCUGGCAUGCCGAACACACACUUUUCUGGGUUUAGCCGGAUCUCAAACUCGUGCAGGCUCGCAAACGUCUCGUUGAGAUCGUCCAGGAGGGUGCAGCUUUCUUUGGUUUUGACCAUGACAUCAUCUACGUAGACGUGUACGUUGUGGCCAAGCUGCAAGUAGAGGCAUCGCUGCAUGCAGCGCUGGAACGUGGCGCUAGCAUUUUUCAGCCCGAACGUCAUCAUAAUGUAGCAAAACGCCCCAAAGGGUGUGAUGAAAGUUGUCUUCAGCCGAUCGACUGGAUUUAGCUUCAUCUGGUGGUAGCCUGAAUAGGCGUGUAGGAAGGACAACAACUCGUAGCUGGUCGUCGAGUCGAUCACUUGAUCGAAACGGGGCACAGCAAAUGGAUCCUUGGGGCAUGCCUUGUUUAGGCUCGUGUAAUUGAUACACAUGCGCCAAGUCUUAUUUUUCUUCAGCACCAGGACAGGCUUCGACAACCAGUCUUGGUGGAAGACUUCCAUGAAGAAGCCAGCUGCUAGCAGCCGGGCAACUUCUUCACUGAUGGUUUUUCGCUUGUCCUUUGGGAAGCGGCGCAAGGGUGGCGUGACCAGUUUUGCGUCUGGCUGGAGGUGGAGUAAGUGCUCGAUGAACUUCCUCUGGACUCCUGGCAUGUCCUUUGGGGACCAUGCAAAGAUAUCCCGAUUCUCAUGGAGGAAGUCGACAAGCUCGCUUUCCUAUUUGUCGUUGAGGCCAGCCCCCAACAUGGUGUAAUUGUCGGUGGGGUCGGCCGGGUCUAGAGGGAGCUUUUUGGUGUCCUUGCCGGUGGCCGGCUGGAAUUGGGCCUCCACAGCCAGCUGCUUCAGCUUGGGCUCGGGCAUGGCAGCCAGCUCGCGGGAAAGGGCCAUGAGUCGGUCGAUCUAUCGCCGCUCCUCGAAGAUGAAAAGCGACUAGGCCAGCUUGGAGCCGAUUAGAGCGCACUCGGAUGACUUCCUAUAAUUGCCCGCGACGGUGAUGAUCCCAUGUGGGCCUGGCAGCUCCAUCUUCAGAUAGGCGUAAUGCGGGACUUGUUGGAAAUAUGCCCUAGAUGCAAUAAUAAAUUAGUUAUUAUUAUAUUUCUUUGUUCAUGAUAAUCGUUUAUUAUCCAUGAUAUAAUUGUAUUGAUUGGAAACACAAUACUUGUGUGGAUACAUAGACAAAACACUGUCCCUAGUAAGCCUCUAGUUGACUAGCUCGUUGAUCAAAGAUGGUCAAGGUUUCCUCACCAUAGGCAAGUGUUGUCACUUGAUAACGGGAUCACAUCAUUAGGAGAAUCAUGUGAUGGACUAGACCCAAACUAAUGAACGUAGCAUGUUGGUCGUGUCAUUUUGUUGCUACUGUUUUUCUGCGUGUCAAGUAUUUAUUCCUAUGACCAUGAGAUCAUAUAACUCACUGACACUGGAGGAAUGCCUUGUGUGCAUCAAACGUCGCAACGUAACUGGGUGACUAUAAAGGUGCUCUACACGUAUCUCCGAAGGUGUCCGUUGAGUUAGUAUGGAUCAAGACUGGGAUUUGUCACUCCGUGUGACGGAGAGGUAUCUCGGGGCCCACUCGGUAAUACAACAUCACACACAAGCCUUGCAAGCAAUGUGACUUAGUGUAAGUCAUGGGGUCUUGUAUUACGGAACGAGNNNNNNNNNNNNNNNNNNNNNNNNNNNNNNNNNNNNNNNNNNNNNNNNNNNNNNNNNNNNNNNNNNNNNNNNNNNNNNNNNNNNNNNNNNNNNNNNNNNNNNNNNNNNNNNNNNNNNNNNNNNNNNNNNNNNNNNNNNNNNNNNNNNNNNNNNNNNNNNNNNNNNNNNNNNNNNNNNNNNNNNNNNNNNNNNNNNNNNNNNNNNNNNNNNNNNNNNNNNNNNNNNNNNNNNNNNNNNNNNNNNNNNNNNNNNNNNNNNNNNNNNNNNNNNNNNNNNNNNNNNNNNNNNNNNNNNNNNNNNNNNNNNNNNNNNNNNNNNNNNNNNNNNNNNNNNNNNNNNNNNNNNNNNNNNNNNNNNNNNNNNNNNNNNNNNNNNNNNNNNNNNNNNNNNNNNNNNNNNNNNNNNNNNNNNNNNNNNNNNNNNNNNNNNNNNNNNNNNNNNNNNNNNNNNNNNNNNNNNNNNNNNNNNNNNNNNNNNNNNNNNNNNNNNNNNNNNNNNNNNNNNNNNNNNNNNNNNNNNNNNNNNNNNNNNNNNNNNNNNNNNNNNNNNNNNNNNNNNNNNNNNNNNNNNNNNNNNNNNNNNNNNNNNNNNNNNNNNNNNNNNNNNNNNNNNNNNNNNNNNNNNNNNNNNNNNNNNNNNNNNNNNNNNNNNNNNNNNNNNNNNNNNNNNNNNNNNNNNNNNNNNNNNNNNNNNNNNNNNNNNNNNNNNNNNNNNNNNNNNNNNNNNNNNNNNNNNNNNNNNNNNNNNNNNNNNNNNNNNNNNNNNNNNNNNNNNNNNNNNNNNNNNNNNNNNNNNNNNNNNNNNNNNNNNNNNNNNNNNNNNNNNNNNNNNNNNNNNNNNNNNNNNNNNNNNNNNNNNNNNNNNNNNNNNNNNNNNNNNNNNNNNNNNNNNNNNNNNNNNNNNNNNNNNNNNNNNNNNNNNNNNNNNNNNNNNNNNNNNNNNNNNNNNNNNNNNNNNNNNNNNNNNNNNNNNNNNNNNNNNNNNNNNNNNNNNNNNNNNNNNNNNNNNNNNNNNNNNNNNNNNNNNNNNNNNNNNNNNNNNNNNNNNNNNNNNNNNNNNNNNNNNNNNNNNNNNNNNNNNNNNNNNNNNNNNNNNNNNNNNNNNNNNNNNNNNNNNNNNNNNNNNNNNNNNNNNNNNNNNNNNNNNNNNNNNNNNNNNNNNNNNNNNNNNNNNNNNNNNNNNNNNNNNNNNNNNNNNNNNNNNNNNNNNNNNNNNNNNNNNNNNNNNNNNNNNNNNNNNNNNNNNNNNNNNNNNNNNNNNNNNNNNNNNNNNNNNNNNNNNNNNNNNNNNNNNNNNNNNNNNNNNNNNNNNNNNNNNNNNNNNNNNNNNNNNNNNNNNNNNNNNNNNNNNNNNNNNNNNNNNNNNNNNNNNNNNNNNNNNNNNNNNNNNNNNNNNNNNNNNNNNNNNNNNNNNNNNNNNNNNNNNNNNNNNNNNNNNNNNNNNNNNNNNNNNNNNNNNNNNNNNNNNNNNNNNNNNNNNNNNNNNNNNNNNNNNNNNNNNNNNNNNNNNNNNNNNNNNNNNNNNNNNNNNNNNNNNNNNNNNNNNNNNNNNNNNNNNNNNNNNNNNNNNNNNNNNNNNNNNNNNNNNNNNNNNNNNNNNNNNNNNNNNNNNNNNNNNNNNNNNNNNNNNNNNNNNNNNNNNNNNNNNNNNNNNNNNNNNNNNNNNNNNNNNNNNNNNNNNNNNNNNNNNNNNNNNNNNNNNNNNNNNNNNNNNNNNNNNNNNNNNNNNNNNNNNNNNNNNNNNNNNNNNNNNNNNNNNNNNNNNNNNNNNNNNNNNNNNNNNNNNNNNNNNNNNNNNNNNNNNNNNNNNNNNNNNNNNNNNNNNNNNNNNNNNNNNNNNNNNNNNNNNNNNNNNNNNNNNNNNNNNNNNNNNNNNNNNNNNNNNNNNNNNNNNNNNNNNNNNNNNNNNNNNNNNNNNNNNNNNNNNNNNNNNNNNNNNNNNNNNNNNNNNNNNNNNNNNNNNNNNNNNNNNNNNNNNNNNNNNNNNNNNNNNNNNNNNNNNNNNNNNNNNNNNNNNNNNNNNNNNNNNNNNNNNNNNNNNNNNNNNNNNNNNNNNNNNNNNNNNNNNNNNNNNNNNNNNNNNNNNNNNNNNNNNNNNNNNNNNNNNNNNNNNNNNNNNNNNNNNNNNNNNNNNNNNNNNNNNNNNNNNNNNNNNNNNNNNNNNNNNNNNNNNNNNNNNNNNNNNNNUUUUGAUGUAUGCAGUCCAAUGGGUGUUGAGGCACGCAGUGGAUAUCAUUGUGUUCUUACUUCAAUGACGAUUUGAGUAGAUACAGGAGUAUUUACUUAAUGAAUCACAAGUCUGAAAUAUUGAAAAGGUUCAAUUCUGUUUCAGAGUGAAGUUCGUCAUAACAAGAGGAUAAACUGUCUACGAUAUGAUCAUAGAGAUGACUAUCUGAGUUGCGAGUUUUUGUUACGCAAUUAAGAGAAAGUGAAAAUUGUUUCGCAGUUCAUGCCACCUGGAACACCAUAGUGUGAUGAUGUGUCUAAACGUCAUAGCCACACCCUAUUUGAUAUGGUGCAUACUAUGAUGUCUCUUAUCGAAUUACCACUAUCAUUUAUGGGUUAUGUAUUAGAUACAACCACAUUCACUUUAAAUAGGGCACCGGGUAUUUACGUUGAGAUGACAUAGUAUAGAAUGAGGUUUGGAGAAAUCUAAGCUGUCGUUUCUUGAAAGUUUGGGGCUGCGAUGCUUAUGUGAAAAGGUUUCAGUCUGAUAAGCUCGAACCCAAAGCGGAUAAAAUGCAUCUUCAUAGGAUAUCCAAAACGGUUGGAUACAUCUCCUAUCUCAGAUCCAGAAGCAAAGUGUUUGUUUCUAGAAACGGAUCCUUUCUCGAGGAAAGGUUUCUCUCGAAAGAAUUGAGUGGGAGGGUGAUAGAAUUUGAUGAGGUUAUUGAACCAUCACUUCAAAUAGUGUGUAGCAGGGCGCAGGAAGUUGUUCCUGUGGCGCCUACACCAAUUGAUGUGGAAGCUGAUGAUAGUGAUCAUUGAGCAUCCGAUCAAGUUACUACGGACCUCGUAGGUCGACAAGGUCGCGCACUACUACAGAGUGGUACAGUAACCCUGUCUUGGAGGUCAUAUUGUUGAACAACAAUGAACCUACGAGUUAUGGAGAAGCAAUGGUGGGCCCGGAUUCCGACAAAUGGCUGGAGGCCAUGAAAUCCGAGAGAGAAUCCAUGGAUAAGACAAAGUGUAGACUUUGGAAGAACUUCUUGAUGGUAGUAAGACUAUUAAGUAGAGAUGGAUUUUUAAAAGGAAGAUAGACAAUGAUGGUGAUAAGUCACUAUUAAGAAAAGCUCGACUUGUCGCAAAGAUGUUUCCGACAAGAUCAAAUAAUUGACUAUGAUGAGACUUUCUCACUCGUAGCGAUGCUAAAAGUCUGUUGGAAUUAUGUUAGUAGUUGCUGCAUUAUUUGUGAAAUAUUGCACAUAGGAAGACAAAACAUUGUUUCCUCGACGGUUUCCUUGAGGAAAGAUUGUAUCUGAUACAACCAGAAGGUUUUGUCGAUCCUAAGGAUACUAACAAGUAUGCAAGCUCUAGAGAUCCUUCAAUGGACUUGUGCAAGCAUCUUGGAGUUGGAAUAUACACUUUGAUGAGAUGAUCAAAGAUUUUGGGUUUGUACAAGGUUUAUGUGAAACUUGUAUUUCGAAAGAAGUGAGUGGGAGCACUAUAGAAUUUCUAAUAAGUAUAUGUGGUUGACAUAUUGUGGAUCAGAAGUAAUGUAGAAUUUUGUAAAGCAUAAAAGGUUGUUUGAAAGGAGUUUUUCAAAGGAAUACCUGGCUUGCGCUUCUUGAACGUUGAGCAUCAAGAUCUAUGGAGAUAGAUCGAAACACUUAAUAGAAGUUUCAACAAGAUGCAUGUCUUGACAAGUUUUUGAAAGAGUUCAAAAUAGAUCAGUAAAGAAAGGAGUUCUUGGUUAUGUUGUAAGGUGUGAAUUUGAGUAAGACUCAAAACCCGCCCACGACAGAAGAAAGAGAAAGGACGAAGGUCAUCCCCUAUGCCUUAGCCUUAGAAUCUAUAGUAUGCCAUGCUAUGUACCGCACCUGAUGUGUGCCUUGCCACAAGUCUGUUAAGAGGUACAGAGAGUGAUCCAGGAUUGAAUCACUGAACAUCGGUCAAAGUUAUCCAUAGUAACUAAUGGAAUAAGGAAUUUUUCUCGAUUAUGGAGGUGGUUAAAGAGUUCGUCGUAAAGGGUUACGUCGAUGCAAGCUUUGACACUAGUCCGAAUAACUAUGAGUAGUGAAACAGAUUCGUAUAGUAGAGUAGAUAUUUCGAGUAUUUCCGAAUAGCACGUAGUAGCAACAUCUAUAAGAUGACAUAAACAUUUGUAAAGAACACACGGAUCUGAAAGUUUUAGAACCGUUGACUAAACCCUCUCUCACGAGCAAGACGUGAUCAGUCCCCAGAACUACAUGGGUGUUGGAUUAGUUGAAGUCACAUGGUGAUGUGAACUAGAUUAUUGACUCUAGUGCAAGUGGGAGACUGUUGGAAAUAUGCCCUAGAGGCAAUAAUAAAUUACUUAUUACUAUAUUUCUUUGUUCAUGAUAAUCGUUUAUUAUCCAUGCUAUAAUUGUAUUGAUUGGAAACACAAUACUUGUGUGGAUACAUAGACAAAAGACUGUCCCUAGCAAGCCCCUAGUUGACUAGCUCGUUGAUCAAAGAUGGUCAAGGUUUCCUGACCAUAGGCAAGUGUUGUCACUUGAUAACGGGAUCACAUCAUUAGGAGAAUCAUGUGAUGGACUAGACCCAAACUAAUGAACGUAGCAUGUUGAUCGUAUCAUUUUGUUGCUACCGUUUUCUGCGUGUCAAGUAUUUAUUCCUAUGACCUUGAGAUCAUAUAACUCACUGACACCAGAGGAAUGCCUUGUGUGCAUCAAAUGUCGCAACGUAACUGGGUGACUAUAAAGGUGCUCUACAGGUAUCUCCGAAGGUGUCCGUUGAGUUAGUAUGGAUCAAGACUGGGAUUUGUCACUCCGUGUGACGGAGAGAUAUCUCGGGGCCCACUCGGUAAUACAACAUCACACACAAGCCUUGCAAGCAAUGUGACUUAGUGUAAGUCACGGGAUCUUGUAUUACGGAACAAGUAAAGAGACUUGCCGGUAAACGAGAUUGAAAUAGGUAUGCGGAUACUGACGAUCGAAUCUCGGGCAAGUAACAUACCGAAGGACAAAAGGAAUGACAUACGGGAUUAUAUGAAUCCUUGGNGGGCGGAGCCCUGCUGAGAUAGAUCACCACCAACCUCCGGAGCGCCGUCAGUCUUCCGGAGAACUCAUCUACCUCUCCGUCUCUCUUGCUGGAUCAAGAAGGCCGAGAUCAUCGUCGAGCUGUACGUCUGUUGAACGCGGAGGUGCCGUCCGUUUAGCACUAGAUCGGAACGGAUCGUGAGAUGGAUCGCAAGACGGUUCGUGUGACGGUUUGCGGGGCGGAUCGAGGGACGUGAGUACGUUCCACUACAUCAACCGCGUUUCUUAACGCUUUUGCUGUGCGAUCUACAAGGGUACGUAGAUCGGAAAUCUCCUCUCGUAGAUGAACGUCACCAUGAUAGGUAUUGCGUGUGCGUAGGAAAAUUUAUGUUUCCCAUGCGACGUUCCCCAACAGGACAACCAUGAAUUUGGCCAGGGCCGGCCAGUCCAAGAUGGCCUGGGAGGAUCUGGUGAGGUUGACGACCUCGAACCAGAUCGGCUCGCGGCGGAAGUUCUUCGGCGAGCCGAACAACACGUCCAGACGGACCUUGCCGAUCGGCGAGCAUGAGUGGCCGAGGACAAUGCCGUGGAACACUGUGCGAGUCGGCUGGAGCUCGGACUCCAGAAUGCCAAGCUUGUGCAUGGUGUCGCGGUAGAGGAUGUUGAUGCUGCUAACGCCGUCGACGAGCACCCAUAUGAAGCAGCAUGUGAUUUGCCGGGAGACGAAGGUGGGAUCUAGCACCAGUGCGUAGCCGCCUGGUGUCGGCAUCACAACAUGAUGGUCUUUGCGACCCCAGGUGAUUGGCUUGUCCGACCAGUGCAUGUACUGGGGGACUGGUGGGACGAUGGCGUUGACCUCUAGGGCUCUCUUGCGCUGGCUGUGCUUGUCAUCAAGCUCCCUGGUGAAGAUGGCAUAGGUCGCGUCCUAUUGGGGGUAUGCGUCGCGGGUUUCGCCGGCUCUCAGAGAGGAAUGCGGCGGAGGCGGCAACGAUGCAGAAGGCAGAAGCUGGCCACGCGCAAUCUUGGCGAACCAGCUGCACUAGCGGGCGGUGUGCGUCACCGGCUUGGCGCCGCUAUGGAGCUUGCAGGGCCGGUCGAGCAUGGCCUCGAAGGUGUACUUGGCCUGCCACGGCUGCUUGCCUUUGUUGGUGCGCUGGUGCCGGCUGGGGCCUUGGCCGUCUUCCAUGCGUCCGUCCUCGACGGUCGAGACCUGCUGGGUAGCCUAGCGUGCAUCCGGCUAGUUAGCCGUGCGCUUGCCCUGACCCGGCUGGGAUCGACCGGCAGCCGGGGCGAAAGCUGGCUUGGACAUAGUCGGUUUGCCAGCCGCGUGAACGAGCAAGGGGAGCUUCAUGGAAGACGGCGUACUAAUCCACAACGGCCAUCAGCUGCGCGAGGGUGGAGGGUUCCCGGCGUGAAAUCUUGUGCUUGAGGAGGGUGCUGUCUCGACAGCCGUCGAUGAAGUAAUGAAUCACCUACACUUCAUGGACGCCCUCGCAGUAGUUGUGGAGCUUGGUCCAUCGCAUGAGGUAGUCGCGGAGCGGCUCGGUCGGGCCGUGUAUGCACAAGGCGAGCUGUCGGGGCCGACUAGAGCGCUUGUACGUGCCAAUGAAGGUGCGCACAGACGCCUCGUGGAAGUCCAGCCAGCUGUUCACGCUGCCAACGGCAGGCUCUUAAGGCAGGUCAGGCCGAGCCUAGCAGCAUGAGGGGCACAUAGCGUACGACUAUGCUCUUGUUGCCGCCGGCGGUGGUGUAGUCGGUCAACCAAUCCUCAGGCAUAGUCGAGCCGUUGUACUUGGGGAUGUGGCAUGCCAAGGUGAAGCCUUUGGGGAACGGCUCCUUGGGGAUGCGCGGCCCAAAACACGGCGGGCCGGCCGUGCCUUCCUCCUCAGUGGUGCGGGAUCGGGCGAGGCGCUCUGGGCGGAAACACACAUCCUGAUUGUCGAGUUGGCGUGCGCCAUCCACUCGUACACCGACAAGGGAGGUACUUCCGACCGGUCGCGUUCCUCGCGCCAUACGCUCCGGGCCGAUAGGUGGUCUGCCUGGCCAGGCAGCUCCUGCACACGACUGUCGACAACCGACACACUACGGUCCCACCGGCCACGGCUGUCUGCCUGUUGGCUGCCGCGACGGGGAUGACUGCCGGCUGGUGAAGACACGUGACUCGUCUCCCGCCGGCCGACUACGGCUGACCGACAACGUUGUAGGUCCUUGAGCGGGAGCCGGCCGGGCCGCGGGUUGACCGGGCCUCCUGCGCAUUGGCGACCUCUAUGAGGACGUAGAUGCGCUCCUGCUGCGUGUUGCGGGCCGGACCAUCGAGCCCCUCCGGCUCACUGAUGGUGGCCUGCACAGCUCGCAUGUUCUUGACUGGGGUAUCAUAGACAGGGCGGUCGCCGGCCGGCUCCUAGCCGACUGCGCCCCCUCAGUGCCGCACGCACUCUAGUUGACUGAGCCUGGGGGCAGCCAGCAUGAGACCAUGGGUCACGUUGAAUUCGCGCCGAGUGGCCUCGAACUCGCGCUGAGCAGCCUCCAGUGCUUCCGCUUCGCUGAGCAGCUGCAUGCCGUGGGUGUCGAGCUCUUGGGUGGCGACCAAGGGGUCGGCCACCUGAGGGAUGGGGGUGCGGAGCGUGUCCAUCGCUGCGUGAAUCGGGUUUCGGUACCCAGGUGCGCAACCAUGCAAGGUGACGGUGAGCACCUCCACACGAUCGCACAUGUCAUCGAUGCUGCUGGAGAGGUUGCUGUCGCCAGUCUGCGACAUCUUGUCAUAGCUGAGCACCUCGGUGGGAUAGCUGUCGGCGACGACCGCAACGUAGACGCAGUGUGAGAAAAAGUAAAUGAUGGAGCCAUCAGCGGGGAAGUCCGUGUCCUCUAGACGACGGGAGUUGUCAUUGACGCAGUCGAGCGCAUCGUAGCGCACGACCAAGCCGUGAACCACACGCUUGCCAGAAGGGGUGAAGGGUCCCGCCCAGAACGUCACUUCGGCCGGCGUCGCUGCCAGCCCCAUGGUGGGCGCCAACUAUCAUGGUAUUUCCGAGACAGAUGCCAUGGGGUGGCUUAACUCGUGGUUUGGGGCCGAUGGGUGCCGAUGGCGUUGGGGAACAGGUGUAGGCGCAACACACAUGACGUCGAUAUACCCAGGUUAAGGGCCCUCCGAUGAGGUAAAAUCCCUAGUCCUGUCUGUGUGACUAUAUAAGAAUCAAAGUACAAAGGUGCUCCUUGAGCUGUCCGUGAGGAGGGAGACGGAGCUCUGGCUGCUGGUAUUGCUACCUCAAUGGUGUGCUAUGCGCAUGUCUCGAGUGUCUCUCUGUGUGUCGAUCUCCAGGUGAAUGUGAGCGUGCCUCUCCUGGAACUUCCCUCUCUCGGUGGGCUGAGGUGAGGCUUUAUAAUGUAUCCAGGAGGUAUAAUGGUAAGGGUAGGACAUGAGGUGGGGGUCGGGUGCCAGCCUCUCGUGCCGGCUGCGGGUCCGGUCGCGGGGCUCUUCGACCGUGUGCAUCAGCGGCCAGCGCCGAGUCAUCAGGGCGCAUGCGAAGGGGGGGGGGAACGUGGCUACAGGACCGCCUCACCCGGUUAGUGUCGGCGGCGAUGUGGGCCCUGUAGCCUCGCUGAUGUGCCCACCAUCAUGCCGCAGUCAUGCCGAGUGUGUGAGCGCGUACUGCUGCCGUGAUUGACGGGAUUAUACUUAAGGGUAGGCCUACAAACUCAUUUCCACAGGGCCCACCUAAGUACCUGUAAGGACAUCAGUGUCGUACAAGUCAUCGUGAUAGUCUCAACCUCAUUCGGUCAUUGUGCUCUUACUCGGUUACAUGAGGUCACUCGGUCUGCUUUGCGACAAUCGGACGCUCCCAACACUCAGUCCAUAACAUGGCACGGAACAUGAAGGGACUGCAACGUCCAAGGACUUAAACACAUGCGUGAAGGCCCAUGAAGGCCCGCGUUACCGGUAACGCAAGGGAUUAAGGCGGUUGUUACUUAUAACUUCCCUCUUUAUUAUCAUUUUUCCUUGUAAUCUUUUAGACCCCCAUAAGAAAACGCCAGCCUCUCGGCUCGAGACGUAGGGCUAUUUCCACUUCCGAGUGGGGCCUGAACUCGGAAAACCGAAUGCAUCCACCGCACCUAGCUAGACUUCGCCCCUUAGUUUGUACCCCUGAUACUAUUGUCAGGAUCAUUCCCAUGACAGUGAUAGUCUCUGAUCAUUCGUCUUGUCUUGUCUUCGUAUGAUGGCACGACCGGAUGGGAUGGGAGCCGACCGUCCGGCUGGCGGCACGCCAGCCAGCGUGUCGGAUCUCGCCAGUCGGCCAGACAUGCGUUGGAUAAGUGCGCCGGCUAUCGCCAGCCGACCGAGCAUGUACGGGUCGGCUAUCUCCAGCCAGUCGGACUGGUGUUGGCCGAAUGGGCUGGCUAUCUCAAGCCGACCGGAAUUAUGUUGGCCGAAUGUGCUGGCUAUCGCCAGCCGACCGGACUUGUGUUGGCCGAAUGGGCCAGGCUAUCGCAAGCCGGCGUGGGGGCCCAGGCCUCCCCCAAAUGUCUUGGAGACAACUAAUCUGCACUCUUGGUAUACCCAGGGGUAGUAUCCCCGUCAGAGUACGAGUUUGUGUUUUCCUUGUGUUUUUCCACUUUUCAGGCUUCAGUACCAAAUGAAGCCCAAUUGAACCGAAACUUUUUGUGAUUUUUUGCCAAGCCAAAAUAGGAACUUGGAACAUUGGAAGGAGGCAGGAGAGUGCACAAGGCCCCCACAAGCCAACAAGACACGACCUUGGGGGUGCACCCUGAUGGCUUGUGGCCCCCUCGUGGCUCUCCCGACUCCGUUAUGUGGCCUAUCAAUUCCUAUGUGCCCUAAAACCUUCAAAGGAGGCCCCAAACCAAGUUUUACGUCACUGCAAGUCUCUGUUCCGAUGGGAGGCCAUCUAGAGCUUUGUAUCGGCACUCUGCCAGAGGGUGAUCGAUCAUAGACGGCUUCUUCAUCAACCUUGCUGCCCUCAUGAUUAUGUGUGAGUAUUUCACCAUAUGCCUACGGGUCCAUAGCCAGUACCUAGAUGAAAAUAUCUCUCUUUGAUCAUCAAUACAAUGGUCAUCACAUCUUCGCUCUUCUGCAUAUGAUGUAACUCUUUUGUAUGGUGCGUUUGUUGGGAUUAUAUGAAUUGUGGGUUUAUGUUCACAUUAUUCAUGAUAAUAUGAAUCUUAUGUGCAUGAUUAUGAUAACUUUGUAAUUCUUUUUGAUCCAUCGAAAUAAUUUGGCCAACUAGAUUGAUAUUUCUUCAGUAAGAGAGGUGCGUUGUAGUAGGUUCAACCAAUUAAGUUUCUAUAUCCUAGUGAUACAAGGGGACAAGUUGCGUCUUUGUGUUGCUGCUACUAACGGUAAAACAAUGUGGUUUAUUCAUAUUGGUUGAGUUUACCUAGUCUGCAUCAUGUCAUCUUACUCCAAGCAUUAAUUCGUUUGCAUGAACUUAAUAUGUAGAGAGGCAAGCAUAUAAGUGCUCUUGAAGUGAAGUAAUAGUAUUAGGUGUAGGCAGGAGUCGGCCAAUUUUUUUAUGGAUGUGAUUCCUAUAUUUACAUGAUCAUAUCGUGAAAAUCUCAUAAGUAUCCUCUCUUCUAUCAAUUGCCCAACAAUAAUUUGUUGACCCAUCGUGUACUAUUUUUAUCAGAGAUGCCAUUAGGCAAAACUAUGGCCCUCGGGUCUUUUCAGAACAAAUUGCUAAAACAUGCUAUACUAUGCUGCUAUUUAUUUACUUUUAUUUUAUUUUGCAUUUUAGAAUUAUCUACAAUUAUCUAGUCACCUCAUUUGCUUGCAAAUAACGAGACUAAGGGGAUUGACAACCCUCUUUCCCGCGUUGGGUGCAAGCCGUUUCUUUUUGUGUGCAGCCGCUAAAGAUGGUUGUGCUUAGUAUUCCUAUUGGUUAGAUAAACCUUGGUUUCAUAACCGAGGGAAGUACUUACCCAAUUUGUUCCGCGAUAACCCGUUCCUUUUCAGGAAAAACCCAACGCAGACCACGAGGACCAGGAAGGAUUUCUCGCGUCAUUGCUGGGGAAUAUCAUCACCAACUAUGAAGUAACUCCGCACAAAAUUUCAUUAACUUGUUCUUAUUUUUUAUUUUCUGGUAUAUUUAGUUUGUCUCAUAAAAAGUAAAAAAAACUAAAAAUAUUUAUCUUUGCUUGCUUAGCUUGUCACUAGAUUCCAUCUUCGCUCUCUAGUUUGCUCGUUACACUUAUCUCUUUGCUCAAUUAGUCACCAUGUCCCAAGAUACUACUAAGUUCUGUGACUUUUCAAAUACUAAUAAUAAUUAUUUUAAUAGUACUACUAUAACACCCUCCACUAGUGAGGAUGCCUUUUAUAUUAAUGCUUCAUUGCUAAAUCUUGUCAUGAAAGAUAAAUUUUCGGGAAGUCCUAAUGUGGAUCCCACUUCACAUCUCAAUACUUUUGUGGAACUUUGUUAUAUGCAAAAUAAAAAGAACCUGGACAAUGGUAUUGUCAAUUUUUUUCCCUUUUUCAAUUAGGGAUAAAGAAAAAGCUUGGUUUUCAUAUUUUCCACGUAAUAGUAUUGGAACAUGGGAUAAGUGUAAAGAUGCUUUCAUUGCCAAGUAUUUUCCUCCUACUAAUAUCAUUUCCCUAAGAAAUCAAAUAAUGAACUUUAAACAUCAAGAACAUGAACAUGUUGCUCAAGCUUGGGAGAGAAUGAAGUUGAUGAUAACAAAUUGUCCAACUCAUGGUUUAAACUUAUGGAUGAUUGUUCAAAAUUUCUAUGCGGGACUAAACUUUUCAUCCAAAAAUCUUCUAGAUUUGGCCGCAGGUGGUACCUUCAUGGAGGUGACCCUAGGAGAGGCCACCAAACUUCUGGACGACAUCAUGGUCAACUAUUCUCAAUGGCAUACAAAACAAGCUCCAACUGUUAAGAAGGUAGAUUUUAUUGAGGAAACCGCUACUUUGAGUGAAAAAGUGGAUGCUCUUAUGAAAUAGGUUUCUAAUAAAAACACUCAUGUUGAUCCCAAUGAUAUGCCUUUGUCUACCUUGAUUGAACAAAACAAUGAUGCUAUUUAUGUGAACUUUGUCUCGCGAAAUAAUUUCAACAACAAUGCUUAUAGAGGUAAUUUCAAUGCUAGGCCGUAUCCCGGUAAUAAUCCUAAUGGUUAUGGAAAUUCUCAUGGAAAUUCCUCUUCAAAUUCUAAUAGUAUACCCUCUGAUCUUGAGAACACAAUAAAGGAUCUCAUUUAUUCUCAAAAAGUUUUCAAUACUAUGGUAGAUGAAAAAUUACAUGUUGUUGAUACUUUGGCUAGAAACAUGGAUAUGAUUGUUCUUAAUGUAGAAAAUUUUAAAAAGGCUUUGCCUCCUAAGCAUGAUUUUAAUGAGACUACUAAAUCUACCCAAGGUUCUAUUAAUGAGAGUAAGGAGAGGACCGCUAAAUUGAGAGCUAAGCGAGAAUUCCUAGAAAAGGCUGUUUCACCCGGUUUUUACCGUAGUCAUGAUGAAGACCUUAAAAUGAUUGGUAUUUCUCCUAUUGAAUCUUUGUUUACCUCUCUGAGGACUACUCAUAAAGGUACUGCAUAUGAGUCAACUUUAGUUAGGGAGCGUCCCAUUUUCUUGGAGGGUGAUGAUCCUAAUGAUAGAACUAAAAAGUGGGUUUGGAGAGGUCAAAACUUUAACUAGUGAUGUUCCCACUAUCUUGGAUUACAAGGACUUUAAUUAGGAUAAUUUAUCUUUAUUAGAAUGUAUUUCCUUGCUGCAAUCCAUUAUUAUCUCACCCAAUGCUUAUGAAAAAAUAAAGUUUUUACUCAACAUUUAGUAGAAGCUAUGGUAAAAGCUUAUGAUGAGUAACUUGAUCUUGAAGUUACUAUUCCUAGAAAGUUGCAUGAUGAGUGGGAACCUACUAUCUAAAUUAAGAUAAAUAAAUAUGAAUGCAAUGCUUUGUGUGACCUUGGUUCUAGUGUUUGAACUAGACCUAAAGCUUUAUGUGAUGUGCUUGGUCUCACUAAUAUUGAAGAAUAUUCCCUUAACUUCCAUCUUGCGGAUUCUACCAUUAAGAAACCCUUAGGUAGAAUUAAUGAUGUUCUUAUCAUUCCAAACAAAAAUUACAUGCCUGUAGAUUUUAUUGUGCUUGAUAUUGAUUGCAAUCCUACUUGUCCCAUUAUACUUAGAAGACCUUUCCUACGAACUAUAGGUGCAAUCAUUGAUAUGAAAGAGGGCAAAAUAAGGUUCCAAUUACCAUUGAAGAAAGGGAUGAAACACUUUCCCAGAAAGAGAAUCAAACCACCUUAUUAAUCUAUCUUGAGGGCCACUUAUGGAUUAAAUUUCAAGGAUGACAACACUUGAAACUAGGCAAUAUGCCUAGCUAGGGGCGUAAAAACAAUAGCGCUUGUUGGGAGGCAACCCAAUAGUUAUCUUUAAUUUUUCCUUUACUUUCUGUUAUUGUGUGAUGACAUAAUUGUUGCUUCUGUAGUUACUGUGUUUUUAUGUUUCAAUUAAUGUUUGUGCAAAUAAAGCCUUUGGGAUGAUUUGCAUGAUGAGUAGAAUUGGUACGGUGCAAAAACAGAAACUUUGACGCCCAAUGUAGAAUUUCUCUGAUUUUACGGGAACGUCUUUUUAAUAUGAUUUUUUUACAAAGUACUGAUAUAAAAAUUUCUCAGGCUUUCUUUAUUUUUCAUAAUUUUUGGAGUUAAAUAAGUAUGGCAAUUAAAUAUAUUACUCUAGACUGUUCUGUUUUAAACAGAUUCUGUUUUUUCCAUGUAUAGUUUGCUUGUUUUGAUUAUGUUAUGGAUUAUAUGGCGUGGGGGGGGGGUAUAAGAAAUGGAUAAGUUAGAAUGCAUUAAAUUAUGCUAAAAUAAAUGAAGAAUAAAUUUAUAACAGUACCUACAAGUGUUUAUUUUGUUGCCUAUACCAACACAUCUCAUGAAGUUUUAUUGAGUUUUGUGCGAUUGAGGUUUUUGGGUUUUGGGUAUUAUAUCGAUGGACAAAAGAAUGAGAAGCGGAAUGAGUAUAAGAUUGGUGAUGCCCAAGGCACCCCACGCUAAUAUUCUAGGAAGACUCAAGCGUCUAAGAUUUCCUAUGCCCCGGGAAUACAUCCCCUGUUUCGUCUCAAUCCAUUGGUAUGUUACUUGGAGAUACAUUUUUAUUCGUCACAUGAUAUGAGUUUUGCUUGGAACAUCGUUUGCUUUUGUUAAUUUUACUUUCAGUUUUCCACAAUAAUUGUUUGCUGGACACACCCAUUGGAGAUAUAUACACCAUCAUCAUAAUUUUUUAGAAUACUCUAUGUGCUUCACUUAUAUCUUUUGAGCUUAGCAGUUGCUCUAGUACUUCACUUAUAUCUUUUUGAACAUGGUGGCGUGUAGAUUUUAUAGGAAUAAUAUGCUCUUGUUCCUCACUUAUAUUCUUUUGGGAGUUAAUAAAUAAUGAUGUUAAUUUUCAUGGGUCAUAAUGCUAGAUAAAAAAUAAUGAGUGUUCAAUAAGUGAUAACUAAAACCAUCAUGUAGCACAUAUAGAGAAAUUGUGGUUAAUGAUGUUGAUGUGGUGAUAUGAAAGGGUGUGAAUGCAUAAUCAUUAAUUCAGAGAGGUGUUGAUAUUAAUAGAUGUUAAAAAUUCUUGAACAUCUAAAAAAUUAAAAGGGAAUGGUGGUGAUGUGUGAGAAUUUCUAUUCAUCGUUGAAAACCUAGUGUUGUUUCGAGUCGGAGUCACGCUAUGGUUAAUUCCUACCAACCCACUCCCUCGGGGCAUGUAAGUAGUAGUUUGAUUUGUGGUAAGACUAGUAAAAAUUUGCAAUAAGUAUAUGAGUUAUUUAUGACUAAUGUGACACCAUGGACAUACACAAUCUCACCUCCUCAUAUUUGCUAGCUUCACUAGUAUCGUGCAUAGCCCAUUCUCACCUCGAGGAUUGACGCAACUUCCGCCGGUGCAUCCAAAUCCUGUGACAUGAUACCCUGUAAUGCACAUAAGCCUUAUUAUGUACUCCUCAAAAUAGACGCCGUACCUACCUAUUAUGGCAUUUCCAUAGCCAUUCCGAGAUAUAUUGCCAUGCAAAUUCCAUCGUCACUUCACAUGACUAGUUUGUUCAUCACCAUAUUGCUUUGCAUUAUCAUAUUGAGCUGACAUAGUAUUUGUGGCAAAGCCACCAUUCAUAAUGGCAUCUGUGGCAACACCACCAAUUAUCAUAUGCUGAAUAAAUGUCAUGGAAAGAUCAUUUCACAUCCUGGUACACUUCUAGAGGCAUUCCUAUUUGAGUCAUGUUGCUACAUAGUUCAUCAUAUCGAGUUAUCCAUGAGUUGUAAGUAAAUAAAAGUGUGAUGAUCAUCAUUAUCAGAGCAUUGUCCUAGUGAGGAAAUAAAGAUGGAGGAGGCCAAAUAACCCACCAUAUAAAAAAAUGAAUGAGAGAAAAAGAGAGAUGGGACUUAGCUACUAUCCUUUACCACACUUAUGCCCGAGAGUGGCACCAUGUUCAUCAUGUAGAGAGUGGCAUGUUAUAUCAUUCAUAUGCUGGUGGGAAUAAAAAAUAUAUAAACUUGUCUUGUAUAUUCCAAUGACGGGCUUCCUCAAAUGUCUGAGGUCUUCAUGAGCAAGCAAUUUGGAUGCACACCCCACUUAGCUUAAGUGGAGCUUUCAUACACUUAUAGCUCUAGUGCAUCAUUUGCAUUGCAAUCCCUACUUCUUGUGUCAAUAUCCAUCAAUGGGAAUCUCCAUAGCCCGUUGAUAUGCCUAAUUGAUACAAGAGUAUAUUCUCCUAAACCCUAAACCCUAAACCCUAUACCACCUUAUUCUAUUCCACUUUUAUGCUGUGUCUAACGGUUCACGCUGAUGUAUUGCGCGAAGAAUAAAAAGUUGAUGCAUAUUGAAAAGGUAUGAUCCAAUUGCGUGACUUCAGCACCGUGGUGCUUAACAUUUGUAGUUAUGUGGUGAAGAUGGAGCCAUGCCUUGCUAAUAAAAUAAAGAUGGAUAGAGUUGAAUCAAUCUUUGAGGAUUGUAUACUUUGAAAAAUUAAUUGUUUUGCUGCUUAUACUUAUAAAUAUUGUUGUGUUAAUAUAUGUUAAUUCAUUGUUUAUCAGUGAGCAUACAUGCAUAAGCAUACAUCAUGGAUAGCACGUCACAUCAAAAAUUCUGUUUUUAUCAUUUACCUACUCGAGGACGAGCAGGAAUUAGGCUUGGGGAUGCUUGAUACGUCUCGAACAUAUCUAUAAUUUUUGAUUGUUCCAUGGUAUUAUGUUAUCAUUUUAGCACACUUUUUAUGCACUUAUCUACCAAUUUAUUAUUGUUGAGCACUAACCUAUUGACCCAGUGCCCAGUGCCAGUUGCUAUUUUUCUCCGUGUUUUUCCACCUUUCAGGUUUUAGUAGCAAACGAAGCCCAAUUGACCUGAAACUUUUUUGGAUUUUCUUGUGGGCCAAAACAAGACUGUGGAGCAUCUAAAGGAGGCAGGAGAGUGCACGAGGCCCUGACAAGCUAAAAUGGUGCGGCCUGGCGGGGCAGAUGGAUUGUGCCCCCCUCGUGGCUCUCCCGACUCCGUUCUCUAGCCUAUAAAUUCCUAUCUACCCUAAAAUCUUUGAAGGAGGUCCCAAACACUUUUUAUGCCGCCGCAAGUCUUUGUUCUAAAGGGAGGCCAUCUAGAGCUCCUUUUCGACACUCUCCCGGAGGGGGAUUGAUCAUGGAGGGUUUCUUCAUCAACCUUGCUGCCCUCAUGAUGAUGUGCGAGUAGUUCACCAUAAACCUAUAGGUCCAUAGUUAGUACCUAGAUGACAAUCUCUGUGUUUGAUCUUUAAUACAAUGAUCAUCGCAUCUUUGCUUUGAUCCUUCUGAUGUAACUCUUUUGUACGAUGCAUUUGUUGGGAUCCGUUGAAUUGCGGGUCUAUGUUAAUAUUAUUCAUGACAAAUAUUUGAGUAUCCUCUGAUAUAUAAUAUGAUUUUUAUGUGCAUGACUAUGAUAGCUUCGUAAUUCUUUGUGAUCUAUCAAAAUUGUUUGGCUAACUAGAUUGAUAUUUCUUUGGGGAGAGAGGUGCAUUGUAGUAGGUUCAACCUGGCGAGUUUCUAUAACCCAGUGACAGAAGGGGUCAAGUUGUGUAUUUGUGUUGCUGCUAUUAAGGGUAAAAUGACGAGGUUUAUUCAUAUUGGUUGAGCUUACUUUGUCUAGAUCCUGUCUUCUUACUCCAAGCAUUACUUUGUUUGUCAUGAAAUUAAUACGUAGAGAGGAAACAUAGAAGCUCUCUUGAAGUGAAGUAAUAGUAAUAGGUGUAGGCAGGAGUCGUUCUAUUUGUAUAUGGACGUGAUGCCUAUAUUUACAUGAUCAUUGCUGUGAAAAUCACGUAACUAUCCGCUCUUCUAUCAAUUGCCCAACAUUAAUUUGUUUCCCCACCGUGUGCUAUUUUUAUGAGAGAUGCCAUUAGGGAAAACUAUGGCCCCCAGGUCUAUUCACAACAUAUUGCUAAAACCUCCAAUACUUUGCUGCCGUUUAUUUAUUUUUAUUUUAUUUUGCAUUUUACAAUUGUCUACAACUAUCUACACACCUCAUUUUCUUACAAAUUGAGAGACCAAGGGGAUUGACAACCCUGUUGUCUGCGGUGGGUGCAAGCUAUUUGUUCUUUUGUGUGCAACCGCUAAAGACAAUUGUGGUUGAUAUUCCUGUUGGUUUGAUAAACCUUGCUUUCAUAACUAAGGGAAAUACCUACCCAGUUUGUGCUGCGAUAACCCUUUCAUCUUCACGGAAAACCCAACGCAUAUCACGAGUAUCAAUUCACUUGAUUUUGAAUCACCUGAUGCAUGCAAACCAUGCCUCAUGGGCAAGAUGACGAAAACCAUGUUUUCCGGUACAAUGGAAUGGGGCAGGUGACUUGUUGGAGAUCAUACAUGGUGAUGUGUGCGGUCCAAUGAGUGUUGAGGUGCGCCGUGGAUAUUGUUACUUUCUCACCUUCACCGAAGAUUUUAGUAGAUAUGGAUGAAGCACAAGUCUGAAAUCUUUGAAAAGUUCAAGCAAUUUCAGAGUGAAGUUGAGAAUCAUCGUAACAAGAAGGUUAAGUUCAUGCAAUCUGAUCAAGGAGGAGAAUAUCCGAGUUAUGAGUUUGGCAUGCACUUAAGAUAGUGUGGAAUUGUUUCACAACUCACUCCACCUGGAACACCAUAGCGUAAUGCUGUGUCCGUACGUCGUAGUCGUACCUUAUUGGAUAUGGUGCGUUCUAUGAUGUCUCUUACCAAUUUUCCACUAUCAUUUUGGGGAUAUGCAUUAGAGCACUGACAUUCACUUUAAAUAGGGCUCAAUCCAAAUCUUUUGAAAUGACACCGCAUGAAUCAUGGUUUGGCAAGAAACCUAAGCAGUCAUUUCUUAAAGUUUGGGUCUGAGAUGCUUAUGUCAAAAGGAUUUAGCCUGAUAAGCUCAAACCUAAAGCGGAUAAGUGCAUCUUCAUAGGACACCCAAAGGAAACAAUUUGGUAUACCUUCUAUCUCAGAUCCAAGGGAAAAGUGUUUGUUGCUAAGAACGGGUCCUUUCUUGAGAAAGAGUUUCUCUCGAAAGAAUUGAGUGGGAGGGUGGUGGAACUUGAUGAGGUUACUGAACCUUCACUUUAACCAGAGAGUACGAGGGCGCAAGAAGAUGUUCCUGUGGCGCCUACACUAUUUGAAGAGGAAGCUAAUGAUAGUGAUCAUGAAGCUUCAGAUCAAGUUACUACCGAACCUCGUUGGUCGACAAGGAUGUGUACUGCUCCUGAGUGGUAUGGAAAUCCUGUCUUAGAGGUCAUGUCGUUGGACAAUGAUGAACCUACGAGCUAUGCAGAAGCAAUGGUAGGCCCAGAUUCCAACAAAUGGCUAGAGGCCAUGAAAUCCGAGAUAGGAUCCAUGUAUGAAAACAAAGCGUGGACUUUGGAAGUAUUAUGUCAAGGUCGAAAGGCUAUUCAAAACAAAUGGAUCUUUAAGAGAACGAUGGACGUGGACGGUAAUGUCACCAUCUAUAAAGCUCGACUUGUUGCAAAGUGGUUUUAACAAGAGCAAGGAGUUAACUACGAUGAGACUUUCUCACCAGUAGCAAUGCUUAAGUCCGUCAGAAUCAUGUCAGCAAUAGCUGCAUUUUUCGAUUAUGAAAUCUGGCAGAUGGAUGUAAAAACAAUGUUCCUUAAUGGUUCCCUUAAGGAAGAGUUGUAUAUGAUGCAACCAGAAGGUUUUGUCAACCCAGAUAAUGCUGACAUAGUAUGCAAGCUCCCGCAAUCCAUUUAUGGACCGGUGCAAGCAUCUGAGAGUUGGCAUCUUCGCUUUGAUGAGGUGAUUAAAGCGUUUGGGUUUAUACAAGUUUAUGGAGAAGCUUGUAUUUACAAGAAAGUGAGUGGGAGCUAUAUAGCGUUCUAAUAUUGUAUCUGGAUGACAUAUUGCUCAUUAGAAAGAAUAUACAACUUUUGGAAAGUGUGAAGGUAUAUUUGAACAAGAAUUUUUCAAUGAAGGACCUCAGAGAAGCUUCUUACAUAUUAGGCAUCAAGAUCUAUAGAGAUAGAUCGAGACGCUUAAUAGGACUUUCACAAAGCACAUAACUUGAUAAGGUUUUGAAGAAGUUUAAAAUGGAUUAGUCCAAGAAGGGGUUUUUGCCUGUCCUACAAGGUGUGAAGUUGAGUAAGACUCAAUGCCCAACGACUGCAGAGGAUAGAGAGAAGAUGAGUGUCAUCCCCUAUGCUUCAGCCAUAGGCUCUAUCAUGUAUGCAAUGUUGUGGACAAGACCAGAUGUCAGUCUUGCCAUAAGUAUGGACGGAAGGUUUCAAUUUAAUGCAGGAGUGGAACACUAGAAAAUGGUCAAGAAUACGUAUUUAUGGAAUUGUUUCUCGUUUAUGGAGGUGAUGAGGAGCUCGUUGUAAAGGUUACGUCGAUGCUAUAUUUGACACUGAUCCGGAUUACUCUAAGCUUCAAUUCGGAUACGUAUUUAUUCUGAAUGGUGUAGCGGUAAGCUAGUGCAAUUCCAAGAAAAGCGUGGUAGUUGAUUCUACUUCUGAAGGGGAGUAUAUAACUGCUUCAGAAGCAACAAAGCAAGGUGUGUGUAUGAAGCAGUUCAUGAAGGAUCUUGGAGUUGUGUCGAGUGCACUGGAUCCAAUGACCCUGUUUUGUGACAACACUGGUGCCAUUGCUCUAGACAAGGAACCAAUGUUUCACAAAAGGACCAGACACGUAAACCGCCCCUUCAAUUCCAUGUGCGAUUAUAUCAAGGAGGACGACAUAAACAUUUGCAAACUACAUACAUAUCUAAGUGUUGCACAUCCGUUGACUAAAUCUCUUCCACGAGCAAAACAUGAUCAGCACCAGAACUUUAUGGGUUUGAGAUUCAUUACCAUGUAAUACUAGAUUACUGACUCUAGUGCAAGUGGGAGACUGUUGGAAAUAUGCCCUAGAGGCAACAAUAAAACGAUUAUUAUUAUAUUUCCUUGUUCUUGAUAAACAUUUUUUAUCCAUGCUAAAAUUGUAUUGAUGGGAAACUCAAAUACAUGUGUGGAUACAUAAACAACAGAUUAUCCCUAGUAAGCCUCUACAGGACUAGCUCGUUGAUCAAAGAUGGUUAAGGUUUGCUAUCCAUAGACAUGAGUUGUCAUUUGAUAACGGGAUCACAUCAUGAGAAGAAUGAUGUGAUGGGCAGUUCCCAAACCGUAAGCAUAGCAUUUGAUCGUAUGACUAAGUUUAUUGCUAUUGCUUUCUGCAUGUAAAAAUAUCUGUUCCUAAGACCAUGAGAUCAUGCAAAUCAUUGACACCGGAGGAUUACCUUGUGUGUAUCAAACGUCACAACGUAACUGGGUGAUUAUAAAGAUGCUCUACAGGUAUCUCCGAGGGUGUCCAUUGAGUUGGCAUGGUUCAAGACUAGGAUUUGUCACUUGUAUGACAAAAAGGUGUCUCUAGGUCCACUCGGUAAUACAAAAUCACAAUAAGCUUGCAAGCAAUGUGACUAAGGAGUUAGUCACAAUAUCUUCUAUUACAAAACGAGUAAAGAGACUUGUCGGGAACGAGAUUGAACUAAGUAUGGAGAUACCGACGAUCGAAUCUCGGGCAAGUAACAUACCGAUGGACAAAGGGAACUAUAUACGGGAUUGAGUGAAGCGUUGACAUCGUGGUUCGACCGAUAUAGAUCUUCAUAGAAUAUGUAGGAAUCAAUAUGGGCAAGCAGGUCCCGCUAGUGGUCAUUUAAUGUAGAGGUGUCUCGGUCAUGUCUGGAUAGUUCUCUAACCCGCACUGUCUGGACAAUUAAGGUUAAGUGACAAUAUAAAUAUAUUUGAGUUAAUAUGUUGGGGACUAAAGGUUGUUUGGAGUCCUGGAUGAGAUCCCAGACAUGACAGGGAGCUUUGGAAUGGUUAGAAGGUAAAGAUUGAUAUAUGGGAAGUUGGUGUUCAAAUUCCGGAAGUGUUUCAAAAAGUUAUCGAUUUUGAUAGAGGUUCCUGAAGUGUUUUGGGGGUCCACCUACUCGGAGGGCCCUACAGGGUGUGAGAGGUGGCACACCAGUGCUGGUGGGCUGGCCGCCCCUCCCACCUAAGGCCCAUGCGGCCAAGGGAGUGGGCUGGCCCAGAGGAGGCUGCCGCCCCACUGUCCUUGGGGGCCAAGGCAGUCUUGGAUGCUGCCCCACCCCUAGGGGAAACCAUAGGGAGCCACCCUCCUCCCUUUCCCCUAUAUAUACUAGAGGAGAGGGAGGGCAACCGCACCCAAAAGCCAUGACACAGCCCUCCCCUCUCUCUCUCUCUCUUGAAGUUUUUCUUCACCGUCGCGAUCAGUAUAGCGCUUGGUGAAUCCCUGCCGAGAUUGCACCACCACCACCGCCACCACGCCAUCAUGCUGUCAGAGAACUCAGCUACUACUUCACCUACGCUCGCUGGAUUGAGGUGGUGAAGGCGUUAUCGAGCUGUACAUAUGCUGAACGGGGAGGUGUCAUCCGUUCGGUGCUAGAUCGUGAUUGGAUUGCGGGACAGAUCGUGAUUGGAUCCCGAAGAGGUUAGAAUACAUUAACCACGUUUCUUAAUGCUUCCACAUAGCGAUCUACAAGGGUAUGUAAAUGCACUCCCGUCUCAUAACAGUUGUUAUCCAUAGAUAGAUCUUGGGUGUUCAUACGGAAUUUGUUCUUUCCCAUGCAACGUUCCCCAACAGGUCGGGCUCUUCUUCUUCUUUAAGUUGAUGACAUGAUUAUUAGUGGCGAUGACCAAGAGUAUAUUGCCAUUGUGAAGGCUCAUCUCAAUGAGUAGUUUCUUUUGUAUUGUCUUGGCUCUCUUCGCUAUUUUCUAGGGAGAGAGGUCUCUUCUACCUUAGGUAGUUUUUUCAUUUUCAAGGAAAAGUAUAUCCAGGAUCUUCUUGCUCGUGCUGCUCUUACUAAUGAGCGCAUUGUUGAGACUCCCAUUGAGCUCAGUGUCCACCUCCGUGAUACUUAUGGUGACCCCUUGUCUGAUCCGAGCGUUAUCAUCAUCUUGCUGGCUAUCUUGUCUAUCUAGCUAUCACUCCUCGGUAUAUCUCUUAUCUGGUUCAAAUUCUCAGCCAGUUUGUUGCUGCUCCCACUUCGGUUCACUAUAGUCACCUCCUUCAUGCUCUUUGAUAUCUUCGUGGGACGAUCUCUCAUUGUCUAUUCUUUCCUCACUCCAGUUUCUUACAACUUCAGGCCUAUUCGGAUGCUACGUGUGCUGGUGAUCCUUCUGAUCGCCAUUCACUUUUUACUUACUGUGUUUUUCUUGGAGGUUCUCUCAUUGCCUGGAAGACGAAGAAAUGGGCGACAUUUUCACGUUCGAGUGCAGAGGAUGAGUUGCAAGCUAUGGCUCUUUUGACGGCAGAGGUGACUUGGUUACGGUGGUUCCUUCAGGAUUUUGGUAUUUCUGUCACUACACCGACUCUACUAUUGUGUGAUAGUACAUGUGUUAUUAGCAUUGUGCACAACCCUGUGAAGCAUGACCUCACUAAGAAUAUUGGUGUUGAUGCUUUCUAUGUCCGCGCUGGUGUGCAUGAUCAGGUUAUUGCUCUUCAAUAUGUGCCUUUCGAGUAGAGUACUAUAUAUAUAUAAUAUAGCCAUGUAGUAUUUUGUAUUUAGCCCAUUCUAUAAGGGGUUUACUGCAUAUUUCCUACACCUAUACACGCAUAUAUACUAGCCUAUGGCCCCAUGGAAAUAAAAAGUUGCAUAUUUCCUAACAACUCAAUACUCUCAUGGUUUAAGGAACUGAGCGUAUGUUAACUUUUCGUGUUAUUAACUAUAGACUUGCGUGGAUAACAUCUCGAAGUAUAACAUGCAAUAUGAGUCAUUUUGAUGUGGUUGUUGUGAUAACAUCAUACUUUCAAUGUCGUUGGCAUCCAUGUUACACUUAACUAAUGCAUAUGAUAGAAAACAUAACCAUCAUAAAACACUUGAGCUAAUCCUAGAGGCAACACUAGGAAUCAAGUUUUACCGUUUAUUAUUCUACAGAUACUUAUGAGUUUCCUCUAAAUCAUACAUUCAAGAACCAUAACAGCUAUAAUAUAGAAUGUAAACAUUUAACUUUAAAAUAAAUUAAAUUAUUUUGUGCCCGUCCACUCCCGCAGCGUGACAAGGACUAUCCCCUCCUCCCGGGUCGCACGCGCAUGCGGCUUCGGAGGCCCCAAACCUUAGGUCUAGCAGGCCUCUGAUCCCCUCUCUCGGCCGCCGCCACCGCCAUCGGAACGGGCGGUGGCGGCCAAGCCCGACCAGCGAAGGCAUCGAGUGCUGGCUAAGCCCUCUCGACGGUCUCCCUUCACGCGGAGCGGGACGUCACUUGGGGCAACCAUGUAGGUGGGGUGGCCGACAAAGCGUUUCGUGGGAAGAUGGAGUGUGAGAGCACGGGAUCACACCGGGGAACACGUCAGGAAGGUGGAUUCUGGCUAGGUGCGCUGGAGGGUGGUGGACAAGGUUGGUGUGCCGGUUUUGCUCGUGACGGUGACUUGAACCCAACCAUGGAGGUGGCGGCGCCAAGGUGGCCCUGUGAGGAAGGAUCCUGGUGGGUAGCGGGUGGCCGUCUGGCUCUGUGUGAGAGGCGCUCAGUGUUACCUCGGGAGAGCUGGCGCUGGGGAGUGCUCGGAGAUGCUGGUCAUAUCCGACAUCGUGGCAGUCCCCUGGUAGGUGAAGGCCGACGUGGUGAAUGUGGCCAUUUCAUGGCAUGGUUGCUUGCGGCUGCUCCUCGCCCGUUGUUGUUGGUGGUCAGAGUCGCGCUUUCUCGGCAGUGCAGGUGGCGGAGAUCCAUUGUUGCACAACAUCGAUGGCAAUUUUUUGCGGUGACGAUGGUGUGAGGCAUCUUGGACAGUGCUGCCCGAAACCUUGACAGAGUGGAGAUGCACACCAUUACGGAUGAAAGUCCUGUUUGGUUUUGGCCGGACGGGCAACGAUGGCACUCGUGUGUGUCGUUUUCCUCUUUAGAGGCGCCUUUGAGUGUGUCGCCAUUUUCCUCGCUUGCUUGGUGUUGGAGUGGUCUCCGGGAAAAAUCCUUAAUUCUGUUAUGGAUUGGUAUGAUGGCGGCGUUUUUGACGUUGUCCCUCUGUUAGGAGCAUCGUGCACGACGACAUGGAGUUCCUUUGUUGCCCUACUCCGGUGUUCACCGAUGCCCUUUGACUCUCAAAACGUCAAUGCUAAUCAUUGAUUCUAUCUCUUUUCGAAGGUUUGAUCUAUAUGUUUUCAUCAAUUACCAAAAAGGGGGAGAUUGAAAGCACAAUUGCUCCCUAAGGUGGUUUUGGUAAUUAAUCACAACAUAUGCAUCAUUGGACUAAUGAGGUUAUUCAAGUAUAUUUCAGAAAAGUUCAAAGUUGCUUUGGCUAUAAGAUUGAGUGGUGAUGCGCCUUUGGUGAAGGAAGGAAUAGUAUUGGCUAAAGCUUCAAGCAACAAGACUCUCCAUUUUACACUUUGUGAGAAAUCACAUUUGAGUCCUUAGGAAAGCCAAUACUAUUAAAAGGGGAGGAGGUGUUAUGAUCAAUUUGUUGCUCAAGUGCUUAGAGUUAGCCACCAAAAAUACUCAGCCAGUCUUCCACAAGAUAUAUCUGUCCCAAGCCAAAUUUCCAAAAUCAGUGCCACCAACAUUUAUUACUCGACCAUACCGAUUUCAGACUUAGACAGAUCCCAGACAAACCCUACCUUUUAGGUGCAACCUAAUCUGCAUCGGUGCUACUGAUUUCAGGUGACCAACCUUUUCUUGCCUCGGUACACAAAAUCGGAAUUUCUGAGUUUGAGUAUCGGUGUCACCGAGUUGUGUCAUCUGACCAUUAUUCACCUUUUCGGUUCUAGCGAGUUGUGUACAUCGGUUCCAUCGAGAUUCAAAGUUGCUACCUGUUGAGCAAGUCGGUACCAUCGAGUUUGUAACUUCGGUGUCACCGAGUUGGUCAAUUAUGGUGUAAUAGUUGGAUUUUGGAGGUUGCCUUUAUAUACCCCUCCACCUACCUCUUACUUGCAUAGGAAGCACUCAGAACACACACUUCAUUGCCACGUCCAUUUUUCUUAGAGAGAGCCACCUACUCAUGUGUUUAUACCAAGAUAUUCCAAUCCAAUCAUUCGAAACUUGAUCUCUAGCCUCCCCAAGUUGCUUUCCACCAAAUCAAUCUAUCAUACCCAUGCCUAUUCUGUGAGAGUGUGAUUGUGUGUUAAGGAGACUAUCUUUAGAAGCACAAGAGAAAGUAGUUCAUCGUUCUACCACAUCUAUUACCUUUUAGAGGGUGGUGCCUCCUAGAUUGGUUAGGUGUCGCUUCAGAGCCUCCUAUUUCGUGUUGAGGAUUUGAACCAAGAUGUUUGUAAGGGCGAGGAGAUCACCUACUUCGUGAAGAUCUGCCGUGAGUGAGGCUAGUCCUUCGUGGACGGAAGCCUUGGUGGAACAGGCAAGGCCGCUUCUUCCUGGAUCCCUUGUGGGUGGAGCCCUCCGCGGACUCUCGCAGCCGUUACCCUCUAUGGGUUGAAGUCUCCACUAACAUGGGCACACGAUAGCGCCACCUAUCGGAACCAUGCGAAAAAUUGCCGUGUCAAUAUCUUGAGUUUUAUCUCCCUACCGUAUCUUACUUUACACUUGCAUGUUUUACUUUCCACUGCUAUACUCUUAGAUGUGCAUGUGUAGGGUGUGAUUGACUAGUCAUAGUUGCUUAAACUGGUCCACACUAAAAAUUGUGAAAAGGCUAAGUUAUUAUCUUGUCAAGUACUUUAAUCACCCCCCUCUAGACAUACUUUCGAUCCUACAAUUGGUAUCAGAGCUUUGGUCUCCAUUGCAUUGGUUUCACAACCUAGGAGAGUAAGACGUGUGGUGAGGGAAGUUAUCACUGUAGAUGUCCAUAUUUCGAUGGCACUAAUUUUGCUAGUUCAAAGCAUAAAAUGAGAACACAUAUUCUUGAUUAUAAUCAUGCCGUUUGGGUUAUUAGUCGUGUUGGUGUGCAAGGUGAUUUCUUUGGAAAAGGGAGAGAACCGGAUAGUGAUACGACAGCGGAAGAGUUGAAGAUCUUGCAAUUCAAUGCACAAGCCCAUGACAUCAUAUUCAACUUCCUAUGCCCCGAAGAAUUAAACAAAAUCAGUCACCUUGAGAAUGCAAAUGAAAUUUGGGAUACUUUGAUUGAUAUGCACGAAGGUACCGAUUCUAUCAGAGAAUCCAAGUUGGAUGUGCUUCAAAGUCAGCUUGACAAGUUCAAGAUGAAGGAUGGUGAAGGAGUUGCUGAAAUGUACUCUAGGCUAGCUCUCAUCACAAAUGAGAUUGCCGGCUUAGGAAGCGAAGAGAUGACCGAAAUAUUCAUCACCAAGAAGAUACUUAGAGCUUUGGAUGGAAGAUAUGACACCGUGUGCACAUUAAUCCAAAUAAUGCCCAACUACAAAGAUGUAAAGCCUACUGAAGUCAUUGGAAGGAUUGUUUCUCAAAUGUCUCUCAAAGAUAGAGAUGAGUUACACAAAAAGUCAAGCGGUGCUUACGAAGCUUCAUUAGAUGCUCCCGCUACUUCAGGUGACAACCUUGUUACCAAUGAAGAGAUAAGCAUCAUGGUCAGAAAAAUCAACAAGUUCUACAAGAGUAGAUGUAAAGAGAGAAGCUCAAGACAUGAUGAGAAGCGUUCGUCCAGUCGUGACCGAAACUGCUACAACUGUGGGAAGCCUGGACACUACUAUAAUGAGUGCUCAGAUCCCUACAAACGAAGAGAAGAUCCACCUCGAAGACGAAGCUCAAGAGAUGAGUCACCUCGUACAAAGAGAGAAGGAGUAGAGAAGAUCAUUAUGAACGAAGACACUCUCAGAGAGGCAAGGAAUUGGAGAAGAAGGACAAAUACACCAAGAGCAGCUCUAGAAGAAUACAUCAAGAUCAUGUUGGUGAAUGGGUUUCUGGAUCUGAGUCUCACAAUCAAUCCGAGAGAAGUUAUCACUCCAACUCCGACUAUAGUCUAGAUGAAGGUGUUGCCGGCAUUGCACUUGUUUCCUCCAACUCCUACAAGAUAUUUGAUUCACCAAAUGAAGGGAUUGGAAACUGCUUCAUGGCAAAAGGGACCAAGGUAUCACACCCCGAGUAUUUUGACUUUGAUAGUGAUGAGGAUGAAUUGUUAGGAGAAGAUGACUAGCUCCUUGAUAAGACUAUCGAUAAUGUUGAAAAUGAACUUGCUAAUUUUCUUGCUAGUCAAGAGAAACCGAAUGAUGAUGAUAAGAGAGAGACUGAACGACUAAGUAAAUAAUUAGACACUCUUAAGUUAACUCAUGAAAAUACUCUAGAAGAUCAUAGAGAGCUUACAAGAACUCAUGAGAAGCUACGCUUCGAGAAGCUAAAUUUAGGGAAAGAGCAUGAGUUCCUAAAAUUAAUCAAUGAUGAUCUUCGAAUGAAGAGUUCCUCUUAUCUAGACAAACGAUUACUCUUGUCUACUUUUGUUCCACAAGUUAAACCUAAGAACACUAGUAACAAAGGCAAUAAAGUUUCUUCAUCUAGUAACAACAAUGCUAAAGCUAAAUUAAAUGAUAUUGUUGAUAGUAGCUCUCUAGAUUCGACUAAUGAUUCUCUUAGACAAGUUACACUUUAAUAAUAAAAUGAUUUAUUGAAAGAGAUUAUAGAGAGAGGUGUCUUCAAGAGUCUUGCUGGAAGUAAGCAAUUUGAGGAAAUUGUGCUCAAGCAAGGAGGACAUCAGAAGAACUAAGGUGUUGGCUACUUGACCAUUGUCGUGGGUAUAAGUCUGACAGUAGAUGUGUAGGGUACGAAAGGAUGGGCAGAGCCUUAGCUACGGCGAGGUUGUAUGAGCUCAGGCCCCUCUACGGUGGAGGUAAUAUCCCUACGUCUCAGUGCUCUGGGAGCUUGUUGUCGAGUGGAAUAUGGAUUACAGUGAAUCGCUAACCCCUGCACCAGUGGGGAAGGGUGGCUUAUAUAGAGUGCGCUGUCCUUCACAACGGUUCGGUGCACAGGGGUGGAGUAGUGGCGAAUAAAUGCCUAUGUUACAAGUAACGUGCGUCUUAAAUGCUAAUAAAGGCAUAUGGAAACGUAUGACCAUUUCCCUCCCGGGGGGUUACGAUGCACAGAGUGGAAUCCAGUCGGUUAGUUUGAUACACUCCGAAUGCUCAUCUCCGACUGGGUGCUGGAGGAUUUGUCACCAACUGGAUGAUGGGAAGUCCUUAAUUCAGUCGGAACUGACUAAGGGCCUUAUCCCUUAUGAAGGGUAGUCCUUGGGUAGGACUUAUAGGGCAGGCCUAUGACCCUACCCUAGGACUAUAACCCCAUCAUUAGUCCCUGAAUGGAUUGGGGUUGGAACGACGAAGCGAUGCUUGGAGUACGGAUCCGACUGGUACGGAUGCGACUUUGGCGUUGUUUGCCUCGAUCCAUUUUAUCUUCUUUGACCCAUGAUCCGAGUGGAUGUAUUUGUGAAACGAACCAUCAGGGACCGAGUGCUUCCGCGGUAUCUUUUGACGUGACCAGUCAACUGACGGCGACGGAUUUUCUGGGAUCCUCAAAUUUCGGUUGCCGCGCGCUCAGCGGGGAUGACAACAUCGCAAUCGAGUAGUACUUGAUGCCUCGAUUCCCGCGCCUUCAACUGCUCCACUAAUAUCGCAGCAACCGGUCGGGGGAUAAGAUUUCAGGGCCACUUGCUAGUGUCCAAGUCGGAACCCUAUUUAAACUUCUGCGGCGAGGGUUUUUUGUUACACUCACCGGAUAACUUGCAUUUGCUCCGCUUCUCUCGCCAUCCCGUGCGCAUCCCAAGCUCCUUCCUUCUCCUUCACUCUUGCGAAUCUGCAGCCUCCGCCAUGACAAAGGGGCAGACUAGCAAGCUAAAGGCGCGGAAGAAGAAGGCGGCGGCUCCUGCUCAGCGGCGGCAGCGAGCGCUACCGGCGGGUUGGAUCCAGGGGGACUUCCUCCCCUCCACGAUGACGGAGGAGAACUUGCUGGAGUUGGUGGAGCAUGGAAUGAUUGCGAACAAGUCGUGGAGGUUGCCGGCGGAGAGCGAGACCGAGCCGGCGCCUCGGGAGGGGGAGCGCGUCUUGCUGCUCAGCCACGUGCACCGAGGUUUCUCUCUGCCUCCCCAUCCCUUCUUCAAAGGUAUAAUGAACCACUUCGGGGAGCAGCUCCACCAUUUUCCCCCAAACGCCAUAGCUCAUCUCUCUGCCUUCGUCGUGUUGUGCGAGUGUUUCAUCGGCUGUCCUCCCCAUUGGGGGCUUUUCAAACACAUCUUCUCUGCUAGAUCCCAAACCAUCAAACGACUUAACAAGUUGGAUGAUAAAAUUCACCUCCUCCGGCUCUGCGGAGGCUUAGGCUUCCAAAAGAAGAGUAAAAGUAGCUAUCCCGCUCUUCAGUUGAGUGAAUCUGUUAGGAACUGGCAGUCGACAUGGUUCUACUGCCACGAUGUUGCAUGCCCGAAUGCCACAACUAGACUGCCUCCUUUUAGCUUAGACCGACCGGCUCCGCCUAAGCCCCUUGCGCUCACGAAGGCGGAGAAGGUUCAGAUCCGGCCUCUGGUAGAUGCGCUUGUAGAUGUCGUCUGUAGGGGAGUCACCGGCAUAGAUUUGCUGGAGGUUUUCCUGGGUCAGCGUAUCCAGCCCCUGCAAGCUCGACACCACGCCAUGUGGCACUACACGGGGCCUUAGGACUCCACUUGGACUAAUGUCGAGUGCGUGACCGGGGAUACGGUGGCGUCGUGGGUCCUCAACAUCACGGGCGCCUGCGAAAACCCCAGAGGGGCCCGGCUAGUGAAGGCCUUCCGCGCGGACAACCCUCCUCCGAAUGAGGUGAGUAAAACUCGUCUAGUGCGCGCAAUUGUCUUAGAUUUAUCGCUUUCUUAAAUCACUGUCUGACGUCUGAUGUUGUCGACUGUAUCUUGCGCAGGAGUGGACUAACUGGUUUUCCCCUGUCUCGAACGGGAAUCCGGCCGAGGAGGAGGAAGGCAGCCAGGAGGGCAGCGUGGAGAGUGUCGAGUACGUCUCCGACACUAGGGAGACGAAGGAGCAGCCCGAAGAAGAAGAGGAGGAAGAUGAAGAGCAGAACUCGCCACCCCCACCGCCAGAGCUUCAAACCAAACGCCGUCAUGAACCCGCGGUUCCUCCGGCCCCUCCAGCAUCCUCGAGUGCCCCGCCAGCCGCUCCUGUGGUCCCGAGCGCCUCACCAGCCGUUCCCGUGGUUCCGAGUGCUCGGAGCACCAAGAGGACCAGGGACGCUGCUGCUGAGCCCGCGGGUCAGCCCUCUAAGGUGGCCAAACCGAGUGGAUCCAAGCCUCGGAAGGCUUUACCGCGGAUGAGGGUCACAGUUCCCGUGACCUCAAUGUAAGUGCAUUGUUCUUCUAUCUUCUUCCGGUAUUCGAUUGAACUCCUGUUUAUUGGUUGAAUGAAUUUCACUCGACAGAGUUGCCACCUCUGCCACCUCUGCGGCACGCCAGGGGGACGAUCCCAUGGACAUGGACAACGUUUUCACAUCCCAGCUAGGUGCGUUGUGGCGAUUCCGAGAGUUUACAUUAUUGCAUCACAAAUUCUAUCUUUGGUCUUGCCUUUUUCCUGUGGUCUCACGCCGUUCAGUUGGGCUUCCCUCAGGGGUGAUUUAUGUGGAGGAGGGCGACCAGGGGAGGUCUGAGCAAGCUGCGGUGCCUGUCCUUGAGGCUGUUCCGCCGGUUACUGCUCUCGCCAUGGACGCGACGCCGACUGAGGCGAUGCCGUCGACUGAAACGGCACUGAUCGCUGCUGAACCGACUGGAGCAGGCCUUGGGAUUCCCAAGGAGUCUCCUACGAUGCCAGGUCUGUCUACUGUCCAGUACAACCUCCAGCGCCUCCCGCAAGAUCAGGUGGGAGCUGCCAAGGGAGCCUACGACUCCAUCACGUCCGUGUACAAGCGAAGCUUGGAACUGCGGGACGAUAUCCGAGUAAGUGGGCUAGUAAGUAUUUACUUUCCUCUUGUAACCCAGUGGGUGUGAGCAAUGCACUCGGAUAGAGUAUGAUUAUUUUGCAGUCGGUUCACUCUUAGUGAACCCAGUGGGUGUAGUCCCCGAGACUUCUGUCGAGUGCUUGCACCGGCAGUUGUCUUUAUACAAACUUCCUUUAACUUGAUCAGAUCAAAAACUAAUCUGUUCGAAUGUUACCGGUGGGGGCACUCCGAGUGCACCUACUGGAUGAGUCCCCGAGAGUAAUUUUACUUAGGUCGGGUAGUAGUAACCUCAUAGGUUUGUUUGUUGUCAUGUAUCUCAAUAGGGCUGACCUGUUUGAGCUUCAUGCCAGUGGGGUCACUCUUAGUGAACCCACUGGGUGUAGUCCCCGAGACCGCUGUCGGCUGCUUGCGUCUACAGGGGUCUGAAGAACUUAGAAUUUUUAUUGUUGUCCUUGUUGAAUUUGUCUGAUCGUCUUCCGACGCUGACUUGCAGAAAACUUGCGAGAUGGGAGCAGCGUACGAGACUCUGAGGGCUGAAAAGGUUCAGUUUGCUGGGGAACUGGAUGCAGCAAUGGUUGCGUUGGCUGGAUAGAAGGAUGUUCUGGCUGAACGAGAAAAGUCCUUGGAGGAGGCCCAUGAGGCAAACAAGGCAUUGACUGCUGAAGUGGAUAAAAUGGGGAAACAAAGGACCGAGCUGAUGGGACAGAUGGAAGUGUUGAACAUGCGGUGCAUAGCACAGGAAAAUUACGUUAGUGACUGGGCCCGGAAGAUGAUAGCUCUUCUCGGUGGUAAGUUCUAUUUUUCCGAGUGCUUGUGGACUGUGCAUUUCAUUCUGCGCUUAUUGUUCGCUCGUCCUGUCUUUGCAGAUUUUUGCAUGGACGCUGAGGUGGAAGCAGCUGACGUUGAGCGUUCGAUUCUUCCGAACAUUCCACUCGGCGAUGACGCCAAUCGAGAUAUGCUCCAAGCGCACAUUCGCCUGGGAAAAGUGGGACCUUUCAUCGGUCGACUGAGAGAGGUCGUCGGCCGAAUCGACACGGAGCUUUGGCCUGAAGACGAGACUCGGCACGAGAUGGAAGGCUUCAUGACUUGGCUGGAGGAGGUCCCGAACCGAGUGCACGCGUGGAAGAAGUCUGCGGCUCGCUGUGGUGCGGACGUCGCUCUGUCGCUUGUCCGAGUGCACUGCAAGGAAGCUCGCGAAGAGAAGCUGAAGGCGUUGCAGGCCGCCAACACGAAAAAGCUUCGAUUCGAAGACUUCAUGGAGACCUUCCUUGAGAUCGCCACUCGCAUCGCUGACGGGAUCGACCUCGACACAUUCGUGGAGCCUGCCAGUCCCAGUGCCAAUCGUGAUGACGUUUAAGAAAACUUUUUGCCUCGGUAUGCCGAGUGUUGGUUGUAAGAAACUUUGGCCACUGCUGUUGGCCGCCACAUUCUUGGUUCGGUGUGGAUAAGCUUGAUCUACACCGAACCGACUAUCUUUAGGCGAACUUUGAAUUUCAAUUGAAACUUUUGCUCUUCUUCUGCCAAAGAAUUGUUGACACGAUUUUGGCUCGUGGUUUUUGUUUGGCGUUUCUUGGUGAAGCCAAUAGAAAACAUGCGGAGCAUGUAUUUGUCGGUUGUCUUGACAUCUGCAUGAGCCUCACUGAGGGUCUGCUGAGUCCCCGAGUGGAUCUGUAGGAUACACUCGAAGGCAAUUGAGUACUUAGGCGAUUCGUGAUCGCUACUAAGUCUUCGAGUGCGACUGUAAGGUCGUACUCGGAGCGAGUUGCUACUCAUGUAAUUGUCAGUAGUCUUGACAUCUACAUGAGCCUCAAUGAGGGUCAUGCUACUCAUGUAAUUGUCAGUUGUUUUGACAUCUACAUGAGCCUCACUGAGGGUCUGUUGAGUCCCCGAGUGUAUAUGUAGGAUACACACGAAGGCCAUUGAGUACUUAGGCGAUUCAUGAUCGCGGCUAAGUCUUCGAGUGCGACUGUGAGGUCGUGCUCGGAGCGAGUUGUUACUCAUGUAAUUGUCAGUGGUCUUGACAUCUACAUGAGCCUCAAUGAGGUUCUGCUAUUCAUGUAAUUGUCAGUGGUCUUGACAUCUACAUGAGCCUCAAUGAGGUUCUGCUACUCAUGUAAUUGUCAGUGGUCUUGACAUCUACAUGAGCCUCAACGAGGUUCUGCUAAGCCUCCGAGUGGAUCUGUGAAAUACACUCGAAGGAAGCUUUCUAUUUAAGCGAUUCUUGAUUGCAGACAAGUCUCCGAGUACGACGUUAAGUGUACACUCGGAGAAAGUGUGUAGUUAGGCGAUUCGCGAUCGCAGCUAAGUCCUCGAGUGCGACGGUUAGUGCACACUCGGAGAAAAUUUGUACUUAGGCGAUUCUUGAUCGCAGCUAAGUCUCCGAGUGGGACGUUUAGUGCACACUCGGAGAAAGUUAAUACUUAGGCGAUUCUGGAUCGCAGCUAAGUCCCCGAGUGCGACGUUUAGUGCAUACUCGGAGAAAGUUAGUACUUAGGCGAUUCUGGAUUGCAGCUAAGUCCCCGAGUGCGACGUUUAGUGCACACUCGGAGAAAGUUAGUACUUAGGCGAUUCUGGAUCGCAGCUAAGUCCCCGAGUGCGACGUUUAGUGCACACUCGGAGAAAGUUAGUACUUAGGCGAUUCUUGAUCGCAGCUAAGUUUUUUUUGAGACUAGAGUCUACGACCAUGGAAGAAUUUUGAAUCUGCAAAAACUCAAUCUUCUUUGUAUUAUUUCACCGAUACUUGUUCUUUACAUUGCUUCAGUCGACGGUCACGUGUAGAAGCGCUUCAGGAGAUCUCCGUUCCAUGCUCGCGGCUCGUCCGUUUCCCUGUCGAUGUUGUAGAGUCGGUAUGCUCCAUUGUUCAGCACCUUGGGGAUGAUGAAGGGUCCUUCCCAGGCGGGAGCCAACUUGUGAGGUCUCUGCUGAUCCACUCGGAGCACCAGGUCGCCUGCUUGGAAUGUACGACUCCUGACGUGUCGCGCUUGAAAGCGCCGCAGAUCUUGUUGAUAAAUGGUUGAGCAAGUCAGUGCCAUCUCGCGCUCCUCCUCUAGAAGAUCCACUCCGUCUUGCCUUGCUUGUUCUGCUUCAGCUUCGGAGAAGAGUUCAACUCGUGGAGCGUUGUGAAGCAAGUCACUCGGAAGGACUGCCUCUGCUCCGUAAACGAGGAAGAACGGGGAUCGCCCUGUAGAUCUAUUUGGGGUUGUGCGGAGACCCCAAAGCACCGAAGGUAGCUCGGUGACCCAUGCGCCAGCGACAUGUCCCACCUCUCGCAGUAGUCGAGGCUUCAAACCAUCCAGAAUAAGUCCAUUCGCCCGCUCUGCUUGCCCGUUUGUUUGGGGAUGCGCCACAGAUGCAAAAUCCACUCGGAUACCUUGGCCUGUAUAGAAACCUUUGAAUCUGUCCGAGUCAAAGUUUGUUCCAUUGUCAGUGAUUAUGCUGUGAGGUACCCCAAAUCUGGAGAUGAUGUCCGUGACAAACUUGAUGGCCGUAAGGGCGUCGAAUUUUUUGAUGGGCUUGGCUUCGAUCCACUUUGUGAACUUGUCGACUGCCACCAACAGAUGUGUGAAUCCGCCUUGGCCUGUCCUGAAUGGACCGACUGUAUCUAAUCCCCAUACCGCAAAUGGCCAAACAAGAGGGGUUGUCUUCAAUGCAGAUGCUGGCUUGUGGGACUUGUUAGAGUAGAACUGAGAGCCUUCACAUCGGUCGACCAUAUCUUUCGCCAUUUCAUUUGCCUGCAGCCAGAAGAAGCUAGCCCUGAAUGCUUUGGCGACGAUUGCUCUUGAAGAGGCGUGAUGACCGCAGGUUCCCGAGUGAAUUUCCUCCAGGAUUAACUGUCCCUCCUCUGGGGAGAUGCAUCGUUGAAGGACGCCUGAAACGCUUUCCUUGUACAAAUGGCCAUCGAUGACAGUGAACGACUUUGACCUGCGGACGAUCCUNNNNNNNNNNNNNNNNNNNNNNNNNNNNNNNNNNNNNNNNNNNNNNNNNNNNNNNNNNNNNNNNNNNNNNNNNNNNNNNNNNNNNNNNNNNNNNNNNNNNUUGCAUGUCCAUUCUCAGGCACCGGCAAAAGUUGGGUGAAUUUCAUGAAUGCAUGCAUGCACUUCAUGUGCAACCCAUGGGUGUCGGUAUGGACGGAAGGGGUGCUACAACGCCAUCUUGCAACUACCCUUCAUGAAAAAAAUUCAUUUUUCCACGCUUCACGAUGAACUUCACAAGACGACACGUCAAAUUUUAGAAUUUUUUUACAAUCCGUGCUUUUUUAUGAAUUUCCAUUCAAAAACCGGCAUAAACAGAUGCCGGACGUGACGCAACGUGCGUUUGGUCUCCGAUUUCGUUGAAUUUUUGCAUGGCAUCAUUGCAUGUCCAUUCUCAGGUGCCGGCAAAAGUUCGGUGAAUUUCAUGAAUGCAUGCAUGUACUUCAUGUGCAACCCAUGGGUGUUGGUAUGGACGGAAGGGGUGCUACAACGCCAUCUUGCAACUACCCUUCAUGAAAUUUUUUCAUUUUUUUCCACGCUUCACGAUGAACUUCACAAGGCGGCACAUCAAAUUUUAGAAUUUUCUAACAAUCCGUGCUUUUUUAAUGAAUUUCCAUUCAAAAACCGAUACAAACAGAUGCUGGACGUGACGCAACGUGCGUUUGGUCUCCGAUUUUGUUGAAUUUUUACGUGGCAUCAUUGCAUGUCCAUUCUCAGGUGCCGGCAAAAGUUGGGUGAAUUUCAUUAAUGCAUGCAUGUACUUCAUGUGCAACCCAUGGGUGUCGGUAUGGACGGAAGUGGUGCUACAACGCUAUCUUGCAACUACCCUUCAUGAAAUUUUUUCAUUUUUUUCCACGCUUCACGAUGAACUUCACAAGGCGGCACGUCAAAUUUUAGAAUUUUCUGACAAUCCAUGUUUUUUUUAUGAAUUUCCAUUCAAAAACCGGCACAAACAGAUGCCAGACGUGACGCAACGUGCGUUUGGUCUCCGAUUUCGUUGAAUUUCUGCGUGGCAUCAUUGCAUGUCAAUUCUCACGUGCCGGCAAAAGUUGGGUGAAUUUCAUGAAUGCAUGCAUGUACUUCAUGUGCAACCCAUGUGUGUCGGUAUAGACGGAAGGGGUGCUACAACGAAAUCUUGCAACUACCCUUCAUGAAAAAAUUUCAUUUUUUUCCACGCUUCACGAUGAACUUCACAAGGCGGCACGUCAAAUUUUAGAAUUUUCUGACAAUCCGUGCUUUUUAUGAAUUUCCAUUCAAAAACCGACACAAACAGAUGCCAGAUGUGACGCAACGUGCGUUUGGUCUCCGAUUUUGUUGAAUUUUCGCGUGGCAUCAUUGCAUGUCCAUUCUGAGGUGCCGGCAAAAGUUGGGUGAAUUUCAUGAAUGCAUGCAUGUACUUCAUAUGCAACCCAUGGGUGUCGGUAUAGACGGAAGGGGUGCUACAACGCCAUCUUGCAACUACCCUUCAUGAAUUUUUUUCAUUUUUUCACGCUUCACGAUGAACUUCACAAGGCGGCACGUCAAAUUUUAGAAUUUUCUGACAAUCCGUGCUUUUUUUUAUGAAUUUCCAUUCAAAAACCGGGACAAAGAGAUGCCGGACGUGACGCAACGUGCGUUUGGUCUCCGAUUUCGUUGAUUUUUUGCGAGGCAUCAUUGCAUGUCCAUUCUCAGGUGCCGGCAAAAGUUGGGUGAAUUUCAUGAAUGCAUGCAUGUACUUCAUGUGCAACCCAUGGGUGUCGGUAUNNNNNNNNNNNNNNNNNNNNNNNNNNNNNNNNNNNNNNNNNNNNNNNNNNNNNNNNNNNNNNNNNNNNNNNNNNNNNNNNNNNNNNNNNNNNNNNNNNNNAUUAACAUAACAACACCUUUUUGGUGCCCAUCCCACAUGUUGUACGUCUUACGAGCACCGACUCUGAACAGUAUCAACCAUGCGGGGACCAACGGUGUGCCCGGAACUCAUAAAAAUGGCAUAGUCGCCCUUCCUGGCACGACACCAUCACGAGAGUGACGAAGAUCACUCCCGCCACUAGUAAUGUGGCUCUUUGCUAGUACCGACCAGAGUAAUCAACAAAGCCCCGUCCCAUAAAGGGGUAACGUGGUCGUACUGGUACAGAUGGGACGGACGACACAUCAUAAAUCUAAUCCCAUUUCCGAAACCAUACUCACACAAAACACCGGUGCACCACUUCACCAAAAGUGGUCACCCAUCUCAUCAUCACCCUCGGGCAUUAGUGGCACCCGACGGGGUUCUUCAUAAACCUUUGAUUUAACUCAUCAUCAUGCUCAUGCAAUGGUUCUCUAACUCUACUAGUUAACAUGACAGUAGCAUGAUCCUCACAGAUGGUAGGGUCAAGCUCAUCAUGCUUGUGCUCCGAGGAGCCAUAUGUAUAACAUCACCAUCAUGCAAGUGCUUCAAAGAAGCCUUCGGUACCAUCACACCAAUGAUGAACCGACAUUAUGAUCACAUGCAACGGAAAGUACUUGCUAUUCUAGCAUGCAUCAAUUUAUCUGCUCAACUCAUGGUCAAAGGGCUGCUUGCCUUGGUCAGCUAGGUAUCCGGGGUCUUCAAGGUAUUCCGCUCUGAAUCCUUCGUCACUCGGUAAUUCAAUCGUCGAGAAUAGAAUAAAUAAGAAAUAGCUCACACAAAAACAAAUCACAAAUCACUUUUAAAAAUGUUGCAGAACAUGGUUAAAUUCAGGUUGUUAAUUUGAAAAAUAUCUUCUCUUAGUUUUUACUAGCUGAGCAUUUUUAAUAAUUAUUAAACAGGGGCAAACUAUUGCCUUUAAUGCCUUUAUAUUAUUAUAAAACAGAUUCUGUUUUUGAAAAAUGCCAACAAUGGCAGAAUCAAAUACUACUCAUUUUUAGAAAAAAUAUCAGUGGAAGAAUUAUAUUUUUCCACUGGGUAGUUAUUUUUACAAAAAUCAUUUUAGUCUAUGUUUUAAAAAUGAAAGAAAAAGGCCAAAGCCUGGCCUGCGAAGCAGGCCGGCCCAGCCAGCCAGCAGGCUGCCAGGCGCGCGCGCCAGGUUCGAACCUGACGUGCGGGCCCCUGGAGUCAGCGGUUGUGGCAGCGCGCGGGGGCUGCUCCAAGACGCUGACAGGUGGAGCCCACCUGUCGGGUUUUUCCCCUACCUCCGGCCAGGGAGGAGGAGAUGAACUUCGGCGAGGCUACCGUCAUCCUUGGGCCUAGCUAAGGGCAGGAAUGGGUUCAGCGUGCCUCCGCCUACGUGCAGGUAGUCGGGACAGCGCUGGAGAGGCUUGGAGUCGCCGGCGACGAGGUGGCCGUGGCGGAAGGGUUUCGGGACAUGGUUGAAGUGGUAGCUAGGGGCACGGAAUAGCUCGAGGCUGUUGGGGGAAAGGUUCCUGGUGUCGAGGGGAGUGCUCUGGUGGGUCGAUUGUCGCAGGAGCCGGCGUGUAGCCGGAGAUUGAUCGGAGCUCCGAGGCGGAGGGGCCUCGGUCGAUCUCGAGCACCGGGGCUCUUCGAGCUUGAUUGGGUGGUUAGCCAGGAGCUAGUGGUCGUGCAGAGGCUGCUGGAGGGGUGCUGAGGCACCGGGGGGGCUAUUUAUAGGCUCACGACGGUGAGCCGAGUCGGUGGCGCUAGUGACUCACCGUGGCGCGCGUGCUUGCCCAGUGAGGAGCUGGUUGCGAAACCACGGUCUCUGGACGUGGUUUGGGACGCUCUGAUCCCUCGGCCGCAGAGGGAGAAGGCAUGGGGUCGAGCUGCAGCGUUUGUGCAUGCUCGGCCGAGUCAGGAGCGCGCGGGCACGCGUCCCCCAAGCUCUAGCGCGGGAGAGGAGGAUCCCUGGCGGCUGCUUUACACAGAGGGGUUGUUGGGGGAGGUCUUGGACACUUUGGGGGAGGUUGGAACCGGCCGGGAGCAUCGUCCCCUUCUUGGUGGCUCCCUGUAGUGCGUCCAGAGCACAGUAUUGGCAUGCCACGGUAUGUUGGCGCGCUCUGGGGCACUUUAGACGUGUCCCUCAUGUCCUGGGUGUUGCUGGGAGUGUAUCUAGCCGUUGUGUGCUAGUGAGAGCACUGGCUGGUCAAGGGGGACAGGUUUCACUAGUGCUGUCAGCCCUGAUCUGUGGCACAAAUUGGGGUUCUUGUCAUUUGCGCUUUGAACUAGGGAGGGGCGAGUUGACUGGGUGUUUAGGUUGGUCAGAGGCACUAAUACACCAAGUUUGAGGCUUUGACAUUGGGUAGAACAGUGGCUAGGUGGGUUUUUACCUUCCUGUCAGAAGGUGUUCGACGGUGGUUUGGGAUGCUUCCACUCUACCACUGGAACUACAACUUAACAGGUUUGGUCUAGGGGUUAAAGUAGGGAUUUCCACCAAUUUUGAGCUCCAUUGAACAAGUUUAGCAUUGUAAACUUGAAAAUACAUCAAAAUGGCCAGAUCUGUCCUCUCCAAAGGGAGUGUGACUAAACAGAGUCUAGAAAAUCUCAUUUUUGGUGUGGAGUCCUCAUUUUAGGUGCCAAACACCCCUUCAAAGUUUCAGCACCAUUGGACAAACUUUGCUAUGUAGAGUUGUUCCAACUCUAUUCUGGACACAAAGGGUUUUAGGCUCAUUUGGUGUCUUUCCCCACCUUGGAUUAAGGUGAGAUUUUAUGUGGGCACCAAAUAUGGCUUGGGGAGGUUCGUGUAAUUUAAUGGGAUUUUAUUGAGAGUAUGUCCUUUGGAAAUACCUAAAAAGGUUAAAAUAGACAGGAAUGGUUUUCAGGGUUUUAUUCAAAUAAUUGUAAUAUAAAAUAGGGUUGAAAAUCUUAUAUAUGGAAAAUAUAUGUCCUUCUGAGUUUCCAUGAUUUUACUCAGAAUUUUCUAAGGCAGAGAAGCAUUUUUCCUUGUGGGAAUAUCAUUCCUGGCCUUAGAAACAGACAUGUAUUUAAAAUAGAAAAAUAAUGUUUUAAAACAUUAAAUAAUGUUUUUGGUAAAUAACUAGCAAAAGGGCCCGUGCAUUGCAACGGGAGAAAAAAAUACCACACGCUUUUAAUCUUUCUAUAAUCAUUUUGAUUUAUUAAAAUAAUAAGCUAACUAACUAAUAUAGCGAGUCCUAUCCUAUUUUGUUAAGAAAUCACACAUCCAUUGUUAAUUCCACCAUGAUGAGAAGUUGAGCGGGACAAGCAAAGCAAAACAAAGAGGCUACGUGAAUUGAUCAAUGGACUGUUAUCUUAUUUCACUCAUGGGGUAGAGAAUGUGGGAUCAGAUGACAAACUGAAGGUGGUGAUCCAUUCUCUAUCUCUACAACAAUACGAUCUUACAUUCAAUACAUUCAUUCAUCAGCAAACAAAUCCCCACAAAACAAAAUUUCUUGCUGGUGCUUGGCACACGGUUGAAGGCAUGGGGAGGGGAUCUCACCAGAUGAUGAGUUCCUGCCGGAGGAGGGGAUACGAUGAGGGGAGCAAGGGUUAGGCGCCUCUAUCUGGCCAUAAGGAGUCGCCGUUGCCGCGCCAUAACCUCGGAGUUCCCCGUGUGAGCCAUGGAGGUCCGCCUCCACCUGCAAGUACUUCGCUCCGCCGCGCCUUAUCCGCGCGCCGCCGCCGUUCUGCAUCGAGCAGACGCAUCAUCCAAGUCGUUGUAGCUGUCGCGUUGAUUUGAUCCAGAAGCUGUGCUCGAGUGCCGAAACAGGGGCAGCAAGCGGGCAGAGGUACGACCGCGGAGGCGGGCAGGUUGAGAUCGACAGCAGUGGUGGUUGAGGUCGGCCGCGGCGGCGAGUGGUGUGGCAGCGGCCUGGGCACAGGCCAGGGUGGACCAGGGUCGACGCGAUGCGCUCGAGCGCCUCAACGUGGUAGUGAGCGGGGAGAGGUACAGCCGCGGAGGCGGGUGGGUUGAGAUCGGCAACGGUGGCGGUUGAGGUCGGCCGCAGCGGCAAGUGGUGUGGCGGCGGCCUGGGCACAGGACAGGGUGGUCCAGGGUCGACGGGAGGAGGCGAUGCGUACGGGUAUAAUUUUUACAGCGAAUCAUUUUUUUUCUUUUGCGUUGCAGAUAAAUGAUGGAGCGCGGGUUGAAUAACAAAAAAUACAGGGGUUUUUUUAUAAAAAUGUUGUGGUGGGUUUUCCGACGAAAGCAAUAGCCGCUUUAUUAUUAGAUAUAGAUUAGUCUAUCAGAACGGAAGAACAUCGAAAAACUUUCAGGACAAUACUUGGUAGAAAAAUUACACCCGACCCGAUUCAGACGUGCUGCCUACCUAAUUAUCCAUCUACGUAGACUAAAGAGCAGAACAUGCACGCAGUCGUAGAGAGGAAGCAGGAACAACGAGUGCAGUUAACCAAACGUCUGAACCGGCCAGUUGCGUGCCUACGGCUGGCUACACGCCGCCGCAGCGGUAGACGAUCCGGCACGUACGCCCCACCCGGACGACGUACUUGUGCUGUGGCUUCACGAGGAACGGCGGCAGCCGUAGGAGCGCCUCGCAGACACAGUCCUUCUGCACCUCCUGCAGCCACCGGCAGCAGUCGCGGUACGCCCGGAGCUCCUCGUCGUGGUGGUGCUCGUGGUUGUCGUCAUCGUGCUCGUGCUCGUGCUCGUGGUCAUCGUCGUCGUCAUCGUCGUCGUCGUCAUGGUCGUCGUCUUCUUCAUGGUCGUCGUCGUGAUCGGGGUCCUCCUCGUGGUCAUCAUCAUGGUCGGGGUCCUCCUCAUGGUCGUCGUCAUGGUCGGGGUCCUCAUCACCGUCGCGCACACGACCACGGCGCCCACGUCCACGCCCACGCCCGCGUCCACGCCCACGCAGACGGCCGUGCCCGCGGCGCGUGUGGUUGCCGCCAUGGUGACCGGUGCCGUUUCUUGCAACGACAACGCCGCUGCUGUUGCUGUUUGCCGCCAUCAGACCAAGGGACGAGAUGUUGAUGACCGCCGCGUGGCCAUGGCGUCCACGGAGGCGGCGGUCACUGUCUCCACCGUGGUGAUCGUCGUCGCCGUCGUCAUCAUCGUUGUCGUCAUCAUCAUCAUCGUCAUCGUCGUGGUGGUGAUGGUGUCGGUCGUCCUCCGGAGGGCUGGGCGGCAGGAUGGAGCAGGCCUGGCUGGCAAUGGCGAACUGACUGAUGCAGAAGGCCUUGGCCUUGCCCUGCUGCGCGGCGACGGGGGCGAGGAGGGAAGGGAAGAAGAGGAGGACGGCGGCCAAAGCCGCGAUGUGGGACGCCGAUGCUGCCAUCUACGGAGUCGUGGCUGCUAUGUGAAGUGCCACACUAGUGCAUGCCGGCCACUUCUUAUAAAGAUGUGUAACCAAGUCAGUAAUGUGCAUUAGAGAGGUUAUUAAAUAGUUGGGGUCAAGGCCGGGUUGGGAGUGACCUGGUCGAUCGAGAUGCACACAGCAUGGUGCAUGGUUGUAAUUAGUUAGGUGCUUCAUAACUAUGGCGUGCAUCCAGGAUUGUCCAGCCAUGUCCACCUUGUUUACAUGCAUGAAGGCGUGCAUUGUUGGUGAGAGGCCAGUGACAAUUUGGUUGUAUUAAACUUACUAAAUUAUUAUGUUCGUCAAUCUUAAAAGAAGUCCGCCUAAUUUAGAAUGUUUAGAGGUUGUUUGCAUUUGUUAAGCUGUCUUACAUUUUGUUUUUCAUUUACCCCGCUGGUUAAAAGAGAUAAUGAUAUGUACUCCCUCCGUUCUUAAAUAUAAUUUUUUUAGACACUACAAAACUACAUACAAAUGUAUAUAAAUAUAUUUUGAAAUAUAAAUUUAUCUAUUUUAUUAUGUAUGUAGUUAUAUAAUGAGAUAUAUAAUAAAACUUAUAUUUAAGAACGAAGAAGAGAGUACGUACUGUACAAAUAGUCAAAUCUCACCAUUCAAAGCAUCAAAAGAUAACAAAGAUUACGUCGAGUUCUCUAAACCACCAAGCUACCAAUGCCUCCUGAGAGAGCCAGUUCAAAAUUCAUGAAAAUUCAUACCAUAUAAUGCAAUUUAGUUUAAAUGUCAUAAUAAUUUCAGCAAAUCUCUAUCUCUACUACUUAAGGUUACCGUUUCACCACUUGCUGCGUGCAUUCUUUCUAUAUAUAUUCUCCCUUCCUUUUAUGUCUUUUUCCUCCUACGUUGAUUUUCUCCCACUAGUUUUCUCUAAAGCAACUCAAUUAUCUCACGUCUUAUUAACUAUCAAAAUAAAAUAUCAUUACCAUUGAUAACUCAAUAAAUUGUUACAAACUAUUCCCUCCGUCUUACGGCACUUAUUUUGGGGCGGAGGUAGUAUUAUUUAAGAAUAAGACGAGAGGUGAAUUAGGAUCAUUGUAAACAAAAAAUAGAUAAGAUUUUAGUUCACCAAUGUAAUAAAAGACUUUCACUACUAGGAAAAAACUUAUAGACAAACGCUAACUAGUAGCGCAGGUUUUUACCCCUCGCUACUGAUACUUAGUAGUAGCACGAGUUUUUACCCCUCUACUACUAAGUUGAUAGUAGUAGCGCGGGUUUUUAACCCUCGCUACUACUAAGUGGUCUCAACUGUGCCCCCCUAGGACAUGCAAUAGUAGUAGCGCGGUGUAUAAACGAGCGCUACUACUAAGUUGAUAGUAGUAGUGCGGGUUUAAAACCCACGCUACUACCAGGUAGCCUUCAUUGUUGAAAGGACCACGAUGACGCCUCGAGGGGGGGGGGGAGGGGGGAGGGUGAAUAGGCUAUUUAAAAACUUGUUCGGAUUUGGCUUAAACCUAAUGCGGAAAUAAACUAAGAGGAUACUUUUCAAGCACAAAUCCUAAAUGCAAUAGGCACCNNNNNNNNNNNNNNNNNNNNNNNNNNNNNNNNNNNNNNNNNNNNNNNNNNNNNNNNNNNNNNNNNNNNNNNNNNNNNNNNNNNNNNNNNNNNNNNNNNNNNNNNNNNNNNNNNNNNNNNNNNNNNNNNNNNNNNNNNNNNNNNNNNNNNNNNNNNNNNNNNNNNNNNNNNNNNNNNNNNNNNNNNNNNNNNNNNNNNNNNNNNNNNNNNNNNNNNNNNNNNNNNNNNNNNNNNNNNNNNNNNNNNNNNNNNNNNNNNNNNNNNNNNNNNNNNNNNNNNNNNNNNNNNNNNNNNNNNNNNNNNNNNNNNNNNNNNNNNNNNNNNNNNNNNNNNNNNNNNNNNNNNNNNNNNNNNNNNNNNNNNNNNNNNNNNNNNNNNNNNNNNNNNNNNNNNNNNNNNNNNNNNNNNNNNNNNNNNNNNNNNNNNNNNNNNNNNNNNNNNNNNNCACACGAUAUAUCAAAAGCUGCAAGUGUGAACGUGUGGAUAUAGAGGGUAUGCUUGAACGAUUAAUCUUGUACAAAGAAAUAGCCAACACAAUAUAAUGAGCACAAACAAUAUGCAAUGUAUGUAUGCUCAAGUAANNNNNNNNNNNNNNNNNNNNNNNNNNNNNNNNNNNNNNNNNNNNNNNNNNNNNNNNNNNNNNNNNNNNNNNNNNNNNNNNNNNNNNNNNNNNNNNNNNNNNNNNNNNNNNNNNNNNNNNNNNNNNNNNNNNNNNNNNNNNNNNNNNNNNNNNNNNNNNNNNNNNNNNNNNNNNNNNNNNNNNNNNNNNNNNNNNNNNNNNNNNNNNNNNNNNNNNNNNNNNNNNNNNNNNNNNNNNNNNNNNNNNNNNNNNNNNNNNNNNNNNNNNNNNNNNNNNNNNNNNNNNNNNNNNNNNNNNNNNNNNNNNNNNNNNNNNNNNNNNNNNNNNNNNNNNNNNNNNNNNNNNNNNNNNNNNNNNNNNNNNNNNNNNNNNNNNNNNNNNNNNNNNNNNNNNNNNNNNNNNNNNNNNNNNNNNNNNNNNNNNNNNNNNNNNNNNNNNNNNNNNNNNNNNNNNNNNNNNNNNNNNNNNNCAAAUCUCAAAUAGCUUGGGUUGAGAGGAGGAGAGGGAGACGAUCUAUCUUUUGAUUGGAACAACUCUCAAAGGGGCUCACAAAUGCUCUUGGGAUCUAAGAUUUGGUGUGAGCAAAUGUGUGUGAGGUAGAAAUGUGUUCUUAUGAGGAUAUGGCUGUGUUGGGCACCCUCUCACGAAGUGGGAGGGGGGUAUUUAUAGUGGAGAAGGGAAAGUGACCGUUGGGGUCANNNNNNNNNNNNNNNNNNNNNNNNNNNNNNNNNNNNNNNNNNNNNNNNNNNNNNNNNNNNNNNNNNNNNNNNNNNNNNNNNNNNNNNNNNNNNNNNNNNNUUUUUUUGAGACUAGAGUCUACGACCAUGGAAGAAUUUUGAAUCUGCAAAAACUCAAUCUUCUUUGUAUUAUUUCACCGAUACUUGUUCUUUACAUUGCUUCAGUCGACGGUCACGUGUAGAAGCGCUUCAGGAGAUCUCCGUUCCAUGCUCGCGGCUCGUCCGUUUCCCUGUCGAUGUUGUAGAGUCGGUAUGCUCCAUUGUUCAGCACCUUGGGGAUGAUGAAGGGUCCUUCCCAGGCGGGAGCCAACUUGUGAGGUCUCUGCUGAUCCACUCGGAGCACCAGGUCGCCUGCUUGGAAUGUACGACUCCUGACGUGUCGCGCUUGAAAGCGCCGCAGAUCUUGUUGAUAAAUGGUUGAGCAAGUCAGUGCCAUCUCGCGCUCCUCCUCUAGAAGAUCCACUCCGUCUUGCCUUGCUUGUUCUGCUUCAGCUUCGGAGAAGAGUUCAACUCGUGGAGCGUUGUGAAGCAAGUCACUCGGAAGGACUGCCUCUGCUCCGUAAACGAGGAAGAACGGGGAUCGCCCUGUAGAUCUAUUUGGGGUUGUGCGGAGACCCCAAAGCACCGAAGGUAGCUCGGUGACCCAUGCGCCAGCGACAUGUCCCACCUCUCGCAGUAGUCGAGGCUUCAAACCAUCCAGAAUAAGUCCAUUCGCCCGCUCUGCUUGCCCGUUUGUUUGGGGAUGCGCCACAGAUGCAAAAUCCACUCGGAUACCUUGGCCUGUAUAGAAACCUUUGAAUCUGUCCGAGUCAAAGUUUGUUCCAUUGUCAGUGAUUAUGCUGUGAGGUACCCCAAAUCUGGAGAUGAUGUCCGUGACAAACUUGAUGGCCGUAAGGGCGUCGAAUUUUUUGAUGGGCUUGGCUUCGAUCCACUUUGUGAACUUGUCGACUGCCACCAACAGAUGUGUGAAUCCGCCUUGGCCUGUCCUGAAUGGACCGACUGUAUCUAAUCCCCAUACCGCAAAUGGCCAAACAAGAGGGGUUGUCUUCAAUGCAGAUGCUGGCUUGUGGGACUUGUUAGAGUAGAACUGAGAGCCUUCACAUCGGUCGACCAUAUCUUUCGCCAUUUCAUUUGCCUGCAGCCAGAAGAAGCUAGCCCUGAAUGCUUUGGCGACGAUUGCUCUUGAAGAGGCGUGAUGACCGCAGGUUCCCGAGUGAAUUUCCUCCAGGAUUAACUGUCCCUCCUCUGGGGAGAUGCAUCGUUGAAGGACGCCUGAAACGCUUUCCUUGUACAAAUGGCCAUCGAUGACAGUGAACGACUUUGACCUGCGGACGAUCUGUCUGGCUUGGACUUCGUCUUCUGGUAAUUCUUGCCUCAGGAUGUAUGCAAUGAUAGGGACAGUCCAAUCGGGGAUGACAGCAAGAAUCUCCAUGAUCAAAUCAACUAUAGCAGGUACGUCGACUUCAGUCGGAUCUGUCGAGCUCUUCGGUUGUACUAGUUCCUCUGUGAAAGGAUCUUCUUUAAUUGAGUGAAGGUGGAGGUGCUGGAGGCAUACGUCACUCGGGACUGGUCUCCGAGUGGAUCGAAGUUUUGCCAACUCAUCAGCUGCCUGGUUCUUCAGUCGCGGAACAUGGUGGAGUUCCAGACCUUCAAACUUUUUCUCGAGCUUCCUCACUGCAUUGCAGUACGUGGUCAUGGUGGGGUUCCUGACGUCCCACUCCUUCAUCACUUGAUUGACCACCAAAUCCGAAUCGCCAUAGACCAUCAGGCGACGGACGCCGAGUGAGAUGGCCAUGCGUAGUCCAUAAAGGAGAGCUUCAUACUCUGCCUCGUAGUUGGAGGAAUCAAAGUGUCUCUGCAGCACAUACUUGAGUUUGUCGCCCUUUGGCGAUAUGAUCACAACGCUAGCGCCGGAGCCAUUCAACAUCUUGGACCCAUCGAAGAACAUUGUCCAAUGAGCCGAGUAGAUGUGGGUCGGUUGGUGUUGUUCUACCCAUUCUGCUAUGAAGUCAGCCAGAGCUUGAGACUUUAUAGCUUUCUUGGCCUCGAACUUGAUGUCGCAGUACAACAUCUCCAUUGCCCAUUUCGCCACUCGGCCCGAUGCGUCCCAAUUGUGGAGGAUUUCCGACAACGGAGCAUCAGAAACGACAGACACCGAGUGGUCUUGGAAAUAAUGAGCUACCUUCUUCGUAGUCAUGUAAAUCCCGUAGAUAAGUUUCCGAUAGUGGGGAUACCUCUGCUUGGAAGGAGUUAGGACUUCGGAGACAUAAUACACUGGCCGCUGAACCUUGUAUGCUUUGCCUUCUUCUUCUCGUUCAACUAUGAGAACAGUGCUGACGACUUGAUUUGUAGCGGCGAUGUACAGAAGAAGGGGCUCUUUACUGAGCGGAGCAGUAAGAAACGGCUGGGUGGAAAGUAGGACUUUGAGGUCGUCGAAUGCGACUUGGGCUUCGUCUGUCCACUCGAAAGUAUCUGAUUUCUUCAUGAGUCGGUACAGAGGAAGCGCCUUCUCACCGAGUCGACUGAUAAACCUGCUCAAAGCUGCUAGGCAACCUGUGAGCCUUUGAACAUCGUGUAUUCUGACCGGCCGCUCCAUUCGAACGAUGGUCCCGAUCUUUUCGGGGUUGACAUCGAUCCCUCGUUCGGAAACGAAGAAACCGACUAACAUUCCGCUGGGAACACUGAAUGAACACUUGGCUGGGUUGAGCUUGAUAUCGUACCUACGAAGGUUGGCGAAUGUUUCUGCCAAGUCAGUCAGCAGGUCGGAACCUUCGCGUGUAUCAUCCAUAUACGCCUCCACAUUCCGACCGAUCUGGUCGAGGAGGCAUUUUUGGAUCAUGCGCAUAAAGGUUGCUCCUGCAUUCUUCAAACCAAAUGGCAUAGUGAUGUAGAAGAAGCACCCGAAUGGGGUGAUGAAGGCUGUUUUUAAUUCAUCGGGGCCAUACAGACGGAUCUGAUGAUAGCCCGAGUAGGCAUCAAGAAAUGACAAACGCUCGCAACCCGCAGUCGAAUCGACAAUUUGAUCGAUGCGGGGGAGCGGAAAAUGGUCUUUCGGGCAGACCUUGUUGAGAUGCUUGAAGUCGAUGCACAUUCGGAGCGACUUGUCCUUCUUGGGCACCAUGACAACAUUGGCAAGCCACUCGGAGUGGUGUACCUCGCGAAUGAAGUUGGCUGCCAAAAGCUUGGCCACCUCUUCUCCGAUUGCCUUCCUCUUGUGCGCGGCGGACUGACGCGGGCGUUCUCAGACAGGCCGAGCGGCAGGAUCCACAUGUAGUCGGUGCUCAGCCAACUCCCUGGGUACACCUGGCAUGUCAAAGGGAUUCCAUGCGAAGAUGUCCCAGUUCUCACGGAGGAAUUGGAUGAGCUCGGCUUCCUAUUUAGGAUCGAGAGUGGUGGAGAUGUUCGUCGGGGCAGCGGUGUCGUCCGUCGGGUGGAUGCUGACCUUCUUCGUCUCUCCCGCCGACUGGAAUGCGGACUCCGAAGAUGGCUUCUUCGAACGCAUCAGGUCAGCGGGGUCGACUGUCUUCUUGUACUCGUCAAGCUCGAGGACAGCCAUCUGCUGAUCGGCGAUCCUCUAUCCCUGCUGCAGACACUCCUCGGCCCGCUGCCGAUUGCCUGUGAUAGUGAUCACACCUUUCGGGCCUGGCAUCUUCAGCUUCAGGUACACGUAACAUGGACGGGCCAUGAAACGUGCAUACGCCGGGCGGCCCAGAAUCGCGUGGUACGCACUCUGGAAGUCCACCACCUCGAACGUCAGCUUUUCCUUGCGGAAGUUCUUGUCGGAGCCGAAGACAACGUCCAACGCGAUCUGGCCGAGUGACUUGGCCUUUCGUCCAGGGACGACUCCAUGGAACUGCAUGCUGCUCUCGCUGAGUUUGGACAUCGGAAUGCCCAUCCCCUUGAGAGUGUCGGCGUACAUGAUGUUCAAGCCACUGCCGCCGUCCAUGAGGACUUUGCGCAGUCGGACUCCUUCCACCACCGGGUCGACGACCAGAGCCUGCCUCCCUGGGGUGGGUACGUGUGCUGGAUGAUCGGACUGGUCAAAGGUGAUCACAGUCUGAGAUCAUUUGAGGAACGUGGGGUUGGUCGGCGUGGCCAUGUUCACCUCCCUGUUCACCAGCUUCAGUCGACUCUUGCUUUCAACGUCAGCAAAAAUCAUCAGUGUUGCAUGGACUUGGGGGAACGGAUCCUCCUUGUCCUCCUCAUCUUGUUCAUUGCCCUUUUCACUCGGUUGCCCUUCGCCGAACCCUUGGAUCAGGACGCGACAUUUCCGAGUGGUGUGCUUCGGAUAUAUGGCGUUGCCCUCUUCAUCCAUCUUCGUGUGGACCGGACAUGGCUGGUCCAGGAUGGGGUUGCUGAACUGCUUCUUCUUGGGGGUGAAUUGAGCCUUCCCCUUGCCUUUGAACUUGGCAUUGGUAACAGUUGCGGCUUCCGCCUGCUGAGUGGACGGAGCUUUCUGCUUCUGCUUCCGAGUGUUAUUCCCAUCUCCAUCGACGACUGCUUUGUGCUUGCCGCUACGGAUGCGGUCCUUUUCUUCGCCAUUUGCAUAGCAUGUCGCUAUCUCCAUCAUCUUGCUCAUGGAGAUGUCGCCGGUUCGACCGAACUUCAGGUACAGAUCUCUGUACGCAUGCCUGCCUUGAAGGCGCAGACUGCUUGGUGCUCUGUGACGUUCUCCACCGUGUGGUAGAGGGUCAUCCAACGCUGAAUGAAAUCGCGCAGGGGUUCAUUCUGCUUCUGGACAUAGUGCUGGAGCUCCACGAGGCGAGCAGGGCGCUUGCACGUUCCUUCGAAGGUCCUGAUGAAAACUCGGGCCAGAUGUGCCCAGCUGUAGAUGCUUGAGAGAGCCAACUGGUUCAGCCACGCUCGUGCCGAGCCGUCGAGCAUCAGAGGGAGGUGCUUCAUGGCGACGUGGUCGUCCCCUCCUCCGAUCUGGACUGCCACUCGGUAGUCGUCCAGCCACGUUUCUGGCUUGGACUCUCCUAUAAACUUGCUGAUCCCCGUCGCCAAUCGGAAGUUGGGAGGGAUGUCAGCCGACCGGAUGGCUCGACUGAAACACUCGGGACCAGAGACGAUGGUCCUGCUUCCACUCGGACGGUCCAUAUCGUGACCAUUGCGGUGGGCUCGGCCCCUGUUGACCCUCCGCUGGGCGAUAUGCCCUCUCGCGUCGGGCCUUGGAUCGUACGUGUCACCGACUGAACGCCGAUCAUCAUGAUGUCGGGGCCCGUAGGGCCCACCCCACGGAGGGGUGCGUGAACAGCGAUGAUCUUCGGGAUUUAUGGAACGGCUGCCUCCCUUGUGUCGCUGAUGAGAACCAGGGCUGUGAACUAAUCGAUGUGUGUUCGCAUGAACAGAACUAUUGUGGACCCUGUGGUGCGACUGGGAGACCACCGAAUUUUGUUGCUGCGCCGUGUGCAGCAGGGCACAGAUUUGCUCGAUCCCUCUGCCAGCCUCUGAAUCAGUCGACUGGAGAGAAUCUGCUAUCUUGGCGGCGGCAGCCAGGUUGAGGACGGGCGUGCGAUACACCUCCACGUUGCUCCGCCGAGUGUGCCGACUGGCAGAACGGCGGGGAUGACGGCGAGCGCCGGAUGUUUCGCCGACUUCGUGCUCGUUCCGGCCAGAUUGGCGGGGACUUUCAUGGGAGUUGGUCAUGUGCACUUCAGCUGCAGGUCCGUGACCCAAAUACUCGGAAGGAAACUCAGUCGGAACUGAGUCCGAGCGCUGGGACGGCGGUGCAACCACAACCGACUCUAGGACCGCCACUUGCGAGGACGCGUUCUGGUGCGCCUGGGCGUGUUGCACCCAACGUUGGAGCCGCGGACGGCGGGACCGCUUGUUACGGUGCGCGAUGACGGCCCAGGUCGACACCGGAGCCGAUUGCUGGAGCAGAAGAAUACCGCGGGCGCCGGCACGGAAGUGCGUAGCCCCGCGGCUGGGGAGUGCCUCGACGUCGCGAGGGGCAUCCCGGAGCCAUGCCGAAUCGUCGACGUUGAAGGAGAGAGCGCCGAACAGGAUCUCGUGACCCAUGCUCAAAUCUCCACCGGAUGACAUUAUGAAAAGAUGUAGUCGCAAACUCGCCGAAAGUUGCUUAGACGCCUGCCCCACGGUGGGCGCCAACUGUCGUGGGUGUAAGUCUGACAGUAGAUGUGUAGGGUACGAAAGGAUGGGCAGAGCCUUAGCUACGGCGAGGUUGUAUGAGUUAAGGCCCCUCUACGGUGGAGGUAAUAGGCCUAUGAUUCAGUGCUCUGGGAGCUUGUUGUCGAGUGGAAUAUGGAUUAUAGUGAAUUGCUAACCCCUGCACCAGUGGGGAAGGGUGGCUUAUAUAGAGUGCGCUGCCCUUCACAAUGGUUCGGUGCACAGGGUGGAGUAGUGGAGAAUAAAUGCCUACGUUACAAGUAACAUACGUCUUAAAUGCUAAUAAAGGCAUAUGGAAACGUAUGACCGUUUUCGUCCACGGGGGUUACGAUGCACAGAGUGGAAUCCAGUCGGUUAGUUUGAUACACUCCGAAAGCUCAUCUCCGGCUGGGUGCUGGAGGAUUUGUCACCGACUGGAUGAUGGGAAGUCCUUAAUUGAGUGGGAACUGACUAAGGGCCUUAUCCCUUAUGAAGGGUAGUCCUUGGGUAGGACUUAUAGGGCAGGCCUAUGACCCUACCCUAGGACUAUAACCCCAUCAACCAUCAACGGAGAUGUUUGGGAAGAAGGUCCAUAUCAUAUUCCCAAGUUUGUUCCUCAAGAGGAGAAAUAUGAUCCUACUACUCCCAAGGUAAUAAGCUCACAAGAUGUCCUUCUACCACAAGACCACAAGGACAAGGGAAAGCUUCAAGAGGACAUUGACUCAUUUGAAUAAGAGCCCCAAGCCAAGGUUGAGUGGGUUCCCAAGGACACUUCUAGUACUACCUCGUCUAGUGCUACCACAACUCCAAGGAUUCCCAUCAAAGUGAUGUGGGUCCCCAAGAGGAAGAACUAGAAAGUUCUUGAGGGGUGACUUUGCCAAUGAAUUUCACUCCCAUUCAUUUUGGCAAGAACUAUGUGCAAUCAACCUCAACGACAUGCAUUGGUUCAAGGAGUCACACAUUCCCUCAAAGGUGAUCAAGGGACAAGGUAAUCAAUGAAUCUUUGGACAUCACUUCCCAUGUACAUAGGUAUCUUUGUGUUUGUUCCUUUUGCUUUGGGACUAACCCAUGUAGGUGAGAAGAGUAAGAAACAACAAUGAUUGCUCCCAACUCGAGAUGAUCUUCAUCAACAUUUAGAAUCGACCACUACUUCACCUACUUGAAGUCUUCUACGACAAAACCCAAGGUUAGUUUGUCCCUCUUAGGGGGGAUGUGAUAUCAAGGGGGAGCUUCACUCUAAAUCUUGAGUAUAAGCAUCUCCUAAAGAUAUGAACACAUUAAUGCUUUAUGUAAAAGUGGUAACCCCACUUGUGCUUAAACGAUGAGUAUGACCUAUGAUCAAGUAUUCUUACUUGACUCCUCAGUCAGUAUAUUCAUAUAUAGAUGACUUCGUCAUCGCCAAAGUGCUUGAUAGAUGCUAGGAUGUUUGUGCAUGUUCAUCAUGGUUUCAUUUGAAAUCUUAUUGUGUGAGGAUGUUAGUAUGCAUAUCCUUUCUCAUUCGAGGACAUCCAAUUGUUGCUAUUUGGCUUAUGAUUUAUCUUUUGCCAAUUGGAUAGACAAGAAUGCCUAGGACCCUUCUUUAGCUAUCUAGGCUUUCUCUUCUCAAGUUCUAUUCAUGCUUCAUCACAAAACUUGAACAAGCACUUCUCGAUCCCUCUGUGUGAAUGAGCACUCGGAGUUCCGUAUCGACAAACGCUGCAUUCCAAAACCUCUUUGUGAAUCUCAGUGCAACCAACCCCACAAUAUCGGUUCCACCGAAUAACCAAAGCUGAUCUAGGUUUUCAAUCUCGGUACCAUCGAUACCACCAUCUCGGCUUCACCGAGUUUCCAUGUCAACUGACAACAUAGGAACUCGGUGGCACCAGAACCUUAGUAUCAGUGACAUCGACAGUGAUGGGUAUAUAUCCUGGCAGACCCGACGUUUCGAAAUUUAAUCCUCAAACGUUUUGUUCCCAACUCCAAGAAGCCGCACAAGGACCCUUGGUUAUCGCCUUUGCAUCCCUGAGAGACUCUGCCGUUGGUAAUCGCCGCCGACGAUUGAAUCAUCGCCGCCGUCGUUGCCUAGCGAGUUCAUCACCGACUUAGUUUAUGAAUCCGAACCCUCAUGUGCUCCUUUAUCUGAUCCACGCGCAUUAGGGCACCCCAUCCACAAUCAACAGUUUCUAAUCUUCCUAUUCCACAAGAAAUCUCCAUAGAUUAGAGAAUGAAGGAAAAUUGGAUCCGAUCUCCCACAACAUGUAUCUCAGUGAGACCAAGUUGGUAAGAUCGGUUCCAUCGAUUUUUGUUUUAGGGUUUCUAAGAACCACUCUAGUGAGACCAAGUAGCUCUUUUCGAUUACACUGAAAAGACUACCCAAGUUUCUGUUAUGCAAGUGGUCAGUCUCGGUGACUCCUUAAAACCCAACCCGGUUCUACCGAUAUUCAUUCUGAAGUAGACCAUACACUAAGUUUUUGAAUUCAAAUUUUGAAAAAUUAUGUGUUUUGUGAUGCUCAACCCUUGUGAUCUUCUAUAUCUACUUCACAUGGUUGCUUGUCUGUUGAUUUGCUGGUGUGUUUGUCUGUUUUAUUUCAAAGAUGUCAGGUUGUCAGGACAGCCAGAACAACUUCACUCAAGAUAGUGUUGAGAUGGAUUCAUGCACUAGUUCUGAGAGGUCCCCUUUUGAUCCAGGCACCCCCAUCUCCCAUGGUUUGCCCAAGGCUGCCACAAGGCCCAGAAGGAAACUGAAUUCUGAUGAAGAAGAUUCAGACUUUGUUCCUGUUGAGUCUGACGUCCAAAAGCAGAAAGAGAAGCCUGUUGUCAAGAGAGCUGUUAGGAAGGUGUACUCUAAACCUUCUGACAUGAGAGCUGCAGAGUUUGCAAGGCAAGGGAUGACACUUACCCUUGAGAAACCUCCUAAGAAGACAGGUGUGAAGAGAGUCAGGAAGAGGAUUAUUCAUGUCAUUGGUAGACAAACUUCCAUGUAUGAAGACUGAGGAGAAACUGUUGCCGCUGAGGAGGAGGAAGUACCAUCUAAUGCGCCUCCUACAAAGAAGAAAAAGAAGCUUAUGGCAGGUACUAUGAAGCCUUCUGCUCGAAAGCCUUUAGAUCCAAAGAAGCCCGUAGCUCCCAAGAUGACCACAAAGGACAUACCCCCAGCUGCUAAAGAGAAACGCACUGCUUCCAGAGACUUUGUUGCAAAGGAAGAUGUUGAGAAUGCACCUAUUCUCAUGAAGUUAAGACCUCAUUUUCCAUUUCACAAUGAGUUUCAUCCAAUAGCUGAAGACAUGAAGAAGAGAAGAGAUGCCAAGCUAAAGAAGUGGAGAGCUAUUGAUCCUUAUGCUGUGAGGAGAAGGACUGCAGCUGAUCCCAGGUUUCAUACAAGAGAACAACAAGACUUCUAUGAGACAGUUCUGUAUGACAAAUGUCCAGCAGUUAGUGACAUGAGAUAUGUCGACUCGAAUUAUAUCAAAGCCAAUGAAUAUUUCUUUCCCCAUGUGAGAGAGAACUUCAAUCUUGUUGACAUUGAAGAUUUGUUGGUAGAGAGAUAACUGCAUGGAAUGAUGAAAUGAUUAUGCAAUUCUAUUCAAUAGUUCAUUUCUAUUCAGAUGGCACAAUUUUCUGGAUGACUGAUGACCAUAGAUAUGAAGCCACAAUUGAAUAAUGGGCUACUAUCAUUGCUGCUCCAAAGUCACGAGUAGAGGACUUGGAUGUGUACUCAGAACCUAAGAAGAAUCACAACUCUAUGGCCAAUAUGUACAAGCGAGUGCCAAAUGACGUCCUACCAUCUCACAAGCUUGGGUCUAUCUAUUCCUUGCAAGCUGGGAUAACCUCUACCAACACUAUCUUCAGGCAUACCCUGAUACCCAAAUCAGGUGAUGACAAAAUGAUUAGAGGCUAUUCCAUCAAUAUGCUACAUCAUUUAGACACCGACGCUCGCUUCAAAGUCAUUGAUUAGAUUGCUAAGACUAUGCGGAUAUGCACCAUACAUUCAUAUGCUCAUCAAUGCCGAGAUUGGCAAGCAUGCAUAUCAGCUUGAUCGUCCUCAUUUUCCACUUCAGCCAGAGUUCAAGGACAAUUAAGAUGUGAUGGAUGACACUCAUCCAAGCUCAGCGACAUCUAGAGAGGCUACAGAGGCAGCUGCUGCAGAGGCCGCUAAGAAUGCUCCAGCUCCACCACUAAAGCUUAAAACUAGAGAGGAACAUAUGUCGUUCUUGGUCAGCAUCAUUCGAGGGAUGGAGAAGAAUAUUUUUGAGAUUCUGCUAAACCAAAAGAGCCAAGAGAGGAUCGUGGAAACAAAGUUUCAUGACCUGGAUCUGAAGGUUAAGGAGUUGACUACUAUAGUCAAGCAACUUCAGCAUGAAGUUGACUCAGUGCAGAUUCCACGCUCAAAUGAUGAAGAUGAUGAUGAUGAUGAUGAUUCACCUCGUCGUACUACCAAACGUUUCUCGACGCAGACCAGGUCAGCAGCUGUGCCAGUACCAGAAGAUAGACCGUCUUCAUCACCUGAAGCUUCAACUCCUGCUCUAUCACCUCUAGUUUCUACACCUCCAGCUCCUGCUCCAACGAUGUCAUCCAAAGCCUUCAUUGAUGCUCUUUUGUCUACUCCAACAUCUGCUACCGGAGGAGAUCAUGCCCGGAGAGAAGCUUAGGUUAGAUCUUUGAACGUUUUGGUACUUGUUGCCAAAGGGGGGAGAAGUGUAUAGAUCAAUAGGGCUUCGGGAGAGGGAGAGCUUUUGACUUUAUAUGCUCUCAUUUUCAAAACUUUAUUUGCUCUCUUGGAUGACAUUAUCUUCUUAGAUGUGUGUUUGAUCAUAUGCUUUGAUUGUUUAGUGCUACCAUGUUAUUACCUCUGAGCUAUCCACAUCAUGAUCAUUCACUUGUUUUUGGUGCUAUGUGCAUUGCUGUUCAUUCUUAUCUUUUAUGCACACCACCAAGUUGUAUGUGACAUGGAAGAGUAACCCAUAUUCCUAAUCGAUCGUGCAUUUGCAUUCAAAUGCAAAUUUAAAAAUAAUGCACAAAUUUAGGGGGGAGCUCUUGUUUUUCACAUACCUCUCAAAGCGUCGAUGCUAAUCAUUGAUUAUAUCUUUUGACGAAGCUUUGAUCUAUUUGUUGUCAUCAAUUACAAAAAGGGGGAGAUUCAAAGCACAAUUGCUCCCUAAGGUGGUUUUGGUAAUUAACCACAACACAUGCAUCAUUGGACUAAUGCGUAUAUUCAAGUAUAUUUCAGGAAACUUCAAAGUAGCUUUGUGUGGCACCCCGAUUCAACGAAUCGGAUUACCAGUGUUUCCAACCCAGAGAUCAAGUCUUCUGGAAACACUCAACAACUUGGAACAGAACUGAACUGACUUUAUUGAUAGAAUAAGAUGACAGGUACAUAUCUUACAAUGAUAGCGAGGCGAAAGGCACCCUGGGUGCUGCAACAGUAUCUACAUUAUUUAUGAGGCAUAGUGGGGCCUCGAAACUACUAAGUACUUCUACAGCGUAGCGGAACAUAGCGGCAACUCCAUACACACGGACACUUCUGUGGACACUCCCUACUACGCAUUAUCAGGACCACCGUCCUCGGCUUCUCCUGCAUCUGGCAGGAUAUGGUUGGUGAGUACUUGGAAUGUACUCGCAAGCUCAUAAUAACCAAGUAAUGCAGCAAACAAUAGCAUGGCAACACAUUAGGAAUAAUAUCACUUGGCUUUAUAAUAUCCACUUACUCAUGUCCGGGGUUGUCUCACAACCACCGGAAUGCCUAUCAAGCAUCUCCAUUCAACUGAAGGGUUCCUCCAUCAUUACUAACAUCCACAUGCUUGACCAUCUACUGAGGUCUGGUCGGGCUAUCCAAUACCGUGGACUCAGCUAUUCGAAUAGAUUUUACACUCUACAGAGGUUGCACACUUUACCCACACUAUGGAGUACUGACCUCGUGAUCCCAUUCGGGUGGACCGACAUUACUCCAAUGAAACUUUCCUAUCCUGUGACUCUCUCAUUGUAUCCCCGGCAACCACUCCCUUCCGGAGUCUUGACCUGGGUGGCCCUGUGUCCUCAUGACACCUGCCACCGUCGUGGCCAAACAAAACUGUCCCAACCGGGGACGGGCCCAACUCAACUUAACUGGGCUCACAGGGUUAUCACCGCCUACCGGGCCAAGGUAGCACGCAUGCAUAACCCUCCCUCUUUGGGGAUAUCGGUGAAAGAUCACGUUGACAAUCCAAGUCACGGCCUUCCCAUACCGGCAAGAUGUGGUUGUACGAUUAUGCACGGACAGGUGACUCAUGAUCAACCACUAAGCCAUGGUAACCAUAGUGAUUUAUAACAGUAAGCACAUAUUCCUAUAUGACUGUUUAUUAGAUGAUUAUUUCCUAACAAGUCAAGUAAGUAAAAUGCAUGAAGAUGUGAGUUAUGCUAUGCAAAACUACAUCACAUGGAUAUGAUGGCUUUCGUUGAUCAGUGGGGUUGUUCAAACACUCCUGGUCUUCAAAGUUUCCCUCUGAAAAUAUGUUUGAAGUAGCAAAACUAAAGAAAAGUCAUUUAAUACCUUUUUUAUUCAUUAGAAAUUCUAUGUGUGUGGGAAAAAUACUAAAAUUUACCAGAUUGUAUAGAAACUCAAUACCAAGUCAAUGCAAAAAGAAUCAAGUGAUUUGGACUUGUAAAUAAAAGGAUUUAAAUGGUCAAAGUUUCUAUUUGAAUCUGGACUUAAUAAAAGAAAAGAUAUUCUGGCAGGGGGCCAGGUCGAAGGUGUAAAGUGGAGGGGCGCCUCCACUUACCGCUUCGGCCGCUGGCCAUAGCCGCUGGCAGGUGGGGCCUGCCACGAGAACAGAGAGGGGGAGGAGGGGAAAAGAGGCGAGGCGGCCUUCCGACGACGGUCGCCGGCGAGUGAGACGGUGGCGACGCCUGGGAUCGGGCGGAAUGGAACGGGCGGUCGAUGACAAGCACACACGUACCCGCAGCUUGGCGAGAGGUGGACAGACGACGUCAUCCCCUUCUUCUCUGGCGGUGGCGGCUUCGGGUGGUCGUCGGAGACGAGGAUUCCGGCAGGGAAAAGCUUGGGCAAGGGGUCGAGAAGCACCAGGGGAACUUCCCGAACUCGACGGUGGGGUUGAUUAGGCUUUGGAGGAUGGGGUUGGUGCUGUCGACGGUGAGGCUGCAGGCAGCGGAGUUACGGCGAUGUUCAAGGCCAGAGGGCCUCUAGGCCUUGGCUCGCUCUUCGGGAGGUCAAUAGGGAGCAACAGGAGGGAUGUUGAGAGCUCGAAGGGGUCGCGCACUCCUUUAAAUAGGCCGGCGACGAGCUCGGCGAUCUCUCCCGAAGCGGCGAGGAUAAGCUCAACCACAGUCGUCGGAGGGUUGAGGUGGUCGUCGCGGAGUGCGCUGAGGUGACGGAGGAGAGCAGGGAGGCGAUGGGAUGGCUCCUGGCCAUUAAGGGCUCGCGGAUGAGAACAGUGGCCGGAGCCGUCAGUUCGGUCCUGUGGCUUAGCUUGGCCAGGAGCGGUGGCGGCAUUCUUCGGCGACCUAGCACUUUCAAGAGGUGCCACACGGCUGCCAGGGACCUCGUCGGUGCUCAGGACAAGGAUGGGGCAACGAAUGAUGGCUCGAGGCAGCUCGGCUGUCACUGGAGUUGCGCAGAGCACGCUCUAUGGCAUGCAAGCACCGUGAUCACCAUGGUUGUGGCCAACCUCAUGUCACGCAGGCCUAGAGACCUUGUCCAUUGCGCCGACCAGCCUCUCUUUAGUCACCAUCCACUGCUUGAUUGAUCAGUCACGCUCUCCUGCGACUUGGAACAUCAACAAUAGUUUCUGUCUACAGACUUUGGGUGGUUUUAGAGCUCAACUGGGUUGGGGUUCGAGUAAGAUAGGAUGUCUGGGCGGAUCAACAUAGAAAAGACUCCAAGCUGGCAAAGUUUGGCUAAGUUUGAAGAUCAAAUGAAUAUAGUUCCUUUGAAAACCAUCUUUCUGGUCCAGAACACAAAUGAGCUCCUAGCACUCAAUUGCAAGCUUUGCUAUAAGUGAAACUUGGUGGGGAAGUGUCAUUUGGUAGUGCACACAUGCCCAAAAAUUUGUAGCUCCAUUGUGCACUCCUAGCUAGCACUUCCUUCACAAGGGUUCAGUUUUAGCACAAACUUAGCAGAGUUUUCCUGCUCAAAAUUUGUAUUGGACCAUUGGAUGUUUUUACAUAUCGGAACCAUUGGAUGUUUUUACAUAUCGGAACUAUAUAUAUUUUUACAUAUCGGAACUAUAUUUUUGAAUAUUUUGAAAUCAUAUGGUGUUGAGAAGAUGUUGUAAAAGUUUUGGCUCUUAAAGCUCAUCCAACCUAUAGGUUGCUUCACAACCCAUAGUGAUGCCAUAAUUCCCAAAAAUAGAAAGAGAAUUAUUUGGAGGAAUAAAAUAUUGCAAAUAAAUCUCAGAAAGCUUUUGGUAAGAAGCAAAUUGUAAUGGAGUCAAUCUUUCUACGAGAAAAUUGACCGGGCUCAAGAUUCAUGACUAUCAUGUAUGGAUUGAGCGGUUAAUGCCGGUCAUGGUACGAAGCUAUGUCCCCAAGCGUGUCUAGAGAAUGCUUGCAGAGGUAAGACAUUUCUUUCGCAUGCUCUAUGCUAAAGAAGUAUUCCCAAUGUGAUUAGACAAUUGUAUAAGAAGACACCUAUCAUGGGUAUAAGUCUGACAGUAGAUGAAUAGGGUACGAAAGGAUGGGCAGAGCCUUAGCUACGCCGAGGUUGUAUGAGUUCAUGCCCCUCUACGGUGGAGGUAAAAGCCCUACGUCUCAGUGCUCUUGGGAGCUUGAUGUCGAGUGGAAUAUGGUAAACAGUGAAUUGCCAACCCCUGCACCAGUGGGGAAGGGCGACUUAUAUAGAGUGCGCUGCCCUUCACAACGGUUCGGUGCACAGGGCUGGAGCAGUGGCGAUUAAAUAUCUACAUUACAGGUAACGUAUGCCUUAAAUGCUAAUAAAGGUACAUGAAAACGUAUGACCGUUGCCCUCCAGGGGGGUUACGAUGUACAGAGUGGAAUCCAGUCGGUAAGUUUGAUACGCUCUGAAUGCUCAUCUCCGACUGGAUGAUGGAGGAAUCGUCACCGACUGGAUGAUGGGAAGUCCUUAAUUCAGUCGGAACUGACUAAGGGCCUUGUCCCUUAUGAAGGGUAGUCCUUGGGUAGGACCUAUAGGGCAGGCCUAUGACCCUACCCUAGGACUAUAACCCCAUAAACACCAAAGUUGAUAUCGAAGCUAGAGAAGAUUCUUCUGCCCGACUUCUUUACUCGGAUGACAAAUCUCAUUUUGCACCUCGCGAAAGAGGUAUUGUUUUGGGGCCCGGUGCGGAAUUGUUGGCAGUACGGUCCCAAUAUAUAGAACAAGCAUCUCUGAAACAAAUGUGGAAACAAAGCUAAGAUUGAAGCUUCCAUAGCCGAGGCAGUUUACCUUGAGGAGGUGUCAGACCUCAAGGCAUCGUACUAUCCAUACCACGUUCCCACUCUACAUAAUAAGCUGUGUCGACACAAUACGGAAGAGCCUAUGUAUAAACCCAAGUUUUAUUUAUUCAACGGGAAAGGUGCCAAGGCUGGGGGCUCGAAAUCUUAUAACCUGCCAGAACAAGAGUGGGAGGACAUCAUGUUCCAUGUCUUGCACAACAUCAACGAAGUUGAGGAUGAGUGGAUGAGGUAAUACCACUACACCAUUAAUACCUUUAUUUCUUGCACAAUAUCAUAUUCUAUGUUCACUUAGUCUCGACCUAAACACCACUUUUCUUCUUUUAGUCAAUUCAUUGAUGAGGAGUGGACGGUAAUGAUUCCUCCUAGUGAGGCGGAGGCACUUACUCUUCUAUGACAUGGGAACCCUGGAAGGAAACUUUUGUUGCUUGGUUCAUGGCGAAAGUAAUUUUUCACAUUCCCCUAUUAAAUACCUAGUUGAACAUUUAUUAGUUAGCCAAACUAAUGCACCCAACAAUUUCAAUUAAAUAAUACCCAACAUACGCCUUCUGUUGGUUUCGUCGAAGUUAAACAAUCAAUUGUCUAUGCCGGAGCCGAUCUCUUUAUUGCGGCUACCCAAGUCACACGAGUUUAUUAUCUGCCUUACCCAUGCCAGGAAUAGUACCUAAAGGGUUGGGAAGUUGUGUUCCAGGUGUCGCCACAUGGUAAGCUACCGGACUCGAACGAUGACGAUUAUUACAACAUUAACCCCAUGACAUACGAGGGAGUGUUCUUUUAAGAGCAACCCCAUGAUGAUGGUGAUGUGGUCAGAAGCGAUGACGCUGAUGCCUUUGAUGAUGAUGAUGAGGUGUGGAUCCAAACGAUGACGAUACACAUAAUGAUGGUGAGGCCAUUGUUAAUGAAACAACAUAAUUAUGCUAGAAAAGUUAAAUGAAGACACUGACAACGAGGAAGAGCCUCCACCUCCAUCCGACAAUGAAGAUGAUAUGUGUGAUAGUGAUGAUUAGACCGGUCGAGCUAUUGGUUACAACAUUGACGAUUCGUAUGGGUUCUAGCACAUGUACGUUUCUAUGUUUUUUCUAUUAAUGUCUUUUUUCGAUGCAACCAUACUUAUUUAUUAAUGUCUUUUUUCUAUGGUCUUUUCUUCGUUAUUAGUAUACUAAUUGUUUAUUCUCUUUUCAAUGGAGGUUUUCUAAGCAUGGGAAAGGGCAAGGCCGAUGGCACGGGUUUACUAGCCAAACUCACCUCGAUGUAUGGACCCCGCAUGGUUCCAUCCCGACUACUUGAGGAUAACUCCUUACAGGGAGGUUGAGGGAGAGGUGCCCCUAGAGGUGGAGGUUGUGCAGGGAGAGCCCCUAGAGGAAGGCAGGGCCGGGCCUAGAAACAACGCCCCCUCACCAACUUAGGUAUGUCGUUUACAAGGCCCUCCUCUAGUGAGGUACCCUCUACCGAGGAGGAGGAGGUUCACGAGGAGGUUGAGGAGGAGGAGGAGGUUCGCGAGGAGGUUGAGGAGGAGGAGGAGGUUCACGAGGAGGUUGAGGAGGAGGAGGAGUUUGGGGAGGGGUGGAGGAGGAGUUUGGUGGUGGCAGGUAGGGGGUUGGCAACAACAAGGGGUGGCUACGUGGUGCUGCAAACCUCCCCCCGAUCUUGCUACCGAGGAGCAGAAGUGGCCCAUUGAGCGAGCGGGGAAAGAGUAAGUGCCCCUUAAGCAUAUUUUAAUUCUUUUGCUUGGAAACAUGCUCAUAUUUUCUAUCUUUUCUAGGGGCUGGACAGUUCCUGAAAAUGUUCGUGUUCCAAACGGUAUCAUCACUAUCUUGAUGAAGGAAUAUUGGUCGGGGUUGUUCACUUCGGACAAAGACAAGCACCCGGAGCACCGGGUUUUGGCCACGAACUGGGACCACUACGAAGCGGCUCCCCACGUGGAAUUUGUUACACAUGCUAAGGCCGUGAUAACAAAUGUUUUGGUAAGUCCUCUUCAAAAGCAUGAGUCUUGAGUUUCAUUCAUAGUUUAUCAUCGAAUGGUUUAUCUCAUGGCUUCUUCCACUCUGGUUGUAUGACUAACUGUAGAAAUACUAUCCAGAUAUUGAGGAGAAAAAGCCCAUUGCCGACAAGUUGUUCCUGAGAGUUGCAAGGAAGGAGGCCUGCCAGAUGCAGUAAGAGGUGUGCUGGGUGGCCAUCUCGCAAUUUUAUUAUGACUAUCGUGACAUGAAGAUGCCCAAGGAAUAUGGGCGGAAGGAGCAUCUUACCUUGACUAGGGAGAAGUACCUGCUGUAAGUAUAACCGACUUUUCAUUCCAACAUUUGUGGUAAAUUUCAUUGUUUCGUGUCGACAUGCCAUUAUGCUUUCAUUAUGUAAGUGUCAGGAACGACACCUAUGGAAACUCGAGGAGUACCUUGAUCGUCCGGCGGGGAGAGAGAGGUACAACAUCGAGAGCGGAGCUAACGAUCAACACCGGCAAGGUCUUUCACCCAGGUUCGGACCGCUUGGCGCGUAAAACCCUACUCCUUCUUAGUUUGUAUUAUGUGCUUACUGUAGGAUGACUUGCUACAGUAACUUAGUGGGUGAUUAGGAAGUCUCCAAUCCCACAAGGGUCCAACCCUUAAGAAUGAGCCUUGGGUCUCCUUUUAUAGGUAAAGGGGUCACCAACAGUGUGCUCACGGGGUGAAUAGUGAACAGUAUUCACCGCUGUACUUCUUCGGUGGCGUCAGGGACAGGAAAUGCCUUGUUUGACCCCUGGCCUGCCACAAGGUGGUCGCGACACGUAUCCAGGUGAAUCGACACCUGGGUCUUGUGCUGGCAAACGAGGGAUGUGCUGGAGCGGUCGGAUUGUGGUAGAAACGGGGGAGGACACCUGGAGAGUGAAGGGGGCUUGCUUGCCUGGAGCCUCUGUCGGAUGACUUGGUCACCUUCCUCGCAAGGAGGGCUUGCCAAGGGCUUGGACACUUUCCCAGCAAGGAGGGCUUGUCGGGGGCCUCGCCAGUCUGUGCGAGCCUUCCCGGCAAGGGAGGCUUGCCGAGGUCUUGCUAAUCUUCGGGGGUCUUCCCGACAAAGUGGGCUUGCCGGGGACUUGGGGAUCUUCUCGGCAAGGAGGUCUUGCCGGGGACUUGCAUCUGGAGCCCUUGUACUCCACGCCCCGCGAAGAGAGGGAAGGUCGUGGCCUUGGUGGGUCUUGGAUUGCCUUGCUGCUGUUCUUCCCGGUGCACUACCGUCAUGGGCGUUGCUGAUGCCCGUGCAUAAGUCUAGGGCACAAGGGACCCCAGUCUCUAGUGCACCGAUAGGAGCCCCCGGGCCUGGGCCACGCACGCACGCGAAGUGUUGGUGGGCCAGGCCCAAAGUAGUGCACGUGCUUCUUUGGAAGGGGGACUCUGUAGCUUCAGAGCUGUUGUAGACGACCCUUCCCCACGCUGCGCAUUGAAAGCUCGAAGUGGGGAGGCAUGCGCACAGUGGCCAAGGUGUCCACGCGCGCGCUGAGCUAUUGGUUGGGAACGCAAGUGUCGACCGGUGCGCCUACCUUUCUUCUCAUAAGAAAGGAAAACAAAGCCACACAAGCCUUUCAUUCCUUCCCAGUUCUUUUCAAGCUCGAAAACGUCGCCCCCUCCUUUCUCCCGCUAAAGUUCCCUCCCCACCUCCACCUUUGCCCCCGAGGCCGCGCUUUGGACGGCCACAGCUUCCGCCGUUGCCAUGGCGCCUAAGGGAACAGAAGGCAAGAAGGGGAAACCUGUCAUCACAGAGAAGGAGUUGGCGAAGAUGCGGAAGGAGCUCGCCUAUUUUCCCCCGGGGCCCGACGCGUUCUUCCUGAAGGAGCACUAUCAGCAAAUGUGGGCGGCCAAGAGGAAGGCGCAUCCGGCCACUCAAGUGACCCCGGAGAAGUUGGCGGUGCUCCAGAAAAGUAUCCCUUCUUCGUCGAUUUCUUUAUUGCGAGCUCUGUCUGCCCUUCUCCGAGUUCUUCAUUGACAUCAUGAACACCUAGGGCUUCCACCUUCUGGAUUUCACGCCGAAUGUGGGGACAUGCAUGUCUAUAUUAGCGCAUCUCUCCGAGAAUUUUGUCGGGAUUACCCCCAACACCGCCCUCUUCCGCCACUAUUUCAUUCCCUGCAUUCAGGGAGGGGAUGCUCUUUCGGGCUCCAUCACUUGGAUCCCGUGGAUCGGAUGCAAGGAGAUGUAUCUGGAUGGGGCCCUUCGGGAGAAGUGGGAAGAAUGGCGUGGGAGGUGGUGGUGGAUCCUCGAGGAGAAGUAUCUGCCCUUCUGCGAGCCCAGGACCACCAAGAUCGACUCCCACGACAAGCAUGGGAGUGACCUCGACCUCGAUCAUAUGAAACUGACUGUCCCUAUCAACAGGAUCCUGCGUCUCAGGGACGCAGGGCUAACGAUAGAGAUGGUGGGUGCCCACUUUAUCCGCACGCACAUCGCCCCCCUGCAGAAUAGGGGAGGAAGGCUAGCCUCAGCCUUUGUGAACGCGCGAACAUCCUACGACUGUGGACUGGUUACAACAACAAUCUGAUGGUGAUGGGGCAUGCCUUCAUUUGCCAGAAGCUGUUCAAGUCGGACAUGAGGCCUCGGCUACCGCAUGGUGUCGUACCCUUGUGCAACAAUUCUGCCCUGAGUUACUCAUGGCAAGGAUGCCAGAGUGUAAUGCUCAUGGCGUGGUUGCGACUUGGAUCGAGCCAGGGAGGAGGAUGUCUUGUGCUUCUUUGACUUCUUGUCGGAGAAUCCCAUUAGAGAAGACACCGGCCUCGUCCGGGAGUACACCGACGAGGAGGUGGCGUAAAUUGCCAGCCGGGCCGAGGAGCAGGCCCUUGCCGAGACGGUAGGGAGCGUCGGCUUCUAUGACGAGGGGGCGCCCGAUGAGGAGGCGCAACAGGACAAGCAGCUCGCCGGGGAGCCCAUCAGCUCGGUGACCGGGGGCCCUUCAAAGGGACGGGCGCCCGACGCAGAGGAGGAGGAGGAGGAAGAGGAUGAGUCUCUAGCUCGCCGAAGGUCCAGGCGAGUGCUUCGACACGCCGACUCCAACAUCCCCGUCUGGCAAAAUCCACCCGCUGUGCCCGGCAAGCGUCCCGGAUCCGCGUCUCCUCGGGCGGAUGCCGAGGAGGACGUGGAUUUUGAUUUGUCUGCCUUCAGCUCAGGGGAGGAGGAGGAAUAGGUGUUUGACUUUUACCCCCUUCGAACCCCUCACCUUGUGUUCUUACUCAUCAAGUGUCGGUUCUUGUUCUCAGGGACACGGAGAUGUUGUCCCAGAGGAUGGUGAAGAAGGCCAAGGUGUCGGCGGGCGGUGGUCCUUCGACGAGCGCCUCAGAGGCGCCACCGGCAGCUUCCACCGCUAUGAUGUCGAGCCCCCGGGAGAGCCCCCAGCGGGAGUCGCCAAGGCCUGUGACGCCCGAGGACGAGCCCCCGACAACUGAUGUUGUCGGGGAGGGGACAACUGCCCCUCACCAGCUAAACGAGGGUGAGUGCCCUGGCAAGGGACGUCUAUAAGUUUCUCCACCCGUCUUCUUUUCUUUAUCUUGUACCACAGGCUUCUCCUCGGUGGAAGAGAUGAAUGUCGACUUCAUCAUCGAGGAGACUGCGGGGACGUGGCCGCUGAGGACGAUGAGGUUGCCGGGAGCGAGUCUGCUGCCGAGGCGCGGGAUCGGGCCACCCGGGAACCAAUAGAGGAGUCCACCGAGGUUCCCGGGGCGUGCAUCGGUGAUCCUCCUACCGUUGAAGGUUUGGGGGCAGCACUGGAUGAGGAUCCCCAUUUUAUCGACGAGAAUGCUGGUGGCGACCAGCUUCCCACGCCAGGGCCUCCGCCAGCAAGUGAGGAUGCUGGUAGAGAGUCGGUACAUCAAUCCGCCAGGGUGUGCCGUACCAGGAUAGCCUUCGAAGGGGAGAGCUUUGGCGCCGAAGUCUCCACCAGUGCCGGGCUUGAGACCGUGGAUGGUUCGGGGGCCUACGGCAGGAAGCUCAGCGAAGAGCAACUCUUCUAGUCCAUGAGGGACAACGUCAGCCAGCUCCAGGUCAUUUACCAGGCCCAGAAGGAGAAAUUGGACUCCCGAAUGACGUACGUCGAGGCAGCACGGGAGGCCUUCGAGAAGCGCUUCGAGGAGACGCGGGCUCACUUCGCCGAGGCUCACCAAGAGCUGAAGGUGGCUCACGAAAAGCUCAGGGCCGAGCAGGACAAGGUCCUCCCGAAGUCGUCUGACAUCCGGAAGGAGGAGGAAGAGGCUGGGCGCCAUAUCUCCGACGAGGACGCUCGCCUUAACGUGGUUUGGAUAAGCCUCAAGUCUCACGAGAAGGCGCUCGAUGGCAGGCUCCGUGCAAAGGACGAAGAAGUUGAGAAGCUCGUGGCGCGGCGUACCCAAGAGCUCGUGGAUCAGCAUAAGGACGCCCUUACCGCCCAGGCCUCGGAGCAUGCCGGCAAGUUGUAGGAGGUUGUCGGCAAGGCUGCCAACGCCGAGGCUUCCAAGGACGAGCUUGCCGGCAAAUUGAAGAAGCUGGAAGAGGAUCUUGAAGGCCUCGGCAAGAAGAUCUCUGCCCUCACAGUAGAGAGAGAACAUGCUCUCUCUAACUUGGCGGAGACCCAAGCUGCCGUUUCUGACAAGAGUGAUCAACUCAGCUCCGCCAAUUCUUUCCUUGUCGCCUUGCAAGAUAAACUAGCUCGUCUAGAGCGGGCUCUUGAAAAAAGCAAGGCCCGCGAGGAGGUGUUGGCUCAAAAGCUCCUUGUCGUGACGAAGAAGCUCGAGGCCGCCUCUGCCGCCCGCGAAGGUUAUAUGCACGGCAUGGAGCUGUGGACAAAGCGUCUUGUCAACACCGCUGAAGGGAUCGCUGCACAGUUGUCUUCUAUGGAUCUCCAGGGUGAUGGUUAUUCCCCGGACCCGGAGGUGUCUUCAAGCGCCAAGCAGGCCCUGUUGUUCGAAAGCGUGAUUGACGCUUUGAGGUAGAUUCAGGCUAGCGAGGCAGCGCGCCUGGCGAACGAAUCACGAAGGUUGUGCCGGGGCGCCCUCCUUAAGGUCCUCACCAAGCUGCCGUACAAGAAUCCCGGCAUCUACCUCUCCGGGGCAUCUGCCAAAAGUUGCGAACCUCAAGGAACUCGAGAAUCUGGUCAUGCCUAUUGUCGACAAGGCGGAACAGAUCAAGAGGGUCGAGGGCCUGCGCCGGGAUUAGUUCUUCUGCUGCUGCGAUCCUCAACCGAGAGCUGUUGUGCCUUGUUUAAUACUGUUAGUAUUGUAAUAUACAUUUUUUAAUGAAUGCUACUUUCCUCCCUUGCUCUUUUUGCAUGGUUCGUUCUUAUGUUCCGCUGAGGGUUCGCUAGCUCAAUUGGCUUUGCCGCAAUUGCUCCCGAGGGGUGACUUUUGCCGGAGUCGUCUCUGCGGGCAAGGUGCUUUGCUUCCCCCUGGAUUUACCCAUAGGUUGUCGAGCACGCCCCCUAAGCGGAAAAGGGCACGCGAGGUGGGCCUCUUAAGCUAUCGGGCGCGCUCUGAGACAACGUUUAGGAGGUUUGCGGUGGAGUUCCGUCGCACACAAGUUUUCCAUACAAACGUGUGCUAGUGACAUUUAAAGGGGAGGGUCGUGUCUGCCCGAAGACUUACUUGAAGUUUUUGCAACUUAUCUUUAGGCUGCGGUUCUUCUUUCUGUCUUGGGUAGACCGUCCUUGUUCUUUCUAUUGUCGUGGGCAUCCCCACUAUCUUCCCCGUCGGCAAAUUUAUGCGCGGGGUUUCAUCUGUCUUUUAAGAAAAAGAAAGAAGAGAAAAUAUGUGUCGGGACUUGACAGUCCAUUAGCUCAGGCGUUUCACAAAAUCUUAGAUUAUGCAUGUAUAUGAUCUAACAUAGAAAUCUAAAUGAUGAUGCAGAACACUACGUUUUAUGCAACUCAGCACAGGGGCUUCGUGUGGCUUUGUACAGAGGUUCACAUGCAACUUCGGCAAGACUUGUACAAAAGGUGGUCCCAGGGAGGCCCAACAACCUUUCGCUAUGGGUAGAACUUUCGAAGAUUUUCAAUAUUCCAGGAGUUGCUCACCGGUGUGCCAUCUUCGGUCUCCAGGCGGACAGCUCCGGGCCUGGUGACUCGUACUACCCUAUAUGGGCCUUCCCACUUCGGCAUCAACUUGUUUGAAUUCUUGGCCGACUGAACGUGUCGAAGAACAAGGUCGCCUUCCUCAAGACUUCUGGCUUGCACCUGGUGGUAUGAUAGCGACGCCAGGCUUUCUCAUAACGAGUAGCUCGUACAGCUGCCCGAAUCCAGGUCUCCUCGAGGAUCACUGCGUCGUCUUGGCGCAAUUGCUCUUGCUCAAGCUCAUCAUAAGCGAGCACUCGGGAUGACCCAAAAGUGAGUUCCAUGGGAAGAACUGCCUCCGCCCUGUAGAUCAGGGAGAAGGGUGUCUGGACGGUGGCUCGAUUUGGUGUCGUUCUGAUUGACCAAAGAACCGCCGAUAGUUCAUCAAUCCAGUGCUUUCCAUGCCUCCCCAGCUUGUCAAAAGUUCUUGUCUUGAGCCCCCGGAGUACCUCGACAUUUUCUCUUUCAGCUUGACCAUUGCUCUUUGGAUGGGCAACAGAAGCGAAGCAUAUUAUGGUGCCGAGGUCUUGGGCGUAGUUCAUGAAGGCAUGGCUCGUGAACUGGGUUCCAUUGUCCAUGAUGACCGUGUUCGGGACUCCUAUAUGGAAGACAAUUCAUUUGAAGAACUUGACGGCUGACUGGGCAGUCACCUUUCUCACCGGCUCCACCUCUGGCCACUUUGUGAACUUGUCGAUUGCGAUGUAGAAGUACUCAAAUCCCUCGACAGCGUGGGGAAAAGGGCCGAGAAUAUCGAGCCCCCAGACCGAGAAUGUCAAGAGAGAGGGAUCGUUUGGAGAGCUUGAGCUGGCUGUUGAAGCUUCCUUGAAUGAAACUGGCACGCUUCACACUUGGUUACUAGUGCAGUUGCAUCGUGGAGGGUCGUGGGCCAGAAGAAGCCUUGCCGACAAGGGCUCUUGCCACUAUGUGGGAGCCACAUAUCCCCUCAUGUAUCUCGGCCAACAGCUUCACCCCUUUCUCAUGGGCAAUGCACUUCAGUUUCACACCGUUUAGUCGUCUUAUGUACAGAGCAUCAUCCACGAAUUGGUACAUGCUGGACUGACGGGCUACUCUUUCCGCUUCUUCCUGUCCUUCGGGAAGGUCCCCAUCCUGGAGGUACUCGACUAUGUGCUGCGCCCAUGCCGGAGCGUGAGGUUCGGCGCAAGGACUAAAGGCAUCUCCUCUGCCGGGAUGGUGUCUAUCCCGACAGGCUUUGUAUCUCCCCCGACAACUUCCUUUCCGACAAGGUCCUCGCCGGGGCCCUUUGGCAGGUCCGCCGUAAAGUACUUGCCAGAGUUUAGCCUUCUCCUCUAUUCCGGCUUGGUGGAUGGUGAUACAGAAGGUUGAGUUAGUCGUAGCAUGAAAGUUCCUGGUUCCACAUGUAACUUAAGGGCUGCGCACUUCGACAAUUCGUCGGCGAUGGUGUUUUCGGCGCGGGGGAUGUGCUCCGCAUGGAGACCAUCAAAGUGCUCUUCCAACUUACUCACUUUCUCAACAUAAGCUUCCAUCAAUGGGCUCUGGUAGUCCUUGUUGAUUUGCUGGACUACCAGUUGAGAGUCUCCCCUCACGAUGAGCUUCCUGAUCCCCAGAUCUGCCGCAAUUCUGGGGCCGGGAAGCAGCCCUUCCUAUUCUGCGGUGUUGUUGAUGGACUUAUCCCGGGGAAAGUACAUCUGGAUUGCGUACUUGAGGUGUUGUCCAGUAGGUGCAACUAGUAGCACACCGGCUCCAACACCUUGAAGUGAGAAUGCUCCAUCAAAGUACAUGAUCCAUUCUUGGUUGGAUCCCUUGCCCGGGAGGGUUGAUUCUGGUAUUUCUUCGUGUGGCGUCGGGGUCCAUUCGACAAUGAACUCUGCCAAAGCCCUGCUUUGGAUGGUCGACAUGCUUUCGAACUUGAGGCCGAAACUGGACAAUUCCAAAGCCCACUCCACCAUCCUGCCAGUUGCAUCGGAGUUCCGCAAAACCCUUGGCAGCGGAAAGCGGGUAACGACGGUGAUCUCAUGUGCUUGGAAGUAGUGGCGCGGCUUCCUCGAGGCCAUGAGAAGGCCGAAAAGCAGUUUUUGCACCCUGGAGUAUCUCGAUCUAGCCCCCUGCAGGAGGGAACUGACGAAAUAGACCGGGCGCUGCACCAUCUUCUUCUUCUGCACUAGCUCGCCUGUUGGAGGGGUUCCUCCUGAUCACCCCUGGAUUUUGCCGGGGCUCCUUGGUUGCCAGUGUGCGCUUCCUCAUUUGGUGGCGUCGCCUUAGCUGGAGUACCUUCGUCAUCUUCCCUCUCCGCCACCAAGGCGGCGCUAACCACCUGGUUGGUUGCCUCUAGGUACAGGAGCAGCGGUUCUUGUGGUUUGGUGCUACCACGAUUGGCGCAGAGGAAAGGGUAUCGCUUCAGGUCUUGUAGUGCUGUUUCUGCCUCGGCGAUCCACUCCAUUGGUCCCGCUUUCUUCAAAAUUUUGAAGAAAGACAAGGUGCGUUCGGCGGACUUGGAGAUGAACCUGCUCAGGGCGGCUACACAGCUGGCAAGGCAUCGCACAUCCUUGACACGCUUUAGUGCCUCGAUUUGUUCAAUGGUCUUGAUCUUGUUGGGGUUAGCUUCGAUCCCACGUUGAGACACGAAGAACCCGAGAAGCUUGCUGGCUGGAACACCGAAGACACACUUUUCAGGGCUGGGCUUGAGGUUAAUCUAGCGCAGGUUGGCAAAUGUCUCCUCCAGAUCUUGCACGAGUGUUGACCUUUCUUUGGUUUGAACCACUAUAUCAUCCAUGUAGGCUUCCAGGUUCCUAUGGAGUUGGGGCUCAAAACCAAACUGGAUCACCCUUGCAAAGGUGGAGCUGGCAUUCUUCAGCCAAAGGGCAUGCAUACAAAGUAGUACGUGCCACAGGGGUUGAUGAAAGAGGUUUUCUCUUCAUCUUCCUCGGCCAUGUAAAUCUGGUGAUAUCCUGAAUAGGCAUCGAGGAAGGACAACAGGUCACAGCCAGCGGUGGAGUCGACAAUCUGGUCGAUGCGCAGCAAGGGAAAAGGGUCUUUUGAGCAUGCUUUAUUGACAUAGGUUAAAUCGAUACAAAGCCGCCACUUUCCGUUUGCCUUGCGCACUACAACCGAAUUGGCCAACCAGGUGGGAUGGAUGACUCCCCUGACGAGUACCUCUGCUUCUAACUUCUUGAUUUCCUCUUCAAUUAACUCCUGCCGCUCCAAGGCUUUCUUCCUCACUCUCUUCUUGACCGGCCGCGCGUGGGGGCAGACAGCGAGGUGGUGCUCAAUCACCUUCCUGGGAACACCGGGGAUAUAUGAUGGUUGCCAUGCAAAAACAUCGAGAUUCGCCCGCAGGAAGGCGAUGAGCGCACUUUCCUAUUUGCUAUCAAGGGCAGAACUUUUGGUGAAAGUUCCACCCGUGCCGUCCUCUUAGGCGGGUACCUUCUUGAUUUCUGGUGGGGCAGCCUUGGACUUCUUGUUUCAGGCAGUAGAGGUUUCCCGGUCGUCUUCAACGACAGCAAGGUACUCCAGAGCAACGUGCUUGCCGGGAUCAACGCGGGAAGCCCUCUUGUCGGGAUUCUUCUCUCUGGGGGACAGUGCCUUGGCGGCAGGCGUUGCCACUAUCUUCUGGUAGAGGCAGUUGGUGCACACGAGCGCAUCCUUCUUGUCGGCGUUGAUGACGAUCACGCCGACUAGCCUGGGCAUCUUCAGGGUGUUGUAGGCGUAGUGGGAAGCCGCCAUGAACUUAGCUAGUGCAGGACGCCCGAGGAUCCCGUUGUAUGCGAACGGAUUGUCAGCAACGUCGAAGACGAUCUUCUCCGUUCGGUAGUGGUGGUCACUGCUGAAAGUCACAGGCAACAUGAUCUUCCCCUUCGGUUGAAUCUUCCCUAGGUUGAUCCCUUGGAACGCUCCCUUUUCCUCAAGAUCUUCGUCGGGGAUCUGUAACCUUUGGAUCGCGUCGGGGGAGAUGAGGUUCAGACCUGACCCGCCAUCUACCAACAUAUUCAUCACCUUGAGGUUGCGGAUCGUUGGCGAGACCAACAACGGCAAACAUCCGACCGUUGUAACGUGGUCUGGGUGAUCCUCUAAAUCGAAGAUGAUCGGUGUGUGUGACCACUUCAAGGGCCUAUGAGUGCCGAGGGAGGGCUCCGCCGCGCUCAUCUCACGCGCCCACUUCUUCAGUUGGCAGUGGGAAGAGUGAAGCGAUGCCCCUCCAUCGAGGCACAUCAUGUCUGUGGCCUUCUGGAACUCGUGGUCACUAGAGUCGUCGUCUGGGUAGUCUUCAUCCUCAUCUUCCUCCUUCCUUUCCCGCGCUGGUGCGGGCUUGACCUUCUUGUUCUUGAACUUGCCAGGGGGACCCCCUUCGCCGCCCUUCUUCCUGCCCGAUCCUUCGCCACCAUCUUGGGCCUUUUCUUUGUCGCGUCUGUGGUACUCUGCCCUCUGUUUGUUGGCAAGCUGUUCGACUUGUCGGCAGUGUUGGAGGUCGUGACCCUUGGUGCGGUGGAUCUUGUAGUACUGGGCGUCGGAGCCCUCGGGCUUGUUGGUGGCCGCCAAGGCUUGGGAAGAGCUGCAUCCAUCACCAUCUUCGCCGGAAGCCUCGGCCUUCGCCUACUUGGAGGCGUCGCCGCUGCCGGAUGUUUCGACGGGGAACGCGGCUUUCCCCUUCCAUUUCUUCUUGCGUCGCUCCCCCUCUUCGUGGGGGCGCUGACGUCUUCAUCUUCGGAGUCGGCCUCUGCACCGGCGUAUUCACCAGGAAGCCUUCUCCUUCUGCUCGAGCACACUUGUCCGCCAGGGCGUAAAGCUCGGCGACAUCGCGGACCUUGUUCAUCGCAAGCUCCUUGCGCAUCUUCCAGUUCCGCACGUUCUGAUGGAACGCCCUGAUGACUGCAACUGGGUGAACAUCCGAGAUGUUGUGUUGUAUGCGGUUGAAUCUCUAGAUGUACUUGCGCACAGUCUCACCCUCCUUCCGGGGGAUGAUGUGCAAGUUGCUCUCCUGGUCAGGGGCCCGAUGGCCGCCCGUGAAGGCGCAAACGAAGUCCUGACAAAACUCCUUCCCGGAGGAAAUGGAGUUCUUGGGUAGGUGCAUUAACCACGACCUGAGGUUGGGCUUCAGAACCAACGGGAAGUAGUUGGCCAAUAUCUUCUCAUACCAACCACCAGCAGCAUGCACCACGAUGGUGUAGAUGCUUAGGAACUCGGACGGGUGGGUCUUGCCAUCGUACUUCUCUGGGAUUUCCAGCUUGAAGGUACAGGAGCUGGGCCACUCGACCUGCCGCAACUCGCGGGUGAAUGUCAGGCAGCCCACCUUGUAAGGUAGGUCGCCAGGAUACCCCGAUGGGGGAGCGUCUAUAGCGGCCCCUGCUCGUCUGUCUGACUGACGGCGUGUCUCUCAUCGUCGCUCGAUGAGAGCACGCACAUCCUCCUUCUGCCACUCGUGAAGGACAUCAUGUUGAUCGCGGCGGGUCCGCGGGUCAGAAGACCCGGUCGAAUCGUUAGAGACGACAAUCCUUUGCCGCCAUCGUGGGGAAGAGUGUACCGUGGCGGUGGCAGCUCCAGUCUUCUCGGUGCAGUCGUGGGCGCGUUUGCCGGAGGGCCAUUUCGACGUCGCCUGCUCGGGCCCGUCCCCAUUGGCGAGGGUGACAAGACUCUAGAUGGUAGCCCUCCACUCCUUGAGCCUGUCUGCUAUCGGGGAGAAGUCCAAGAGUAGUUGGGCUCGCUUCAGGGCUUCCGCCGGCAUGGGCGGCGGUGAUAUGUGCGAAGACCGCGAGGGACUCUUACUUCUAACUGUGUUGAAAGGAGGAUCCCCUUGGUCUCGCGGUGGCGCGCCGCUCUUGCCGGUCGCGGAGCGAGCGUGUCGGUCCUGUGAAUCUUGGGAGCGAGGUCCCGGAGACCUUCGUGGGGGCGGCGACCCACCGCCGCUCCGGCGUGGUCCGCCGUGUGCGCCCUCGGAAGGCUGUGGUGGGUCGAUCUGCGUCAUUGUCCUCGAGGAUGUCCUUACAUCCUACGGGGUAGCGGCGCCACCCGUGGCUGUGCAGCUACAUCUUUCGACGUCCCGGCGUGCGGAUGCUCGCCGUGGUCGCGGAUGAUACCACUCGCCCGGGUCUGCUCUCCAGAGUGUCGAGGAGGUUCGGGACCUCCGCCUCCUUGUCCUGCGCCCACACCCUCACCUGCCUGCGCCGGGGCAGGAGCAUUGGGCGCGGGUGUGUCUGUCGCCGGAGCACCCCUCCUCUUGGGGGCAAUGGCGGUGAAGAGGAACUAGUGUGCUGAAGGCUAGAUCGGAUCAACGCGACCUCCUCCCCCUACCUGACGCGCCAAAGAUGUCGGGAAAACCGACACCUAUGGGAAACUCGAGGAGUCCCUUGAUCGUUUGGCAGGGAGAGAGAGGUACGAUGUCGAGAGCGGAGCUAGCUAUCAACACCGGCAAGGUCUUUUACUCAGGUUCGGGCCGCUUGGCGCGUAAAACCCUACUCCUACUUAGUUUGUAUUAUGUGCUUACUGUAGGGUGAUUUGCUACAGUAACUUAGUGGGUGAUUAGGAAGUCUCCAAUCCCCAAAGGGUCCAACCCUUAAGCAUGAGCCUUGGGCCUCUUUUUAUAGGAAAAGGGGUCACCAACAGCGUGCUCAUGGGGUGAAUAGUGAACAGUAUUCACCGCUCUACAUCUUCGGUGGUGUUAGGGGCAGUAAAUGCCUUGUCUGACCCCUCACCUGUCGCAGGGUGGUCGCGACACGUAUCCAGGUGAAUCGACACCCAGGUCUUGUGCUGGCACAGGAGGGAUGUGCUGGAGCGGUCGGAUUGUGGUAGAAACGGGGGGGGGGGACACCUGGCGAGUGAAGGGGGCUUGCUGGCCUGGAGCCUCUGUCGGAUCACUUGGUCACCUUCCCGGCAAGGAGGACUUGUCGGGGGCUUGGACACUUUCCCGGCAAGGAGGGCUUGCCGGGGGCCUCGCCAGUCUGUGCGAGCCUUCCCGGCAAGGGAGGCUUGCCGGGGUCUUGCUAAUCGUCGGGAAUCUUCCCGGCAAAGUGGGCUUGCCGGGACCUUGGGGAUCUUAGAGGCAAGGAGUGCUUGCCGGGGCCUUGCAUCUGGAGACCUUGUACUCCACACCCCACGAAGAGAGGGAACGCCGUGGCCUUGGUGGGUCUUGGAUUGCCUUUCUGCUGUUCUUCCCGAUGCACUGCCGUCACGGGCGUUGGUGAUGCCCGUGCACAAGUCUGGGUCACUAGGGACCCUAGUCUCUAGUGCGCUGACAGUAGGCGUGUCCUGAUUGGUGUUAUGGAAAAAAGGAAUCAUGGACGACAUUGGUUGAUAUUUGGCUCGAUGAUGAUGAUAAGUGGGCUGCUAAAAGCAUCCAAAACCGGGCUAAUUGAGGGAUUGACGGAACACAUGGUUAGGGAAACUGAAACCAUUGGAGGCACAAGAAAGUUCAGGUAUAUCUAUGUACAUGAAAAAUUCUUCUUCUUCUAUGCAUGACUAACCUAUGUUUGGUGGUCUUUGGUGGUCCGGAGGAGAAAUUGAAGUGACCGCCCUCAGACAUGGAGGCGUGGGAGCUAGACCAUAUGCGGACUAAGCCCAAGGAUGGCAAGGUCAAGUACUAUGGCAAGUCCGGCCAACACAUUUAGGCCUACAAGGAGGCGUAUCUUGGGUUCAAUCCUGAUAGACCUGACCCCAUAAUAGAGGCUACGGACGACAGGGCGGUGGUCGGCAUAGGGUCGAAGAAUCAUGGUCAGAAGGUAUUUCUGGACGUUGUGGUCACUCCUUCUAUCUCCUACACACAACUCCGAGUUACGAACCCGAGCCUGAGACCGCACCCGAGCACGACCAGUGCACCCUCACAGUCCCUCCUAACCCAGCAACACAUUGUAAGAAUUUUCCCUCUUAUCUUCCUUUAUUUUCCACAUUGAGAUGCUUCAUGAGUUUCAUCAUGCCAUAUUGUAGGCCUACAUGGAGUACACACGUCACAAGACCCUGGCGUGGAAUGCGAGAGCUACAACAGUUGUGGACCACAACAGUUGCAUGAUGAAGGUUAGUUUUGACCCUUUCAUUUGACUUUCAUAUUUGCACUUUCAUUUCUUCUAACCUUCGUGUUUUCUUGUUCAACUAACAUGCAUCACGUUUUUGACUCCUUGGCGUCCGACACGGCUCCUGUAAUGGAACCACCAUCACCACCUACUGGACCACAACCAGUGCUGGCUACGUUUGAAGAAAUUCUAGCACAACACUGUCCAACUCCGGUUUGUACAUCCCCAAACUAUUCAACCACUACUUAUCGUUUAUUCACCACAAUCAUAUAUCUCUUUAACAUCUCUUUUCAAACAUGCAGGGAACCGGUGGAUCAUCCAUUGGUGGUGGUGCCAAUUAUGGCAUCACUCCCGAGUCAUAGAGCCCGAUCACUCCAAUCCACCGUGGAGGUGGCGGUGGCGGUCUUGACACUAGCGGUGUCGGUAGCAGUGAUGAUCUGGGAUUUGGCGGUCUUGGCGGUGACGAAGUUGGUGGUAGACGUCCUGGCCCUUAAGCCUCUAGGUGGUGGUGCUGACUUCUAUCUUUCAUGCUUCUCUAUUGUGGACUUAUGUUGUGUUGUUCGAGUUAUGUUGUGUUGUUCGACUUAUGUUGUGUUGUUUCCACUUAUGUUGUGUUGAUUCGACUUAUGUUAUGAUGGUAAUACUUAUCUUAUGGUGAUAAUGAUGUGGAUCUGAUAUAUAUAUAUAUAUGGUGUAUAUAUGAUCUGUGAUAUAUAUGUGUUCUGUAUUUGAAUUGAACAUGAGUAGGAAAUAAAAAAAACAAGAAAUAUGCCGACGGCUAUGCCGUCGGCAUAGCCAUGCUCUAGUAAGGACCAGAAGCUGCCACGUUGUAGAGAUACGUCGACGACUAUGUCGUCGGCAUAGCCAUGCGCCAGGAAGCACCAGAAACCGUUACAUGACAGAUCUACAACGACGGCUAAACCGUCGGCGUAGCCUCACGCCAAAGCACGUGAGGGACCGCCAUGUGGCAGAUCUACACCGACGGCCUCCACGUCGGCUCAGCUUUGGAGAUAUACUGAAGGCUAUGCCGCCGGCAUAGGGGUGCCACGUGGUUUGCUCCGGUUAGCUGUCGCCCGCUGACGGCGCCGUCAUGUGCUGUCAUGUGGCAAAGGUUGCCGACGGUCUAUCUAUGCCGACGGCUAUACGACGGUCGUCGGCGUAGGUACCUAUGCCGACGAACCUGGCCGGAUACGCCGAUGUUCGUUCCCGACGGUGCUAUGCCGACGAUGGCCGUCGGCAUAUCCCUACGCCGACGCGAUAUGGACCUACUCCGACGGCCUUCGGACGUGAUUCUCUCCUUCUAUAAAACUAUGAUACGCAUUUUUGUACUCUCGAAAAACUUUGAAGUAAAUUACACAAGUAUUAUUGAUUACAGGGCAUAUUUCCAAUAAGGCAAACCGCUAGGGUGGCCCGGUCUGCAUGAAUUAGAGGUGGACCAGAGUAAAACCACAAGAGGGAAAACAAGGGAAAUGGAGGAACCAACAAACUCCCCUUUAAUUAGUAAAGCUCAUUGGUUUCCAUUCAUAUCAUGUGUUGUGUUAUCUAUUUACUACAUAUGUUACUUCUAUCGUGGCUAGUCUUAUGUUUGUUUCGUCGAAAGUGCUAUUAUGAGCUUGAGCUCAAAUGCCUUUAGAUGAACAAUAAAAUCCAAAAAAAUAGUAAAAUGUUUCAAAAAAUUGUAAAAUUUUGUGGCAAGAAACAUUGGUGUUUUUCCUACAUGCAUGCCAAAAUUCAUAAGGGAAUCACAUUCGUGGAGGUAUAGACAAAAAAACAAAAUUGAUGCUUCAAAAUGCUUCCAAAAACACUAUUUUUAAAGCAUUGAUUUUGUUUUUUUACCCACCCUCCACAAAUGUGAUUUUAUCAUGAUUUUUUUGCGGGGUUUCAUCAUGAAAUUUUGCACGCAUGUAGUAAAAAUAUCAAUGUUUCAUUUCUCAAAAUUUCUGAUUUUUUCGAUUUUUUAAAUAUAUUUGCCGAUUUUACUGUUCAUACGGGAGUAUAUGAGCUCGAGCUCAUAUACUCCAUGUCCUUGUUCAUACGGGAGUAUAUGAGCUCGAGCUCAUAUACUCCAUGUCCUUGUUUCGUUCUCUUCUCUCUUUGUCUAAGUCUGUAACUCCAAUUUUAUCCCUUGAUCAAUGAUUCGUCGAAUAUGCACCAGCGUAAUCUUUUUGUGAGGACAACGUGUAGUAUUAUUAUUUCAACUAGCAAAAGGGCUCGUGCGUUGCAACGGGAGAAAAAAUACCACACGCUUUUAAUGUUUUAUAAUCAUUUUGAUUUAUUAAAAUAAUAAGCUGACGAACUAAUGUAGUCAGUUCUAUCCUAUUUUGUUGAGAAAUCAACCCAUCCAUUGUUAAUUCUACCAUGAUGAGAAAUUGAGCGGGACAAGCAAAGCAAAACAAAGAGGCUACGUGAAUUGAUCAAGGGACUGUUAUCUUAUUUCACUCAUGGGAUAGAGAACGUGGGAUGAGAUGAAAAACUGAAGAUGGUGUUCCAUUCUCUCUCUCUACAACAAUGCAAUCUUACAUUCAAUACAUUCAUUCAUCAGCAAACAAAUUCUCACAAAACAAAUUUUCUUGCCGGUGCUUGGCACACGAUUGGAGGCAUGCAGAGGGGAUCUCAUCAGAUGAUGAGUUCCUGCCGGAGGAGGGGAUACGAUGAGGGGAGCAAGGGUUAGGCGCCUCUAUCUGGCCAUAAGGAGUCGCCGUUGCCGCGCCAUAACCUCGGAGUUCCCCGUGUGAGCCAUGGAGGUCCGCCUCCACCUGCAAGUACUUCGCUCCGCCGCGCCUUAUCCGCGCGCCGCCGCCGUUCUGCAUCGAGCAGACGCAUCAUCCAAGUCGUUGUAGCUGUCGCGUUGAUUUGAUCCAGAAGCUGUGCUCGAGUGCCGAAACAGGGGCAGCAAGCGGGCAGAGGUACGACCGCGGAGGCGGGCAGGUUGAGAUCGACAGCAGUGGUGGUUGAGGUCGGCCGCGGCGGCGAGUGGUGUGGCAGCGGCCUGGGCACAGGCCAGGGUGGACCAGGGUCGACGCGAUGCGCUCGAGCGCCUCAACGUGGUAGUGAGCGGGGAGAGGUACAGCCGCGGAGGCGGGUGGGUUGAGAUCGGCAACGGUGGCGGUUGAGGUCGGCCGCAGCGGCAAGUGGUGUGGCGGCGGCCUGGGCACAGGACAGGGUGGUCCAGGGUCGACGGGAGGAGGCGAUGCGUACGGGUAUAAUUUUUACAGCGAAUCAUUUUUUUUCUUUUGCGUUGCAGAUAAAUGAUGGAGCGCGGGUUGAAUAACAAAAAAUACAGGGGUUUUUUUAUAAAAAUGUUGUGGUGGGUUUUCCGACGAAAGCAAUAGCCGCUUUAUUAUUAGAUAUAGAUUAGUCUAUCAGAACGGAAGAACAUCGAAAAACUUUCAGGACAAUACUUGGUAGAAAAAUUACACCCGACCCGAUUCAGACGUGCUGCCUACCUAAUUAUCCAUCUACGUAGACUAAAGAGCAGAACAUGCACGCAGUCGUAGAGAGGAAGCAGGAACAACGAGUGCAGUUAACCAAACGUCUGAACCGGCCAGUUGCGUGCCUACGGCUGGCUACACGCCGCCGCAGCGGUAGACGAUCCGGCACGUACGCCCCACCCGGACGACGUACUUGUGCUGUGGCUUCACGAGGAACGGCGGCAGCCGUAGGAGCGCCUCGCAGACACAGUCCUUCUGCACCUCCUGCAGCCACCGGCAGCAGUCGCGGUACGCCCGGAGCUCCUCGUCGUGGUGGUGCUCGUGGUUGUCGUCAUCGUGCUCGUGCUCGUGCUCGUGGUCAUCGUCGUCGUCAUCGUCGUCGUCGUCAUGGUCGUCGUCUUCUUCAUGGUCGUCGUCGUGAUCGGGGUCCUCCUCGUGGUCAUCAUCAUGGUCGGGGUCCUCCUCAUGGUCGUCGUCAUGGUCGGGGUCCUCAUCACCGUCGCGCACACGACCACGGCGCCCACGUCCACGCCCACGCCCGCGUCCACGCCCACGCAGACGGCCGUGCCCGCGGCGCGUGUGGUUGCCGCCAUGGUGACCGGUGCCGUUUCUUGCAACGACAACGCCGCUGCUGUUGCUGUUUGCCGCCAUCAGACCAAGGGACGAGAUGUUGAUGACCGCCGCGUGGCCAUGGCGUCCACGGAGGCGGCGGUCACUGUCUCCACCGUGGUGAUCGUCGUCGCCGUCGUCAUCAUCGUUGUCGUCAUCAUCAUCAUCGUCAUCGUCGUGGUGGUGAUGGUGUCGGUCGUCCUCCGGAGGGCUGGGCGGCAGGAUGGAGCAGGCCUGGCUGGCAAUGGCGAACUGACUGAUGCAGAAGGCCUUGGCCUUGCCCUGCUGCGCGGCGACGGGGGCGAGGAGGGAAGGGAAGAAGAGGAGGACGGCGGCCAAAGCCGCGAUGUGGGACGCCGAUGCUGCCAUCUACGGAGUCGUGGCUGCUAUGUGAAGUGCCACACUAGUGCAUGCCGGCCACUUCUUAUAAAGAUGUGUAACCAAGUCAGUAAUGUGCAUUAGAGAGGUUAUUAAAUAGUUGGGGUCAAGGCCGGGUUGGGAGUGACCUGGUCGAUCGAGAUGCACACAGCAUGGUGCAUGGUUGUAAUUAGUUAGGUGCUUCAUAACUAUGGCGUGCAUCCAGGAUUGUCCAGCCAUGUCCACCUUGUUUACAUGCAUGAAGGCGUGCAUUGUUGGUGAGAGGCCAGUGACAAUUUGGUUGUAUUAAACUUACUAAAUUAUUAUGUUCGUCAAUCUUAAAAGAAGUCCGCCUAAUUUAGAAUGUUUAGAGGUUGUUUGCAUUUGUUAAGCUGUCUUACAUUUUGUUUUUCAUUUACCCCGCUGGUUAAAAGAGAUAAUGAUAUGUACUCCCUCCGUUCUUAAAUAUAAUUUUUUUAGACACUACAAAACUACAUACAAAUGUAUAUAAAUAUAUUUUGAAAUAUAAAUUUAUCUAUUUUAUUAUGUAUGUAGUUAUAUAAUGAGAUAUAUAAUAAAACUUAUAUUUAAGAACGAAGAAGAGAGUACGUACUGUACAAAUAGUCAAAUCUCACCAUUCAAAGCAUCAAAAGAUAACAAAGAUUACGUCGAGUUCUCUAAACCACCAAGCUACCAAUGCCUCCUGAGAGAGCCAGUUCAAAAUUCAUGAAAAUUCAUACCAUAUAAUGCAAUUUAGUUUAAAUGUCAUAAUAAUUUCAGCAAAUCUCUAUCUCUACUACUUAAGGUUACCGUUUCACCACUUGCUGCGUGCAUUCUUUCUAUAUAUAUUCUCCCUUCCUUUUAUGUCUUUUUCCUCCUACGUUGAUUUUCUCCCACUAGUUUUCUCUAAAGCAACUCAAUUAUCUCACGUCUUAUUAACUAUCAAAAUAAAAUAUCAUUACCAUUGAUAACUCAAUAAAUUGUUACAAACUAUUCCCUCCGUCUUACGGCACUUAUUUUGGGGCGGAGGUAGUAUUAUUUAAGAAUAAGACGAGAGGUGAAUUAGGAUCAUUGUAAACAAAAAAUAGAUAAGAUUUUAGUUCACCAAUGUAAUAAAAGACUUUCACUACUAGGAAAAAACUUAUAGACAAACGCUAACUAGUAGCGCAGGUUUUUACCCCUCGCUACUGAUACUUAGUAGUAGCACGAGUUUUUACCCCUCUACUACUAAGUUGAUAGUAGUAGCGCGGGUUUUUAACCCUCGCUACUACUAAGUGGUCUCAACUGUGCCCCCCUAGGACAUGCAAUAGUAGUAGCGCGGUGUAUAAACGAGCGCUACUACUAAGUUGAUAGUAGUAGUGCGGGUUUAAAACCCACGCUACUACCAGGUAGCCUUCAUUGUUGAAAGGACCACGAUGACGCCUCGAGGGGGGGGGGAGGGGGGAGGGUGAAUAGGCUAUUUAAAAACUUGUUCGGAUUUGGCUUAAACCUAAUGCGGAAAUAAACUAAGAGGAUACUUUUCAAGCACAAAUCCUAAAUGCAAUAGGCACCGCAACAUGGUUACUAACAAGCACAAGUAAGUUACACAACCUUACUUGAGCUAUAUCACACGACAAGUAGGUGAACGACACAAGAUACUAGAUCACACUAUAGCACACGAUAUAUCAAAAGCUGCAAGUGUGAACGUGUGGAUAUAGAGGGUAUGCUUGAACGAUUAAUCUUGUACAAAGAAAUAGCCAACACAAUAUAAUGAGCACAAACAAUAUGCAAUGUAUGUAUGCUCAAGUAANNNNNNNNNNNNNNNNNNNNNNNNNNNNNNNNNNNNNNNNNNNNNNNNNNNNNNNNNNNNNNNNNNNNNNNNNNNNNNNNNNNNNNNNNNNNNNNNNNNNNNNNNNNNNNNNNNNNNNNNNNNNNNNNNNNNNNNNNNNNNNNNNNNNNNNNNNNNNNNNNNNNNNNNNNNNNNNNNNNNNNNNNNNNNNNNNNNNNNNNNNNNNNNNNNNNNNNNNNNNNNNNNNNNNNNNNNNNNNNNNNNNNNNNNNNNNNNNNNNNNNNNNNNNNNNNNNNNNNNNNNNNNNNNNNNNNNNNNNNNNNNNNNNNNNNNNNNNNNNNNNNNNNNNNNNNNNNNNNNNNNNNNNNNNNNNNNNNNNNNNNNNNNNNNNNNNNNNNNNNNNNNNNNNNNNNNNNNNNNNNNNNNNNNNNNNNNNNNNNNNNNNNNCAAAUCUCAAAUAGCUUGGGUUGAGAGGAGGAGAGGGAGACGAUCUAUCUUUUGAUUGGAACAACUCUCAAAGGGGCUCACAAAUGCUCUUGGGAUCUAAGAUUUGGUGUGAGCAAAUGUGUGUGAGGUAGAAAUGUGUUCUUAUGAGGAUAUGGCUGUGUUGGGCACCCUCUCACGAAGUGGGAGGGGGGUAUUUAUAGUGGAGAAGGGAAAGUGACCGUUGGGGUCANNNNNNNNNNNNNNNNNNNNNNNNNNNNNNNNNNNNNNNNNNNNNNNNNNNNNNNNNNNNNNNNNNNNNNNNNNNNNNNNNNNNNNNNNNNNNNNNNNNNCAAGCUAUUUGAGAUUUGAGCAAGUUUUGAGCAUUCCAAGUGAUCUUGUUACUCUUCGAGGUUGGAGACUCCUAGGCGGUAGGAGUUCUUUGGAGAGGAAUCAAUCCGUGUGAUUUCCCCCGGAAAAUUUUGUGAGGGUUUGGAAGCUACCUCAAAGGCUUACCACUAGUGGUUGAGAAACGCCUUCGUGGUGUUAUCUCAAAGGGAGAAUAGGGUGAGCCUUCAUGGCAUUGGUGUGCCUUCGUGGUAACAUCCACCUCUCUAACGGUGACUAGCUUCCCUACAAGGAAGAGAACAUCGGGAUACAUCUUUGUCUCAGUGACCUUGGUUGUCCUUAACCCUAACUCCUUACUUGUGGUUUACUUGUCUUACUUGAGCAUACAUACNNNNNNNNNNNNNNNNNNNNNNNNNNNNNNNNNNNNNNNNNNNNNNNNNNNNNNNNNNNNNNNNNNNNNNNNNNNNNNNNNNNNNNNNNNNNNNNNNNNNNNNNNNNNNNNNNNNNNNNNNNNNNNNNNNNNNNNNNNNNNNNNNNNNNNNNNNNNNNNNNNNNNNNNNNNNNNNNNNNNNNNNNNNNNNNNNNNNNNNNNNNNNNNNNNNNNNNNNNNNNNNNNNNNNNNNNNNNNNNNNNNNNNNNNNNNNNNNNNNNNNNNNNNNNNNNNNNNNNNNNNNNNNNNNNNNNNNNNNNNNNNNNNNNNNNNNNNNNNNNCUUUUGAUAUAUCGUGUGUUAUAGUGUGAUCUAGUAUCUUAUGUCGUUCACCUACUUGUCGUGUGAUAUAGCUCAAGUAAGUUUGUGUAACUUACUUGUGCUUGUUAGUAACCGUGUUGUGUCCAUCUUGGUAGAUCAUGUUGUUGGUGCAUGUUGUGGUGCCUAUUGCAUUUAGGAUUUGUGCUUGAAAAGUAUCCUCUUAGUUUAUUUCCGCAUUAGGUUUAAUCCAAAUCCGAAGAAGUUUUUAAAGAGCCUAUUCACCCCCCCCCCCCCCCCCCCCCCUCGAGGCNNNNNNNNNNNNNNNNNNNNNNNNNNNNNNNNNNNNNNNNNNNNNNNNNNNNNNNNNNNNNNNNNNNNNNNNNNNNNNNNNNNNNNNNNNNNNNNNNNNNCCAUCAAGUGUGUGUUGAUGGGAGGCAAGUCUUUCUCUUUAUGAUGCUUUGUUCCAUCAUGAAAAUUUAUCGAUGGCUUGGUUUGUUGGAACCUAGCUCUCUUUUGGAAAUUAGAUACCUCGUGUUUGUUUUCCUUCAAUUGGUUUCUUGUUUCCUUUUAUUUGGCAUGUGUCAAUGGAUAUCUUAUUCCUUGAGGUAUCUUCUAAUUGAUAUCCUUCAAGUGAUAGUUAUUUUUUGUUUAGUAUCUUAUUAUCACUUGAUACCUUGUCUUUUGGUGACUUAUCAACUUUGUGUUGAGUUGAUUCUUGAGAGUCUUGUGCAUGCAUAUCUACUAUAUACAACUUCUUUUGCUUGCUUUCCUUCUUUGACCCAAUAUAUAGCGGAAACUCCACCUUGUCAUAAAUUGGCUAAAGUGUGCAUGAAAUUCAAAUUCAUAUCUAUAUGCACAUAUGUAUGUGGAGUUUGUCCUAUGUAUUGCUGGUUUUCUAACUCUUUGGUCCCAAUGAGUUUGGGCACCAUUUUGUUUGUUUUGCUGUUCCAGGAACAACUGGAGAUGCAUUGGAUGCUCGGCUCACCUAUAAGGAAGGUGUUGAGACCAUGUGAUUAUUGGAGCCAAGUUAGGAUGAUCAAAGAACAACUAUCUACUACAUCAAUCCAAUGUUGUCUCGGUAACAAGUAUCCACUUCAUGCAUUCUUUUAUUGCAAAGGCCCCAACCUGUCUUUUCUUUUCCAGGUUGCAUCAUGGCAUGAAUCUCUUGAUUCGUACUUGUAGUACUUGUUUGCUUUCUCAAAGCAUCCGAACGAUGAUGUCUUACUACUAGUUGGGAUGUCUUUGAUGUUCGUAUGUUGGAAGUUCAUAUUGUACAAUAAGAAAAUAUUAGGCCAUGUGCGAUGCUUCCAAGCAAAAGAUCUCAUUGAUAUAUUUAUGACUUCCUUUUGGAUAUCUAGUUUGUUCCUUCUUGUAACCAUUUCGUGUGUACAUCCUUCUUUGUGGAUAUAUAUCAUCAUGAUUGUCUUCUACUUAGAAUAUUUUACACAUGAGAGAAGUUACAUCUCUAAUUGAUAUCGUGUUUUCUUUCACGUCCAUCGUUGCAUUUCCUUUUUCAGUUUUUGGUGGCUUCGUGAAAGGAUUUGUUUUGAGUGCGUAUCUUAUUUUCCUACAUCUUGAUGCACUCUUUGGCCGUGAAGAUAAUUUUUCCUCAUGCAUGUCUUGAUGAGGGUUUUUCCAUUUCAAUUAGUAUCCCUCCUCUUGACAAGGUUCUUACUUCCUAUCUUCACAAUGGGUUGUCACAAGCGUUGGUUCUUAUUUUUUUUAUUAGUAAGCUUGUGAACCCAUUUUCUAGUAUGUGUGUGUGGGAAUGAUAUGUCUUGCACUUUGUAUCUCAUUUCAUCACGACUAUGUUGAUGAGUAAUGCACAUCCUUAUCUUAGUCUUCUCAAGUGCUUUGACAUGACUCACACACAUUACUUUGGUUGACCCUAUUCUUAAGUUGCUUCUUUUACUUGUUGCUCAACCAUUUGUUUUGUGCAAUUGAUAUGCUUAUUGUAUCAUCUAUCUUGUUGCACUCGUUGUGUGUUUUUAUUAAUUUUGGGGGAGCAACGAUCCUAUUUUGUGCACCUGUAUCAAAUAAAAAAAUCGCGUAUUAGUGCACAAAUCAUGGGGAGCUUCUCUAGUUUUUGAUAAAACACUCUCUUGCCUUUAUCAUAAUAUCUUUUAUUCAUGUGGUUUGAAGGACCAUAUGAUUGUUUGUUCCAUCUGGAAUCUUUUGAUUGAUUGCCUCUAUUUUUGUAUGUCUUUGUGGCAUACGAUCCUUUUAUUUGCAAUCUUUGGGUCCUCAAUAUAGUUUGUUUUCCUCCAACUACUUAUAAUUGUAUUUGUGUAUUUCUCUACACUCAUUUGCUGAGAAGUACACAUUUUUUUGGAGGACCACCUACUAUAUUGGCUUUCUAAACUUUUCGUCCAUUUUGGCAAUCGAUGCCAAUGGGGGAGAAGUUUAGAGAGUUUACUUUGGAUAUGUUUAGAGGGUUUUGCUUUUUAUUGCGUAAGCAUUUACAUCUUGCACGCAUGCAUUAUUACCUUGUAUGUGUGUGCUUGGUUAUGCUUAUUUCCUUAUAUAAACUCUCUUGAAGUGGUUGUCUUCAAUUACCAAAAUGGGGGAGAUUGUUAGAGCAUAUAUCUCCAUAUGUGGUUUUGGUAAUUGAUGACAAUUCCUAUGGACUAAUUGUUGCCUUAAGUUAUAUUUAUAGGAUUUGUCCAUAGGCACUUCUUGAAGUCCAUCUGUUGGGUUCAAGGAGUUUAUAUGAUGACCAAGAUGGUAUUUAAGGUAUUAUCCAAUGAAUGGUCAUAGAGACACUAGGUUGAUCAAGAUCUCAGACAAAGAGUAAAUCAAGAUGAUCAACACACAAAGCGUAUAAGAUGUACCGAGAGGGAUCAAGUGAUCCCUGGUAUGGUAAGCAUUGUCCAUUAUGUGUUUUUGUACUAAUCCAUGGUCUUUGUGAGAGUCCUAUGUGGGGGUUAGGUGUGCUUCCAUGGGCUUACGUGAAAAGGAAGAUCUCAUACAACCCAUGAAGGAUGACGUCAAGUGGUGAUCGUCAUCAAGAUUGUGGUGUGCAAGUUCAAGUGGAUCAGCACGAAUAUAUCAUUGAAACUAUUGUUAAUGAUCGUGUGUUGAUAAGGACAAGCUCAUGUGCUAACAAGGACAAGAUCAAGAUAAGCAUUCCUGAGCACUACAUCCUUGAUUCUUGUGGAUGUUCACAUGGUGGAAAAAUGAACAUGAAUACAUAAGCUAGGCUUUCCACAUUGUGUAUGGGAGAGCUGCUUGAAGACUUCAUCAUGUCUUGCUUUCAACUUGAGCCAAGAAGGAACAACAACAUCAAGCUCAAGUGAAAGGGCUAACUCAAAGGUAUCAGUUCCUUUGACGUUAGUGGUGCAGAGUGAUGAUCAGCGAAUAAAAGUAUACACUCAAGUAUGGAUCAUCAGUACCCCUUUUAUGACUCUUGAGUCUUUAGGGAUCCCGCACUAUUAAGAGGAGAUCACAGGUUUUGCGAUGAACUUGCUCAAACUACAUCUCUACUUUUCUGAUCAUACCACAUCUCCACUACUCUGGAGUUAUCUAAAAACAGAACCGAUGCCUCGGACAUCCGGCUUCCUCCGGACGUCCGAGGGACGAACGCCCGACCACUUCGGAAAUCCGGAACCUUAUACUAGAGAAAUCCAAAGUCAAAUAACUCAGACUUCCGGCUCUCUCCGGACGUCCGAGGGCCGGACGUACGGCUCUCUCCGGACGUCCGAGGCCUGGACGUCUGACCCCCUUCAGAAAACCGGAACCUUGCACCAGAAGAUAUUUGAGUCAAAUAACUUGGACUUCCGGCCUCCUCCUGUUGUCCGAGGGCCGGACGUCCGACUUCCUCCGGAUGUCCGGUCCCUGUUCGACUACACAGUGGUUCCUAAUAUAUUUACAUCCCUCGGACGACCGACCCCUGUCGGACGUCCGACCCCUUGUGGGAGUCCGGACAUCCGAGAACUGCCGGAUGUCCGACCACUGUCAGACUUAAGUGACCCCAACGGUCACUUNNNNNNNNNNNNNNNNNNNNNNNNNNNNNNNNNNNNNNNNNNNNNNNNNNNNNNNNNNNNNNNNNNNNNNNNNNNNNNNNNNNNNNNNNNNNNNNNNNNNNNNNNNNNNNNNNNNNNNNNNNNNNNNNNNNNNNNNNNNNNNNNNNNNNNNNNNNNNNNNNNNNNNNNNNNNNNNNNNNNNNNNNNNNNNNNNNNNNNNNNNNNNNNNNNNNNNNNNNNNNNNNNNNNNNNNNNNNNNNNNNNNNNNNNNNNNNNNNNNNNNNNNNNNNNNNNNNNNNNNNNNNNNNNNNNNNNNNNNNNNNNNNNNNNNNNNNNNNNNNNNNNNNNNNCAAGCUAUUUGAGAUUUGUGCAAGUUUUGAGCAUUCCCCGUGAUCUUGUUACUCUUGGAGGUUGGAGACUCCUAGGAGGUAGGAGUUCUUCGGAGAGGAAUCAAUCCAUGUGAUUUCCCCCGGAAAAGUUUGUGAGGGUUUGGAAGCCACCUCAAAGGCUUACCACUAGUGGUUGAGAAACGCCUUCGUGGUGUUAUCUCAAAGAGAGAAUAGGGUGAGCCUUCGUGGCGUUGGUGUGCCUUCGUGGUAACAUCCACCUCUCUAACGGUGACUAGCUUCCCUCCAAGGAAGUGAAUAUUGGGAUACAUCUUUGUCUCAGUGACCUUGGUUAUCCUUAACCCUAACUCCUUACUUGUGGUUUACUUGUGUUACUUGAGCAUACAUACNNNNNNNNNNNNNNNNNNNNNNNNNNNNNNNNNNNNNNNNNNNNNNNNNNNNNNNNNNNNNNNNNNNNNNNNNNNNNNNNNNNNNNNNNNNNNNNNNNNNCGCCCAUUCCUUGGACAUGAUGGACCACAAACAUGAUGCAUACAUGUAAUGAUCAUUGCCAUGAAUAAAUAUUGCAUGACUAUGCGCUUUGCAUAAUUUGUCACGGGGGGGGGGNNNNNNNNNNNNNNNNNNNNNNNNNNNNNNNNNNNNNNNNNNNNNNNNNNNNNNNNNNNNNNNNNNNNNNNNNNNNNNNNNNNNNNNNNNNNNNNNNNNNNNNNNNNNNNNNNNNNUGUUUUGGGUUGCCGUCAUACCAAAGGGAUUGAAUCCAUCCGUGGCGACGCAGACUCAAGGAUGCCUUGGAUCUGCUGCUUUAUCCAUAUGUAAUGAAUCGAAGUGCUUCCACGCUUCCACGUACGAUGUGUGUACCGACAUCUUAUUUCCAUCUGCAUCUAGUUUGGUCCUUUUGCCCAAUUUGUGCCAUGUCAUCAGUCUGGCCGUCUCUUCGACCAUGAAAAGACGUUGAAGACUUGGUAUGUACCGAAGAAUAUUAUCUAUGACUUUGGUCUGCUCUUCUCACCCAUACUGUUGUCUACCACAACAUACUUGGAAGACUUGCAAAUGGGACAGUAGUUCAAUUCCGCAUAAUCAAACCUAAAUAAGGCACUUCCUCUCUCACAACCAUGUAUCUUCUCAUAGGGCAUCUUAAGGACACGAAGUAUUUUGUCCGACUGGUAUAGGUUUGCAUGCAUGACAUGGCCUUUGGGUAAAAAAACGUCCAAAUAGUGUCAUCAUCGCAUCAUAGCAUUCUCUUCCCAAGUUGAAUUGAGCCUUCAAAGCUAUUACUUGUGCAAUGGCAUCCAGCUGACAAAGCUCAGUAUGCUCGUGGAGAGGACGUUUUGAAGACUCUAACAUUUCAUACAAGGCCUUUCAAGAUUGCUCCAGCUCAUCAUCCGAAUCCCGAGCAUCAUCAAAGUCUUGCACCUUGUGUUCGAUCUUGGUACCAUGCUCGUUGGUGUGACGAGAACCACCUCUGCUCUGGUGCGUUGGACAGACUCACCAUGAAAUGUCCACAUCAUAUAAUGAGAUGUAAAACCCCUCCUUUGCAGGUGUUUACCUAUUUCAUCAUGUGUCCUCUUUUCAAAGUUGUCGUACCUAGGACAGGGGCACCAGGUUGUUGUCUGGCCAUUUGCAAAUAUGGCUUUCACAAAUUCCUUGGUUUUUGUAAACCAUUCUUUGGUCAUCUCUUUCUCACUAGUGUGACCAGUGUACAUCCAUGCACGAUCACUCAUCUUGCCUAGCUACUAAACACACAAGAAAUAUAUAUAUAUAUAUAAUUCAGCAUAUAUUCAUCAGUUAAUCAUGUUUGUAGGUUUUAUUACGUCCAUGCAACCUACACACUAAUAGGUAAAGAUAGGUCCUAAUCCCACCCGAGUAUCUGUAGAUUGGGUUCGUGUUCCCAUGCUCUUCUCGAGAUCUGACGCAAAAUUUCGGAAGCACCUCCCCGCUGUUCUCUUGAUACAUGUCUCGGCAAUAAACAAAGAGGAUGUGUACCCGACGAACAACAAUGAGGCUCUGACAAAAUUAUGCAUUGGAUCCGGAGCAGCGCAUAUGGGAAAACGAACCCAAUCUACACAUACUCGGGCUGUCCAUGGAUAACGUUGGACAAUUCGUAAGAAUCACAGUUAUAAAUAUAUGCAAAUGCUUGCAUAUUUAUAACUGUAACCCUUUUGAACAUGAGACGCAUACUGGUCACGAAUACCGAUGAUUUAAUGUACCUAUAUCUAGCAAGUUUCAUCGGCACGAAGCCCAGAAUAGAGCAAAUGAAGGGGAGGAGGAGAUGUCAUUUAUGCUCAACCACGAACACAGGGGCAGAGCUCGUCAAACGCAUGGGGAGGUUGUCGAACACUAGACCCCCGCAGCGAUGAAACAACUCCACAUUUAAGUCCACUCGAUCAACACAAAUAUUUGGUUUUUAUAACAAAAUCAGAAAAUAUAUGACCUAACUCAUAAUUUACAAAAGUAUAACCCACUCGGCAUCUGAUAGGCCGAAGAGGAUCUUUUUGGUAGACAGGAGGCUGAAGCGGUGUCGUGGUUCAAGGGUGAGUGGCGUCGGGAGCGACGUAUUAACAACUGCGCGGGGGAUUGUAGUGGCGAUCUAUCAGUGACAUCUUCCCGUUACCACACGCAAGUGCAGAUGACUGGUGUCAUGUCGGGGUGUCGUGUAAGGGUGUCGGGGUGUCAUGUCGGGGUGUCGGGGAGUCAUGUCGGUGUGUCGGUGUGUCGGGUGUCGGGUGUCGUAUAAGGGUAUCGGCGUGUCGUGUAAGGGUGUCAGGGUGUCAUUUUCUUCUUCUUGCUAUUCUUUCUUUUAUGCUUCUUCCUUUUCUUCUUCUUCUUCUUCUUCUUCUUCUUCUUCUUCCUCUUCUUCCUCUUAUUCCUUUUCUUCUUCUUCUUCUUCUUCUUGUUUCUUCUUCUCCUCCUCCUCCUCCUUUUCGGUAGACACGAGGCUGAAGCGGUGUCGGGGUUCAGGGGUGAGUGGCGUCGGGGGCGACUUACUAACAACUGCGCGGCGGAUUGUAAUGGCGUCUAUCAGUGACAUCUUCCAAUUACCACAUGCAGGUGCAGGUGUCUGGUGUCAUGUCGGGGUGUUGUGUAAGGGUGUCGGGGUGUCAUGUCGGGGUGUCGGGGAGUCAUGUCGGGGUGUCGAGGCGUCGUGUGGGUGUGUCGGGUGUCGUAUAAGGGUAUCGGGGUGUCGUGUAAGUGUGUCACGGUGUCAUUUUUUUCUUCUCCCUAUUCUUUCUUUUAUGCUUCUUCCUUUUCUUCUUCUUCUUCUUCUUCNNNNNNNNNNUUCUUGUUCUUCUUCCUCUUCUUCUUCUUCUUCCUCUUCUUCCUCUUCUUCCUUUUCUUCUUCUUCAUCUUCUUAUCCUUCUUCUUUUUGUUUUUUCUUCUCCUCCUCCUCCUCCUCUUCUUCUUCUUCUUCUUCUUCUUUUCCUUUUUCAUCUUCUAAUUCUCAUCAUCUCCUCUUUUUUUCUUCUCCUUCUUAUUCUUCUUAUUUCUUCUCCUUAUUAUUCUUCUUAUUUCUUCUCCUUCUUAUUCUUCUUAUUUCUUCUUCUUCUUCUUCUUCUUCUUCUUCUUCUUCUUCUUCUUCUUCUUCUUUUUCCUCCUCCUCUUCUUAUUCUUCUUCUUCCUCCUUCUUCGUCGUCGUCCUCCUCCUCCUCCUCCUCCUCCUCCUCCUCCUCCUUCUUCUUCUUCUUCUUCUUCUUCUUCUUCUUCUUCUUCUCCUCCUCUCUUCUUCUUCUUCUUCUCCUCUCUUCUUCUUCUUCUUCUUCUACUUCCUCUUCUUCCUUUUUCCUUUAUCCUGUUCUUCUACUUAAUUAUUCUUCUUCUUCUUAUUAUAUUUUCCAUCUUUGUUGUUCUUCUUCUAAUUAUCUAAACCUAAACCUAGAACUAACCUAAACCAAACACUAAUUACCUAAACCUAAACAAUAAAAACCAAAAAAAACCAGAAAAAACUGGAAACAAAUCUCACGUUGAGGUCCUUCGGAGGGGGUGGCGUGGUGGUGGUGGUGAGGCGUGGUGGUGGUUGUGGUGGUCGGGGGGCGCCGGGAGAGGGAGCCGUUGCGAGGGGCUGGUGCGGUGGUGCCAGCGUGGGGAGGAGAGACAAGGAGGUGUGGGAAGAUCGGGAGAGAGAGAGGUGGGGAUCCGGGAGAGGCAGACGAAAAAGAGGGCAGAUGGGGUCGUGGGGAGAUGGGGUGCGCCACCCGUUAUGUGGCCGUCCCCUUUGCCGUCCGCCUGGGGCUCCUGCUGACGGCAAAGUGGGGGAGGCAGAUGACAAAGAGGGCUACGACGGAUGGCAAAGAAGCACGUGACAGAAACCAUGCCAUCCACUUAACCUAUGGUGCAUUGGGGCUGUCGAGUCUCUUUGCCGUUUGCCUGGUCCAUCUUUGUCAUCCGCGAGUACACGAGAAAGAAUGCACUGAUGGAAAUAGUAUCUUUGCCAUCAACCAGUUCUUUGCCAUCUGUUUGUGGGCAGCUAACGACAAGGAGUCUCUUUUCCAUCAGUGAGGAGACGACAAAGACCACACAUAUGCCAAAUUCCCUGAUUCCAGCAGUGUCUCUCUGUUGGUGCACAGAUGCUCGGAGUCGAGAUGGAGAUCACCGCUUCAGGUCAUCGGUGCUCGCAUGGUGAGAGCCCUCCCCGCCACCCCUUCUUCCUCGAUCUGGAGCCGCCGCAACCUCUAGACCUAUUCCCCUCUAUUCCCCCUCUGUUUGGUGCGCGGGGCGACCAGGGCUUCACCUUCCCGAACCGUUGCCGCCGAACUUCUCGUCAUCAACAAACAGGGGCUCUCCGGCGUCCCUCUCCUCCACUAACCAACGUGCGAUGAUGCCCUGGACCUAGCUGUAACGCGCACUCAUUGAACGACCGCCUGAAUCUUCGCGGGUGAGCACCUCCUCCUCCGUGUCGCAAGGAGGGAGAUGGCAUGUGGUCUCCACCUAUCAUCGUCCCCGUGUCGCCCCCUCUCUCUCACUCACCGGUCUGCCUUGCUAGUGAGGUUUAAAUAGCCGCAUGUUGCACGCACCCCUCUGCCUUGGGCCGAUUUCAUCUGGGCCGGUUGGACUGGCGUCAGUUUUGGCCCAAAGGCCAAUAUUAGCUUUAUCUUUUUCCUAUUUUAGCACAUCUUGCAAAAAUCCCCCAUAUUUAAAUAUAGGUCCAAAUGCAAUGAUUCCAACUCAUAUUUUUUUUCAAAAACCCCGCCUAUUUUAUGAUGCCACUUAUGUAAUUUUUACAGAAAGUUUCAUGCACUGUUUUAUUUAAAAACCUAGUUUUGAAUAUUUUAGCUAAUUGUUAAAAUGCUUUUUAUAACUUUUUAUAUUUAAAAAGUAGAAUUCAAUAAGUUUUACAAAGCUAACAUUCACCACACUAUUUUGCAAAAAUGGUGUGACUUUUUUAGGGUGACUUUAUUUUCACUGUUUCGUCGUGCUCUUAUUUUUGCGUGUUAAAUUGCGACGAUAGAUUGCAUUGUUGACGACGGGUUUGGACCAGAAGACUUUGAAGACCCCGGAGACUUGUUUAGCUAGGCAAGCAACCCUUUUACCAUGUCUAAGAAACCAUUUUAUUGCAUGCCAUAUAGCACUCUACUUUGUUGCAUCUGAUUCAUGUUGAAUCAGUGACCACCUUGGUGGGUUGUCUCUAAGAAACUCCUUGUUGAUACUUGCACUUGGGCAUGACCCUACCUUCUUAUGAGGGUUGUGUGGUUGGGACGGGAAUAUGCAUGGUGAUGAUGAAGCAAACAAUUUCAAAGAGUUUUCAAAAACCCCGUCGAGUGCCACUAAUGCGCGAGGGAGAUGGUGUUGAGCUAGGUAACCAAUUGACAAAGAAGUGGUUCACCCAGGGAAGUUGUGUGUGUUGUUUCGGAGAUAGGAGUGACUUAAGAUUUGUCGACAGUCCCAACCUUACAUGUGCGACCACAUUACACCUUUAUGGGACGAGGAUUUGUCGAUUACCUUGGUGGAUGCUAGCAGAGGGGCCACAUUACUACUGGCGGUUGAGCCGAGUCACUCUCUCGAUAGAGGGUCGUGCGAGGUAGGGAGUCAAUGGACUGUUUUCACAAACACCAAUCACACCGUUGUGUCCCCUCAGAGAUGGUACGUUCUUGAGCGAGGCCCGUAUGAUGUACAUCAUGAGGACGUGGCCAAACGGGUGGACUCUUUGUUUAGUGUCGCCAGGGGAAAUGAAUUGUUCACGUGCUUACCAUGGGUAUGUAGUAUACUGGGAGUCGUGGAUGACGUGGAGGUUCCCCGAGUCUCUUGAGUACAACGCGCAAACCUCUAUUGAGUGUAAAACUAUUCGAAUGUCCACGAUCAAGGAAAGUUGGGUGGUACUGCUUAAACUACGAUGAGAAGUUUUCGCAUAAACCAAGUGUGCGUGUGUGAGAAAGGUGAUUAUGUGAGAAAGAUGAUACAUGAGCUAAGUCAGACUACUUGGCAUGAUGGGUGGACAUGGGAUGUUCAACACUCACUUGAUAUUGAUAUUUGUAACCAGUUCAUAUGGAUAUCGUUUACCUCAUGAUGCAUGCCCUUACUUGAUCAUGUCACUGCACUUGAAAUUCUUCUUUCCGUAAUUUACCUAUUAGUGCUAUGUCAUGUAUUAUUAUUGCCUCGUUCCACAACUUGGGUUGCUUGCAAAUACAUUCAAAGUACUCAUUGGCUUGCCACUUGUUAUUUAAUUUGCCAGGAUGGAAGAGAAGGAAUAUGGAGAAGAGCUCACUGCUGACGAACAUGCGAACUAGGAGGCUUCCCAGUUAGAAUGUGUGUAGGUUAAGGCAGAUGGCAAGGGUUCACGCUUUCGUCCAAGAAUUCCGCUGCUAUUUCUGUUUGGUAGUUAUGUAUGGUGUGUCGACCAUCCAGGGCCUAUCUAUGUAAGACUUGACCUUAAUGGUUUCUAUUUGUAUGAGACGGUGUGUAAGGAUGUAAGACUCUUGUAUUCAUGUUUUGUGUAUUCCGUGAGCAUUGAUAUCUCUGAUCAUUGUGUAUGUGCAUUCCGUGAUCACGACUUAUGAGUCGGGGUCCCCACAGAGCUGGUAUCUGAGCCAUCCUGACUGUUGGAAGCCUUAGUUAGCAUGGACAUUAGAUAGGAUAAACCCCCUUUCAGAAACUAUACCUAGUAUCUAUACUUCGGAGUUUCUGCAUUUCUUACCCCUUCCACUCUAUUUCAAAAGCAUUACUAAGACCCUCCCCUUAAACCUUGUAGAUGGCCGUCGUAGCCGAAGACCUCCUAGCAUCCGACUUUCCCCUACUCCUUGAGGACAGCUUGGAGAAGUGCCAGUUCUUCUAAUCACCUGUUUUCCUCUACCACGAGCGUUGGGUCGAUGCCACCAUGAAGGAGUACCAUGUUGAUGUGGUCGUUAAGGCAAACGACUCAUCGGCGAGUUGGUUCUUUGAAGGACCACAGAUGGAGACCCUGGCAUUGCCAAUUGAUAUAGCUACACGGAAGGCACUCGUCCACCUUCGAGACAUCAUCCCAGAGAUGGACGACAAGCUGGCUACUCGCCACUUUCCUUUCAGGAAAGAUGAUAUUGGCGAGAGUUGGAUAUUGGUCCCAUCACCGGAGGAUGGAACACCAAUCAGAUUCCAGACCUAUUUCAGACUCUCAGCCGAUAGUCCAGCACACAACCUGAUUAAGGAGUUCGUGAAGCUCUACAAGGAACUUCACCACACCCGUGAGCUGCUUCGACAAGCGAAGAUGAAGCUAGACAAGAUCAAGAAGGAUGGAGCCCCCGAGGGAUGACCAGCUAUUGGUUACAGAGGAGGAGUACCACCAGCUAGAGAUACACCCACACAUCAUUAUCGCAUGAGUUUGAAGGAGUAUCGUGCGAUCUUCACUGAUCCGUUGAAGAAAGCAUCAUCGGGAUGGACCUCCUCGUCCUCCGCCCCCCUCGAUGGGAGACGAUGCGUUUAUGGAUGACGACCAGGAGUAUGACCCAGAGGAGCAUGAGCAUGAGACCGAGCACUCCACCACUUGAGUCUGAGAACCCCUCGGAUAGGAUAAGUCAUGUAUACCUCAUGCGAAAUCAAGUCCGUGUAAUGGUUCAUAGGAAACCAUGCGUGCUUAUUGUUUGUUUUACUAUUUGUGUUUCGAUGUGAGUCGCUCUUUUGCCUUAGGCAACAUGUGAGCGACUACACCGCCUACCUUAUCUUUAUGUUAUGUGUUGGGUCUUACGACCUUUGUUUGUCACACUUGCACUAUACCAACUCCCUUAGGCGCAUUUUCCUCUUGUUGCUUUUUUCCAUCGUCUAUUCUAGUUGUUUGACUUGCCUUCUCCAAACAGGAUCGUGACUUCUACCCGCACCAGUACUUUUGGCAACCCGAGCAACGACAACUCUAGCCAGGACCCGGAGGCCGGUGGGUCUGCUCAAGCUAGAGGUUACCAGGAGUAGCCACAAGGCGACUGUCACACCCUGUAUUUAAUAUCACUUAUCUGUAUUGUGAAAAUCUGAGCUUGUUAAAACAUUUUCAAGACUAAUGUUGUCAGUGCCAUGAUUGUCAUUGUAUGAUUGUGUGCUUGAUCAUGUGAUGAUAAAACCCUAUUUCAUAAAGCAGCGAUUUCCAAAAACCCUUACUUAUUUCUAAACAGGGAAAAACCCUACCUUGAGUUGCAGUACAUGCCCUUGAUAGCAAGCAGUGCUUCUACUCAAAGUUGGUGAUCUGAUUUCAACCUAUCUUUAUAUUCCAAAACAAAAAAAAUAAUUAUUUUUGUAAUUAUUUUCCUAAUUAAAUAACAUGUCCAAUUCUGAGGCCAGAAUUGGUAUUCUUACAUGGAAAAAUAUUUUUCAGCCUUAGAAAAAUCUGAUUAAAUUUAGAGAUAAUGAGAAGGACAUAUAUUUUCCAUACAUAAGAUAUUAAACCCUAUUUUAUAUGAUAAUUAUUCAAUAAAACCAUAAAAGUCAUUUUUGUCUCUUUUAACCUUUAGAAAUAUUUCCAAAGGGAAUAUUCUCAAUAAAAUCGUAGAAAAUUCCAGUGAUAUCCCUAAGCUAUAUUUGGUUUCCACAUAAAGUUUCACCUUGAUUAAAUGUGAUUAAGGACCCCAAAUAACCCUAAAACCCCUUUUGUCUAGAUUGAAGUUAGAGCAACUCUACAUAGCAAAGUUUAUCCAAUGAUGGUGAAACUUUGCAAGAAUGCCUAAUACCUCAAAUGAGGGUUCCACACAAAAAAUGGGAUUUGUGGGACUUAGUUUGCCCACACUCUCUUUGGAAGGGACAAAUAUGGUCAUAAUGGAGUGUUUUCAAGUUUACAAAGCUAAACUUGUCCAAUGGAGCUUAAACUUGGUGAAACCCCAUGAUUUAGCACCAAAUGCAAACCUGUUAAGUUGCAGCACCACUGGUGGGGUGCAACACCCUCAAACCACUGUCGAGCACCUUCUGACAGAUAGGGAAAAGCCACCUUAGCCACAGCUAAACCCAACCCAUUUGCUCCAAACUCAUAGAUUAGGUGGCCAAUAUCUGUGUCUAACCCCAGUCAACUGCCCCUCACUGGUUCAAAGUGGAAAGGCCAAAAACCCCAAUUUAGAUUUCAGUUCAAGGCUGACAGCACAAGUAUUUUUUGUCUCCCUUGACCAGCCGAAGCUCCCUCAAGACCCAAAAGGCUAGAAACACUCCCAGCCAGUGCCAGGAUAUCCUAGACACGUCCAAAGUGCCUCAGAGCGCACUAGCAUGCCGUUGCACGCCAAAACUGCGCUCUGGGCGCGCUACAGGAAGCCACUAAGGUGGGGGCAGCGCUCUCGGCCAGUUCCAGCCUCCCCCGAGGUGUCCAACCUCUUCCCCGACAACCUCUCUGUGUCGAGCAACCCUCAGGGCCUCUCCUCUCCCAUGCUAGAGCUCGUGUGACGCGUGCCCACGCACCAGAACCUACCAAGGUUGCAUGGCCACGGAUGCUCGACUUCUCCCCCUCUGCCUCUGCAGCAGAUGGCUCUGGUAGUCCAAAACCAUGUCCUGAGACCGUGGUUUCGGCCCUAGCCUCUCUCUGCACCCCCAUACACGCCACGGUGAGUCACCGGCACACCUUGACCAGCUCACCGUCGCGGGCCUAUAAAUAGCCCUCCCCCUCACUCCAGCACCCCUUAGAUCGCUUCACCACGAUCACUAGUACCUCCCUAGCAACCCCAGCAACCCACCAGAGCCCCGGUACUCGAGAUCGACCAAGGCCCCUCCGCCUCGGAGCUCCGGUCGAUCUGCGGCGACACGAUGACAACUGCGCCCCUCGACCCACCAAACUGAUCCUCUCAACCCCAGAAAGUUUUCUCCCAACUCGCCCGAGCAUUUCCGUGUCUCUAGCCACCUCCUCGACCACCUCCCGAAACUCCUCCGCCAUGGCCUCCUCGUCGCCGGCGAACCCCUGCCUCUCCGACAUUGUUCUGACCACCAGCAGGUAGGCGACAGCAAGGCGAACCCAUUCCAGUCCUUGUUGGGUCUUGAGAGCAUCGGCAACCUCGCCGGCGUGCUCCUCCUCCUCUCUGGCCAAAGGUAGGAGACGACCCCGACAGGUGUGCCCCACCUGUCCGUGGCCCAGCCUCCUACCCCGCGCUGUCCACAGCCACUGACCGAAGGGCCCCGCACGUCAGGUUCAAACCUCACGCGCGCGCGCCUCGGCAGGCUGUCGGCUGGCCAUGGGCCAGCCCAGCUCCAGGCCGAGCUAGGCCAGGAGUUUAGCCGAUUUUCUUUUUAUUUUGAAAAUAUGGUUUCUAAGAUUUUUAUAAAAACAUUUAACGAGUGUAAAAAUAUAUUUUUUCCACUUUUAUUUUUCUAAUAAUAUGAUUGGAUGAAUUUUUCUACAACUACUCUGUUUUACAAUAAUAAAAAGGACUAAAUUGGAAUAGUUUUGCUUCUGUUUGGUUAAUUUCAAAAAUGCUCCUUCAAGGGAAAUUAAGGCAAAUAUUUUUCAAAAUGAUAACUUAGANNNNNNNNNNAAAGAACAUUUUUAAAAUGACUUUGUGAUCUGUUUCUGUUGAGCUAUUUUUUAAUUACUGUUUUAUCGAUGAUAGAAAACCCGUGUGACGAGGGAAUCAGAGCGAAAGACCUCGAAGACCCCGAAUACUUAGCUGACCAAGGCAAGCAACCCUUUGACCAUGACUGAGCAUAUGUUACUUUGCAUGAUUAAAAUAGCAAGUAUGUCCGUUGCAUAUGAUCGUAAGUGCCGGUAAUCAUUUGAUAUGAUUUACCGAUGGCUCCCCCGGAGCACCUGCAUUGAGCUUGAUCCUACCUCUUGAGGGUCAUGCUAAUAUCAUGUUAACAAGUAAACAUAGAAGUAGUAUUAUCAUGAGCAUAUUGAUGACAUAAAGAAAGAGUUUAUGAAAACCCCAUGGGGUGCCACUAAUGCCCGAGGGUGAUGAUGAGUUAGGUGGUCACUUUUGAUGAGCUGAUGCACCCGGUAUUUGUGUGAGUAUGGUUUCAGAAAUGGGAUUAGAUUUAUGAUGUGUCGAUCGUCCCAACCUUACCAGUACAACCACUUACCCCUUAUGGGACGGGGCUAUGUUAAUUACUCUGGUCGGUGCUAGCAAAGAGCCACAUUACUAGUGGCAGGAGUGAUGUGUGGUCACUCUCAUGAUGGGGUCGUGCCAGGUAGGACGACUAUGCCAUUUUUAUGAGUUCCAGUCACACCGUUGGUCCCCGCAUGGUUGGUACUGUCCAGAGUCGAUGCUCGUAAGAUGUACAACAUGUGGGCUGGGUACCAAUUGAGUGGACCUCUUUGUCUAUUAUCGUCAGGGGAAAGGUAUUGAUCUGGUACUUACCUCGGGUAUGUUAUAUACCGCGAGUCGUGGAUGACACGGAAGUUUCCCGGAUCUCGUNNNNNNNNNNNNNNNNNNNNNNNNNNNNNNNNNNNNNNNNNNNNNNNNNNNNNNNNNNNNNNNNNNNNNNNNNNNNNNNNNNNNNNNNNNNNNNNNNNNNCCAUCAAGUGUGUGUUGAUGGGAGGCAAGUCUUUCUCUUUAUGAUGCUUUGUUCCAUCAUGAAAAUUUAUCGAUGGCUUGGUUUGUUGGAACCUAGCUCUCUUUUGGAAAUUAGAUACCUCGUGUUUGUUUUCCUUCAAUUGGUUUCUUGUUUCCUUUUAUUUGGCAUGUGUCAAUGGAUAUCUUAUUCCUUGAGGUAUCUUCUAAUUGAUAUCCUUCAAGUGAUAGUUAUUUUUUGUUUAGUAUCUUAUUAUCACUUGAUACCUUGUCUUUUGGUGACUUAUCAACUUUGUGUUGAGUUGAUUCUUGAGAGUCUUGUGCAUGCAUAUCUACUAUAUACAACUUCUUUUGCUUGCUUUCCUUCUUUGACCCAAUAUAUAGCGGAAACUCCACCUUGUCAUAAAUUGGCUAAAGUGUGCAUGAAAUUCAAAUUCAUAUCUAUAUGCACAUAUGUAUGUGGAGUUUGUCCUAUGUAUUGCUGGUUUUCUAACUCUUUGGUCCCAAUGAGUUUGGGCACCAUUUUGUUUGUUUUGCUGUUCCAGGAACAACUGGAGAUGCAUUGGAUGCUCGGCUCACCUAUAAGGAAGGUGUUGAGACCAUGUGAUUAUUGGAGCCAAGUUAGGAUGAUCAAAGAACAACUAUCUACUACAUCAAUCCAAUGUUGUCUCGGUAACAAGUAUCCACUUCAUGCAUUCUUUUAUUGCAAAGGCCCCAACCUGUCUUUUCUUUUCCAGGUUGCAUCAUGGCAUGAAUCUCUUGAUUCGUACUUGUAGUACUUGUUUGCUUUCUCAAAGCAUCCGAACGAUGAUGUCUUACUACUAGUUGGGAUGUCUUUGAUGUUCGUAUGUUGGAAGUUCAUAUUGUACAAUAAGAAAAUAUUAGGCCAUGUGCGAUGCUUCCAAGCAAAAGAUCUCAUUGAUAUAUUUAUGACUUCCUUUUGGAUAUCUAGUUUGUUCCUUCUUGUAACCAUUUCGUGUGUACAUCCUUCUUUGUGGAUAUAUAUCAUCAUGAUUGUCUUCUACUUAGAAUAUUUUACACAUGAGAGAAGUUACAUCUCUAAUUGAUAUCGUGUUUUCUUUCACGUCCAUCGUUGCAUUUCCUUUUUCAGUUUUUGGUGGCUUCGUGAAAGGAUUUGUUUUGAGUGCGUAUCUUAUUUUCCUACAUCUUGAUGCACUCUUUGGCCGUGAAGAUAAUUUUUCCUCAUGCAUGUCUUGAUGAGGGUUUUUCCAUUUCAAUUAGUAUCCCUCCUCUUGACAAGGUUCUUACUUCCUAUCUUCACAAUGGGUUGUCACAAGCGUUGGUUCUUAUUUUUUUUAUUAGUAAGCUUGUGAACCCAUUUUCUAGUAUGUGUGUGUGGGAAUGAUAUGUCUUGCACUUUGUAUCUCAUUUCAUCACGACUAUGUUGAUGAGUAAUGCACAUCCUUAUCUUAGUCUUCUCAAGUGCUUUGACAUGACUCACACACAUUACUUUGGUUGACCCUAUUCUUAAGUUGCUUCUUUUACUUGUUGCUCAACCAUUUGUUUUGUGCAAUUGAUAUGCUUAUUGUAUCAUCUAUCUUGUUGCACUCGUUGUGUGUUUUUAUUAAUUUUGGGGGAGCAACGAUCCUAUUUUGUGCACCUGUAUCAAAUAAAAAAAUCGCGUAUUAGUGCACAAAUCAUGGGGAGCUUCUCUAGUUUUUGAUAAAACACUCUCUUGCCUUUAUCAUAAUAUCUUUUAUUCAUGUGGUUUGAAGGACCAUAUGAUUGUUUGUUCCAUCUGGAAUCUUUUGAUUGAUUGCCUCUAUUUUUGUAUGUCUUUGUGGCAUACGAUCCUUUUAUUUGCAAUCUUUGGGUCCUCAAUAUAGUUUGUUUUCCUCCAACUACUUAUAAUUGUAUUUGUGUAUUUCUCUACACUCAUUUGCUGAGAAGUACACAUUUUUUUGGAGGACCACCUACUAUAUUGGCUUUCUAAACUUUUCGUCCAUUUUGGCAAUCGAUGCCAAUGGGGGAGAAGUUUAGAGAGUUUACUUUGGAUAUGUUUAGAGGGUUUUGCUUUUUAUUGCGUAAGCAUUUACAUCUUGCACGCAUGCAUUAUUACCUUGUAUGUGUGUGCUUGGUUAUGCUUAUUUCCUUAUAUAAACUCUCUUGAAGUGGUUGUCUUCAAUUACCAAAAUGGGGGAGNNNNNNNNNNNNNNNNNNNNNNNNNNNNNNNNNNNNNNNNNNNNNNNNNNNNNNNNNNNNNNNNNNNNNNNNNNNNNNNNNNNNNNNNNNNNNNNNNNNNUCCCUUCUCCACUAUAAAUACCCCCCUCCCACUUCGUGAGAGGGUGCCCAACACAGCCAUAUCCUCAUAAGAACACAUUUCUACCUCACACACAUUUGCUCACACCAAAUCUUAGAUCCCAAGAGCAUUUGUGAGCCCCUUUGAGAGUUGUUCCAAUCAAAAGAUAGAUCGUCUCCCUCUCCUCCUCUCAACCCAAGCUAUUUGAGAUUUGAGCAAGUUUUGAGCAUUCCAAGUGAUCUUGUUACUCUUCGAGGUUGGAGACUCCUAGGCGGUAGGAGUUCUUUGGAGAGGAAUCAAUCCGUGUGAUUUCCCCCGGAAAAUUUUGUGAGGGUUUGGAAGCUACCUCAAAGGCUUACCACUAGUGGUUGAGAAACGCCUUCGUGGUGUUANNNNNNNNNNUGCAAGUUUUGAGCAUUCCCCGUGAUCUUGUUACUCUUGGAGGUUGGAGACUCCUAGGAGGUAGGAGUUCUUCGGAGAGGAAUCAAUCCAUGUGAUUUCCCCCGGAAAAGUUUGUGAGGGUUUGGAAGCCACCUCAAAGGCUUACCACUAGUGGUUGAGAAACGCCUUCGUGGUGUUAUCUCAAAGGGAGAAUAGGGUGAGCCUUCAUGGCAUUGGUGUGCCUUCGUGGUAACAUCCACCUCUCUAACGGUGACUAGCUUCCCUACAAGGAAGAGAACAUCGGGAUACAUCUUUGUCUCAGUGACCUUGGUUGUCCUUAACCCUAACUCCUUACUUGUGGUUUACUUGUCUUACUUGAGCAUACAUACAUUGCAUAUUGUUUGUGCUCAUUAUAUUGUNNNNNNNNNNCCAAGGAAGUGAAUAUUGGGAUACAUCUUUGUCUCAGUGACCUUGGUUAUCCUUAACCCUAACUCCUUACUUGUGGUUUACUUGUGUUACUUGAGCAUACAUACAUUGCAUAUUGUUUGUGCUCAUUAUAUUGUGUUGGCUAUUUCUUUGUACAAGAUUAAUCGUUCAAGCAUACCCUCUAUAUCCACACGUUCACACUUGCAGCUUUUGAUAUAUCGUGUGUUAUAGUGUGAUCUAGUAUCUUAUGUCGUUCACCUACUUGUCGUGUGAUAUAGCUCAAGUAAGUUUGUGUAACUUACUUGUGCUUGUUAGUAACCGUGUUGUGUCCAUCUUGGUAGAUCAUGUUGUUGGUGCAUGUUGUGGUGCCUAUUGCAUUUAGGAUUUGUGCUUGAAAAGUAUCCUCUUAGUUNNNNNNNNNNNNNNNNNNNNNNNNNNNNNNNNNNNNNNNNNNNNNNNNNNNNNNNNNNNNNNNNNNNNNNNNNNNNNNNNNNNNNNNNNNNNNNNNNNNNAGGAUCAAAAGAUUUUAUGAUGGGUGAAUAAAGAGAGUGUUCUAAAGAAAAUAGGAUAGCUCCCCCAAGGGACGUGCAUUAUAUAGAAUUUGCAUUUAAAUACAAAAUGCACACGAUGGGAUCAUCACUUUCUCUAUAUCUAUAAAAACACUAGACAUGUUAAAAUAGAUCCAUAAGAGGCAAGGAAGACAAACGAAACACAAAAUCCAAUGUAAAGACAAUUAGCAAUUCCUAUCACAUGAUGGGAAUACCAAUUGUCAAGGACAAUAAGUAUUUUGGAAGUGAUACUCAUUGGUAGAUCGCAAAUAUAUCCAAGAUCAUCUUUACCCAUAAAACGCAAGCAAAUGACACUUGUAGAGCUACCAUGCCACCUAGGAACAAGAUAAUUUACAAUAUCAACACUAAGUGGCAACACCUCAAAUGUACACAUUUUCUAGGUUUGUAAUAUGCACAUAGCAUAUUACUCCCCCAUAAUGUGAUAAACCAACAAUAUUAACAAGUGGCAAAUUAAAACCAACAAGACAUAAUUAAUGGACCAUAUAGAAUUUGAAUUUCUCAUGAGUAAGACAUACCACAUAGAAACUAGAUAAUCUUGAAAUAUCAAUACUAAGUGGUAUUCCCCAUGUAUACACAUUUAUAGGAUUGUGAGGUGUGCAAAGCACAUCACUCCCCCAUAAUGGGAUAAUCCAUUAAUCUCCCACAAGAGCCAACAAAGAUACAAACAAGAUGCAAAAAGGCUCAAUACAAGACUCACAUGUACAUGAUAUGCAAACCAACAUACACAUACUCGAUUACUCAAGAUAAGCAAGUUGGAAGCACAACAUAUACAAAUGCAUGCAAGAUACAAAACCACAACAUGCAAAGGGGCAAGCAACUAACACUGUAAACAGUUUAAGUACAAGUUACCGUAAUGAGGCACAUUGGAUAUAAGAUAGAAACUCGAUAAUCCAAAUGACUCGGCUUGAUAUAAUAUGAAUGAUGAAGACCCUUUAAUUCUUCAUUAUGUAUCCAAGUCUCUAAUGUCCUCCAUAGUCACCUAUUGAUCAAGUUUGAGCUUGUUGGUCCCCAACUACGUUGGUUCCUAAGAGGUUAAUUACAAUAGGCUUGGCAACCCAAAUGGUUCUUUUCUUGACAUCAUUUUGAGUACCAACAAACUUGGCAAACACAUUGCCAACCUUAUCCUUCGCAAGGGAAUAGAUAUCAUGAAUAGUGAUUGGGUUGGAUAAGUUACCUCUUGUGCAAGACGAAGCAACGUGACCCUUCUCACGACAUAAGUAGGAAUAUCUACCCUUUGCUUUCUUCCCAGUUCAUUUCUCACCUCGGGGAGUGUUGGCUUGGGUCUUAUUAGGAAGAGGCCUUCCUUGAACUUGUAGCUGAGUAUGUGAUUGAGUUUGCGGUCGCUUCCCUUGUUGCUUGUGACUUUGAGACUUCGUCUUUAGAGGGCAAGCUCUAACAUGGUUCCCUUUAACUUUGCACUUGAAGCAAAUGAUUUUGGCUGAAUUCUUGACUUGUUCUAGGCCCCUCUUGUUCUUGUUUGAGUUUACUCCAACAUCAUUUUUUUCAUUUGGAGAUGUUUGCUCACAUAGGACGUUGUUGAGUGUGGACAUCCCUUCAUGACAUUGUUCCAAGUCUUUCUUCACAGAAGUGAGUUGGGCCUUGAGCUCUUCGAUAUCCUCUGCACGGUUAGUAUCAACGCAAGUACUAGAGGAAGUGUAAGCUUCAAUGUUAGAGAAACAAGGCAAGGAAAGUAAUUCAUCACACGAGGUAGCAACAUUAUGAGUAGACGAAUUACGAGGACUAGCACAUGGAAAUAUAGUAUUUUGACUAGAAGUAGUGCCAUUGUCCACAUGAGGCUCACUUGAUGUUACCUUGGUGAUGAUAGCCUCAUGAGCUAACUUUUGCACAUUAUGGGAUGUUAAAAGAUCGGCAUGAGAGCUUGUGAGCAUUACAUGGUUUUCUUCUAACUUCCGAUAACUGCUAGUUAGUAAGUCAAGUUGAGCACGUAGCUCAAUAUUCUCCUUCAAUGUAGAUACUUCAAAUGAGGUAGAGUUAGAUGUACAAGUAUCAUCAACAAUAUGAGAGGAGUAAGUAGAAAAUAGAGACUUCUCAUGAGUAGAUUGAAGCUCCUCAUAGAUCUUAGAGGUUUUGAUGAGCUCUCCCUUGACAUUAUUGCAUUCCAGGAGAAGGACCUCAAAAUCCUUUUUAAGUUUAUCAUGAGCAACUUCAAUCUCUCCUUUUGAAGAUCUUAAGUCUCUACAUGUUUGAUGACUCUUCUCAAGUUCAUGUUCAAGUUGUUCACUUUUAGCUUGUUCAUGAUUAAGUGAAUCAAUACAAUUUUCAAAGUAAGCAAGAACAUCUUGGAAUCUUUGAAGAGCGUUAUUUUUAGCUUUAUGAAGAAUUUUACAGAUCACAUAGAUAUUUUCAGUCAAGUCAUCAUCAUCAUCCUCAUCACAAAUAUCAUCGUUAUUGCACAGGGAAGAUGAUACCUCAUUAUUUCCUCUUGCCAUGAGGCACAUGUGAACUGGAGGAGUUGAUGAUGAUUCUUUUGGUGAAUCAGAUUCUUGUUUAGUCAAAAGUACUUCAUAUUUCUUGAUUUCCCUUAAAUGAUUAGUCAUAGAGCAACAAGGGAGAAACAAGAUAUUUUGAUCAAGAGGACACGGGAAAGCAGACAUAUCACCACAGAUAUUUGUCGAGGGAUCUUUACGUGAAAUGCAUGACCCAUCAGCACAAUAAUUUACACUAUGUGUGGUGCUUGAUAUGCUCGUGUCCAUAGAGGCUAUGACAUUUCCAUUAACAUAUAUUUCUUCACUCACCAUGUCAUUACCUUGUGAGAUUGAAGAAGCUGAGGUGUGCAAGCAAUCGGAUAUGGAAGUAGUGGUGGACUCUUUAUGACCGAAAAGAGUGAAGAGCUCAUGCACCAACUCCUUCAUCAUAAUAUCGUCUUCAUCAAGAUUGGAUCCACCAUAUAUAUUUUCAAGUUUAGUCCAAACUUCAUGAUCUGACUUGUAAGUUGAGAUAGACUUAAAAACUUCAGGACUUAUGGUUCGAUGAAUGGCAAGAAAAGCCUCACAAUCAAGAUACAUUUCAUUAGUAGAUUAAGAUGCAUCAUCCUUUUUGUCGGCAAUCCCUGCAAGAACAAUUCAUAAAGUAUUUGGGCCCAUGGCCCGAAAGUGAUGAAGCAUACGAAUUCUCCAUAGGGUAUAAUUUGUGCCAUCAAAGUCAAAGGUGUCAUUGUGCACUAAUCGAAUAGUCGACAUCGAUACUCUCUAGGUAAUGAAACCUAAUUAAAGAGAGACCUUGCUCUGAUACCAAUUGAAAGGACCACGAUGACGCCUAGAGGGGGGGGGGGGGGAAUAGGCUCUUUAAAAACUUCUUCGGAUUUGGAUUAAACCUAAUGCGGAAAUAAACUAAGAGGAUACUUUUCAAGCACAAAUCCUAAAUGCAAUAGGCACCACAACAUGCACCAACAACAUGAUCUACCAAGAUGGACACAACACGGUUACUAACAAGCACAAGUAAGUUACACAAACUUACUUGAGCUAUAUCACACGACAAGUAGGUGAACGACAUAAGAUACUAGAUCACACUAUAACACACGAUAUAUCAAAAGCUGCAAGUGUGAACGUGUGGAUAUAGAGGGUAUGCUUGAACGAUUAAUCUUGUACAAAGAAAUAGCCAACACAAUAUAAUGAGCACAAACAAUAUGCAAUGUAUGUAUGCUCAAGUAAGACAAGUAAACCACAAGUAAGGAGUUAGGGUUAAGGACAACCAAGGUCACUGAGACAAAGAUGUAUCCCGAUGUUCUCUUCCUUGUAGGGAAGCUAGUCACCGUUAGAGAGGUGGAUGUUACCACGAAGGCACACCAAUGCCAUGAAGGCUCACCCUAUUCUCCCUUUGAGAUAACACCACGAAGGCGUUUCUCAACCACUAGUGGUAAGCCUUUGAGGUAGCUUCCAAACCCUCACAAAAUUUUCCGGGGGAAAUCACACGGAUUGAUUCCUCUCCAAAGAACUCCUACCGCCUAGGAGUCUCCAACCUCGAAGAGUAACAAGAUCACUUGGAAUGCUCAAAACUUGCUCAAAUCUCAAAUAGCUUGGGUUGAGAGGAGGAGAGGGAGACGAUCUAUCUUUUGAUUGGAACAACUCUCAAAGGGGCUCACAAAUGCUCUUGGGAUCUAAGAUUUGGUGUGAGCAAAUGUGUGUGAGGUAGAAAUGUGUUCUUAUGAGGAUAUGGCUGUGUUGGGCACCCUCUCACGAAGUGGGAGGGGGGUAUUUAUAGUGGAGAAGGGAAAGUGACCGUUGGGGUCAGUUAAGUCUGACUGUGGUCGGGCAUCCGGCAGUUCUCGGAUGUCCGGAAUCCCACACGGGGUCGGACGUCCGACAGGGGUCGGUCGUCC